This 101361-nucleotide long non-coding RNA is filed under the name Gossypium barbadense (sea-island cotton). RNAcentral describes it as "long non-coding RNA (GBAR_LNC016635)". Lineage: Eukaryota; Viridiplantae; Streptophyta; Magnoliopsida; Malvales; Malvaceae. The record is from RNAcentral.
UGUAGGCUUGCUGAAUUUCUUUGAAAGGCCCAAUGGCAAUUUAACAUUCACAAAAUAAUCUCUAAAUACUGUAAAGACAAAAUCAAAUCCACAGCAGCAUUAGAGUUGAUUAAGCUAAGCAUUGGCAAAUAUUACUUUGAUUUUGCAUGCAAUAUUAGCAAAACCCCCUCUUACAUUAGAUAAACAACAUACUCCAUGAAACAUUGAUAGCCCAAAUACAAAUUUCAUCGACAAAAAAGUCUCUUUGUUUUGUAGAACAUGAUAGUAAAAAUGUGGAGUUUCGUUCUUCUUAUUGGCCUCCUUUAGUUUUCCUUGAUCAACAACCACUAGCCAAAAACACAAUUAGAUUAGAUUAUGAAUGAUACUGACAUUAUUAAAUAUAAAACACUCUAAAUAACUCUAAAUAAAUGGAAAGCAGCAAAUUACCUGACGAGGCAAGCUAGCUCAAUUAAGACCAUUGUGUUAUACUUGUCUCUGAAUUGAAAAAUUUAGAAGGAAAUAAAGAGAAAGACUUAGAAAAUAUUUGAAAACAGAUAAAACUUAUAUGUCAUUUAAAAUAAAAAUUUUGUAUUUAAGCCGUUUAAAAUUUUUAAGAUUUUUGAAAUUUUAAAAUGAUAAAGGUAAAAUUGUACUUUGGCACACCAAAAAUGAUAAAACUUUGAUUUAAUCCUUUAGAAAUUAUAAAAAUAUAGGCUAUUAAAAUGGUGAAAUUACCUUUUUACUAUAGUAAAAAUUACAAUUUAAUUUCACUUUAAGAUUUUCUGACUUCGCCCCUAAUAAAAUCUUUGGCAAAAGAUUAAAAUAAAAUUAUACCGUAAAUGGAAAAAGAAACAAAGAAAAUCCAAUCUAACAAAGAAAAUAACUUAUGUCCAAAAGCUACCAUAAACCGUAAUUCAUGGGAAGAGAGCAAAAGUAAAAACAAAUAGUUUAUAUGAUUAAAAUUCCAGAAUAGGUUAAAAAUGUUGAAUUAAAGAUAAAAUUAAGCGUGAAUUAAUAACCACAAGUGUACUCUUUACUCACCAUCUCUGUUAAAAAUGUUGGAUGUUGUUUAGCAACCUUUGUUUGAUUUUCUUCAGCUCAACCACAACAUCUUUCAUUUCUUUUCUUUCUUCUGGUAACUCAGCUGAACAAUUCAAAGCCAACUCCAUGAUAGAUGAAAUACAAUUUGCUUUAACAACAAAGUACUCAUCCUCUCUUCUUAGUAAAUCAACAUCUGCAAUUUCUAUCGCUCCUUUAGGCAAUGAACUUUCCAUCCAAUGCCUUAUAGUCUCUUCUUCAACAAAAACAUUAUCAGUUGGCUUUCUCUUUGUGAAAGUUUCUAUAAGGACGAUCCCAUAACUAUAAACGUCAGAUUUUAUAGAAACAAGUCCUGCAGAUCCAAAUUCUGCAUUUCAAGUAUAAUUAGAACAUCAUCAGUCCUCAAUUAUUUGAUAAAUCUAUGUAUAUCCACAUACACGAGAAACAAAAAUAUAAAACGCAAAUUAGGAAAAUAAUCGUACAAAGAUAAAAAAAGAAUUCACCUGGUGCCAUAUACCCGAUUGUUGCAAGAGUCAUGGUUUGCUUCAUUACUUCACCUUCUCCCAACAAUUUGGCAACGCCAAAAUCUCCAACAUGUGCAACCAUGUCUUCAUCUAGUAAAAUAUUGCUUGGUUUUAUGUCACAAUGAAUUAUAGGGGUUGGAUGUCCAUUGUGGAGGUGUUCUAUAGCCACCGCAACAUCUAUCAUUAUGUCGACCCUUUGUAUGAUAUCAAGGAAACAAUUUUUAGAAUGUAACCAUUUCUCAAGGUUUCCAUUAGACAUGUAAUCAAGCACCAAGGCUUUGAAGUCAACACUUGAGCAGCAAGUAAUGACCUUCACAAUAUUACGAUGAACUAUAUGAAGCAUAGCAUCACAUUCAAUGUCAAAACUCCUAAAUGCUCCCUCUGUUUGCAAAUUGAAAACUUUUAUUGCAACUUCCAUUCCAUCUGAAAGCCUCCCUUUAUAUACAUAUCCAAAACUCCCUGAACCAAGCAUAUUGCUUUCCUCAAGUCCAUUAGUUGCUCGUGAAAGUUCAGCAUGUGAAAUUCUUCUCGGUGUCUUCAAAGACAACAAAUCAUCUUUAAUUGGUAGAGCUGUACUCCUUCUUUGGCAUCUUCUAUACAUAAUAGUUAAGACUAUUAGUACUACGACAAUACCAAUUGUUGGUAAACCAUACCUAAAAGCAUGCAAUAUAAUCGUUUGGGAGUUUUUGUGGAUGUCGUUUUUACAAGGUGGGACUAGCAAUCUAGGUGGACCACAAAGUGCAUAAUUCUUCAUGAAUGAUGUGCUAGAAAAGUUUGAAAAACAUCCUUCGCUGGGAAUUUCCCCUUCAAGUCUAUUGAAAGACACAUUAAAAUACUUUAGAUAUAAAAGCUUUUCCAAAGAUUUGGGAAUGACUCCAGAGAGAUUGUUAUUGCAUAAAUCCAAGAAUUCCAAACUAAUCAACCCAUCAAAUGAUUCAGGGAUAUGACCAUGUAGUAUAUUAUUUGAUAAAUCUAAUGAAACCAAAGUUAUAAGACCCCCAAAUGUGGAUAAGAUAUCGCCCGUGAGAAGAUUCCUUGAUAAAUUUAGUUUCAGUAGACUCCUCAAAUUUCCAACAUCAAUAGCAUGUGAAUUGUGAAGAUGGUUUGAUGAUAAGUCUAUUUCUAAGAUAUCUUUAAGAUUCCACAAAGUUGAGGGUAUUGUAGAACUCAAUUUGUUGGAAUCUAAGUAAAGAUAUCCCAAAGAAGUAAUAUUACCCAAACAAGAGGGUAUGGAUCCAUGCAGCUUAUUCAACCCUAAAUACAUCUUGUAUAGUCUCUCCAAAUCACAAAGGCUUUAUGAGAUGGGCCCUCCUAAUUUAUUAGAGGAAAGAUAUAGACCUUGGAGAUUUCUCAUUCCUCCUAUUGAUGCUGGAAUCAAUCCACUUAAUUUAUUAUAGUCAAGUUGUAAAAGCAAUAGGUUGGUUAAGUUACCUAUUUCCAUAGGAAUAAUGCCUUGAAGCUCACACUCAUCGGCAUAAAAGUAUUGAAGGGAUUUUGAAAGGUUCCCAAUAUAAGUAGGAAGAACGCCACUCAAUGGAUUUCCUGAAACACCUAUUUUUCUCAAAUUCCUACAAUUCGUCAAAGAAGAAAGAAAGCUCCACUCAUGAUCAGUAGCAGAUCCUGUGAUCAAAUUAUUGUCAAAGAUUUUGAGCACUUCAAGGUGUUUUAAGCUGCCAAGCAUUUUAGGGAUUGGGCCAGAGAAUAAGUUUCGUGACAACUCUAGUUUCUUAAGCAUGGAAGCAUUGGAGAUAGAGUUGGGAAUGUUUCCGCUAAGUUUAUUUCUCCACAAUAAAAGAAUCUCAAGCUUUGGAGCAUUGGUGAUUGGUGGUAAAUCACCUGUGAAAUAGCAUCUUUUAGUAUACACAUUCAUUGAAUACCAAAUUCACAAAAUAUAUAAUACAUUAAAAUAAAAACUGUAAAACUUUAAAUCAAUUAAGAAUAAAAUUUUGGCAUGGAAAAAUGUGAUGAAAUCAAUUAGAAAGUUGAGACAUAAUAAGAAGUUUUGAGUAGUAAUUACUCAUGAUUUCUAUAGACAAAACAUAUAAUACACUGAUAAUUUUUUAAAAAAUAUUGUAAAACCUGAAAUAAAAUAAAAAAUAAAAGUUUGGCAUGAGAAUGUGGCAUCUAAUCAUUCUUAAAAAUAAGACUAACAUUGAAUAAUAAUUAGUUAUGAUUUGAGAAACAAAAAUGUUAAAGAUGUAAACUGGUAUGAUUUUUAUCUAUUGGGUUAAUUAUUUAUUUUUAUUAAAUUAUAUAUAGUGUAAAAUUUAAAGAUUAUUAUUUGCUCAAAAUUUUUGUAUUUUUCGUAUAUUUGAAAUUUAAUCUUUAUAUUUUUUAUUUUCUGUGAUUUAGUCUCUCUACUUUUUGAAUUGAAAAUUUUAAGUUUAUUUAUUAACACUGUUAAAAAGUUUUUGUGUUAGUAUGGCAUUUUGAAAAAUAAAAUAAAAUUGAUAUCUAUGUUUUUAAUUAUUCCAAAUAUUGUUUUACUAUUUCAAGAUAAACUUUUUGUGUCUAUACCAAUAUCUUAAGAACUAUUGUUGCAUGUUUAAUUAUUCUAAAGAUUUGUUGAUUGAGUCUUGGUUGAAGUGCAUUAUUCUCCUAUUUAUGAAUUGGGGAGUUGAUAAAGUACUUUAUUUUAAUAUAUUUUAAAAUAUUAAAAAUUUAUUAAAAUAUUUUUUAUAAAACUUGAUUGUACCACAAUAUACAAUUUUAAUAUCAAAUUUUUAAUUGUUUUUUAAAAAUAUUAGCGAAUAUAUACUUUAUUUCAAGUUACACAAUUUUUACUAGCUUUUAACUUUUUUUAAAAUUUUUAUCGUCUUUUAUAAUUUCUAAUAAUUUUUUAUAAUUUUUUACAAUAUUUACAAUUUCUAACAAUUUUUAAUAAUUUUAUUAUUUAUUUCAAAUUUAAAAAUUAACAAAUUUUUAUUUUUUUAAAACAAUUAUAUAUUUAUAAUGUAGUUAUUUUUUUAUAAUUUUUUUUUGAAAUUUAAAGAUUUUUUUGGUUUUUUUUUUCUAGAUGAUGAUGCCAUCAUGAUGCCAUCAUAUGCCACAUGCCUUCUAAUUUGUUGUCAUAUAGACAUAUUUCUUCGAGCGUAGUUGAAUUAAAAAUACUUGAUGGAAUCUGACCUGCACACAUAGUCGAAAAUUGAAGUGAAAAGCAUACCUUCUAAGCUGUUAAACUAAAAAUACUUUAAGCAUAUUUUAUUUUCCAUCAAAUUAACUAUUUUGCCUUGAAUGAAAUAAAAUGUUCUUAUUUUUGUUAUCUAUUACAAAUCAAACUCUUUUAUGAAAAAACUAUUUUAAAUUAAAGAAACAAAGAAAAUUCAAUAUCUUCUAAGUUAUUCCACUCCAAAUAUAAUCUUCAGUGAAGAAAUCUUGAAGAUGGAAGAUGGAACCUUACCAGAUAAUUGAUUGAAUCCCAAGCUCAAGGACUCUAGAUUAGACAUGUUAACAAGUGUUUCAGGGAUUGUGCCUAUAAAGUUAUUAUUUUUCAUUUUCAGCCUUCGAACUCCCUGUAAGUUCCCAAGCCAUGAUGGAAUUUCCCCAUUAAGACUGUUGUAUUUUAAUCGAAGGAUCCUCAAACGAUGCAAUUGGCCCAAUUCUUUAGGGAGAUGGCCAUAGAAAUGGUUUCUACUCAAGUCGAGAGAGAGUAGAAAUGAAAGAUUUCCAAGGUGUGGAGGGAUACUACCCCUAAGAUUCAUGCUUUUAAGUUUCAAAGCUAUAACUCUUUUAUGGAGGAUGCCACAAGAAACACCAAUCCAAUUGCAAACAGAGGUUGAGGCCGUCCAAUUGUUUGCCAAGACAUUUUGAGGACCGGCAAUGCGAUCCUUAAACUCGAGAAGUGCAAACUGAUCGGAGUUGAGAUUCCUGACUGUCAUACCCCAGCAAAGUCCGGAACAUGGUACGAAUAAAGCUAAAAGAAGAUGAAAGCAAGUGUUGUAGUUCAUGAUAGCAAGACGGAAUAAGCCAAGAAAAUAAAAAAAAGUAGGACAAGGGAAGUUGAGUUGAUAAAAUAGUUUGGAUGAUGAAGAAAAGCCCAGAGAGCAUGCUUUAAUAUGUUUUGAAGAAAUUUCAAAAUAAAUUUCAAAAUAAAUUUCAAAAUAAAAAUUUAAAAAGGAAAGCAAAGUUUUGAAGAAAUUUCAAAAUAAAUUUCAAGUCUUCUUCUUUAAAAAAUACGUACAAAGAGCGAAUUUUCAAAAUUUCUCCUAAAUUUUCUUCACAUUACUCCACAUAAUCCAUUAAAAAAACUUAAAAAAUAUAUUUUAUUAAUUACUAUACAUUCUUUUACUUUCAGAAUAAUAAAUUGUUUAAAAUUUGCUAUUAGUCCCUGUAAUUUAAAAGUUAAAAAAAAAAUUCAAUCCUCCUACUUUUCUAAUUUAAAAAUUCUAGUUCAAUCAAUUUUAAUUUUAAAAUCUUUGUAUAAAAGGUGUUUUUUUUUUGUGACCGAUCACACUUAACCAAUAUUUAAAAAUUAUUAAAAAAUAUUUUUUUUUGAAAUUUAAAGUGAUCUAAAAACAUAUUUUUAAGUACUUUGGACAGUCUAUUGUUGAUUUCCUUAUUAUAUUAAGUGUUUGCAAUCACUCCUAAUAUAUUGUGCUUGAGUUGUGACAAAGUCGAUCAUCAAAUUGCCAUAAUGAUCUAUUGAUGCUGAAAUUAAAGUUUUUGUUAUAUUGAUAGAGCUUGUCCUUCAACGCGUACAACGUGUUUGUUAUUUUUCUCCCUUCAAAUUGUAUGAUCUUAUUCAUUAAAUGAAUUAAUGAAUUUCCCUUUUAAAAAGAUAUAUUUUUAAAAAUUAAAUACUUUAUAAAAUAUUUAAAAAUUUGUAAGCCUUAAAACAAUCAACAAAAUAUUUUUGAAAUUUUAUAAAUAUAUUUUAAAAUUAUAGUAACGCUACAAAAUAUAUAUAUUUACUAAUUAUAUGCACCUUUUUUAUUUUUUUUCCUAACAUAUCAUUAUUUUCAACACUAUCGUAAUCCUGUUUUGAUAAUUCCCUUUCCAUACAUCCUUUUUCUACAUAGAAUUUCAAAAGAAAAUGUGAAUUAAUGUAAACGUGAGAAGACUUAAUUACAUUUAUUAGUUUAUCAAUCAAAACUUAAUUAGAAUCCAUCAAUAUUUCACACAUCAAAAACCCAAACAUAAAAUUCACUUUUAAAUUAUUUGAAGAUACAUUUGUAUUAUAGGAAAUGGAUUAAAUUAGUCUUUUAUUAUUAAAUGUAUUAUUUUAAUCUUUGUAUUAGGUAUGAAUUGUAUCUCCUAGAUUGAAGCCAAAGCUAUUCUUGAAAGACUGAAAUUAAGAUUCAGAUGUGUUGAGAUGGAAAGUGGCAACACAAUGUUGAUUGAAACUAUUUAUAACGGGUUGGCUACAAUAAGUAGUGCUGCCGAAGUAAGACAGAUUCACGAUUGGUGUUCCAAAAAUUGGGAAGUCAAAUUUCGACAUAUUCAACGAAAUGCCAAUAAAGUUGUUGAUUGCAUAGCUAAGGCAAAUGGAGGCGUAAUUGAGCAGCUGGUUAUCUUGGAAGAUCCUCUGCAUUAUGUGAGAUGCUAGCUUGAAGAAGAUAUUAGACAGUCACUAGUGACUGAUGAUAAUUUUCAUUUGGACUGAUGAGCGCUUAAUUUUCUAAGCUUAUGUUCAACAAAAAAAAAUUUAAAUACGUCUAAAUUGUAAUAGAGUUAACAUUUAGUGUUUAAAAAAUAUCUUAAAAAUUAUUUUUUUCCAAUUGCAGUUCAAUUCCACAAAUAUCGACGAUGAACCCGGACAUAAAAAUUACAGAAAAAAAAACACAUCUAUUAUCAAACCAGCAAUCCAUGUCUAAACUUAAAUUAACAAAAUUUGCCACACAACGCCCGGUACACUAUUAUAUAUCUAUACUAGAUUUAUUCUAGAUGCACAUGUUUUAUUAUAUUUAAAAAUUAAAAUGUAUGGUUGACUAAGUUUUAGUUGAGUUAGUAUUGAUAUUAUUGUCAGUGUAGGAAAAUGUGAGUUUAAUCACGCUCAAAUGUGUUUUAUCCUCCAAUUCAAGGGUUAGGAAAAGGUUAUUGAUAAUUAAAUUAUACCAACUUUUAUAAUAUUAAAAAAAAGGAUUUAUAAAUAAUAUAAGGAAAAGAAAAAAAGAGAAACAUAUUCAUAUUGAUGGGCUCUUUCAAUAUUAGACUUUUUUUUCUAUCACAAGUAAAAAUAUCAAAGGUGAUAAUAAUUAAAUUAUAAAAUUUAAAUUGAGAAAAUAGGGGAUAAAAUUUAUAAGUUUUAAAGUAUAAAGAAUGAAUUUAUAACUAACAACAUAUUUUAACCACAUAAUAAAAGUAGUUAUGGAGAGGAUCAUAUAAAAUGCAAAAAUGAAAUAAUAGAAAAGAAAUAAGUGUUGGGUAUAGUGGCAAUGUAUAUUAUACUUCUAAGGGGAGAUCAAGAUUUUAGACAAGGGAAGAAUUUUAAACCUGCUUUUUUCUCUAGAACUCAACGCAAACCUCAAAUUUAUCUUUUUAAAAGAAUUUAAAAAUAUCUAUAUAAAAGGUGAUUUUUUACCGAUCACACUUAACAAAAUUAAAAAAAAAUUGAAAUUUAAAGUGAUCUAAAAACAUAUUUUAAAGUGCUUUUGACCAUCUUGUGCUGAUUUCUUUAGUAAUUUGAUUUGUUCAAUAUAGAUUUUGGUGACUUAAAACAAAAUUAAUAAAAAAAUAUUUUAUCAGAUAUCUUUUUAAUGUUUAAUAAUAAGUUAAUUUAUAAAAUAUACUUUCAUUGGACACAGGGCCUCCAAGGCGGUGAACCACUAAUCAAAUUAAUUUUGAGAUACUUAAAUUUGUUUUCAUCAAUUAAGAAAUUAAAAAAAUUUGUUGAGACCUCAUGAUUAUGUUUUAUAAUUUCAGGCUUAUCAACUAUUUUGAAAAACAACAAAACGUCUUACACCAAAAACUAAAAAAAUAAAAACGUCGACAUUAAAUUUGUUGCCAUGCAAUCAAUUUUAAGAUGGUUUUUGGAGUUAUAUAUCACCUUAGCAUUGACUUACUUUUCUACACUUAGUCUUCUCCAACAAGUUAAAUAUUUCAAUUUUAACAACAUUGACAGGUCUUUGGGGUAGGGUCGAGCAAAACUCAAUAUAGGCUGAGUUGGCUCGGCCAAGUCGAGUCGACUUGUUCAAAUUAUUUAAAUUCGUAAUUUUUAAGGUGCAGUUAGAAUUUUUUGUUUUGAGAUGCUAAGAUUAAAAUAUUUCAGUUGCUAAAACAAAAUAUUUGUAUUUAAAAAGGCAUAAAUUAAAUAAUUAAGUUUUUCGAGUUUCCAUUUAAUCAAAGGUUAAAAGGACUAAAUUGAAGCUUUUUAUUUUUAAGAAAGGCUGAAUGACAAAUUGCCCAAAGCCAUGCCCCUAGCUAUACAACUAACUUCUCUAUGAUUAGUCCUUCGUUUGCUUUGGGUGAAAUCUUCCAACUAGCCUCAUCCUUGGUUUUACUUUCCAACAAUUAGUGUAUCACGAGUUUUGUUUUCUUUAAAAAAUAUUUGUGGAUAUUAGGAGAUAAUGAAAAUUAUUUUACUAUGAAAUUUUAAUAAAACUGGAAAAUAAGUAAUUUAUUUUAAGAGGUCGCAAUUAAACGUUAGAUUUCCAAUUUUUAAAUUUUAAUUUUUUUUUGACAAUUGCAUAAUAUUUUGAGUGUUGUAGGAAUGCCAUAAUAUAACCUUCCCUAAACAUAAUCGACUCUUGAGCAUGAUGGAUCCUAGAACUUCUCCUCUAUUCUCGUACCGCAAAUUGCUUCAAGUGUGGGUUCGAACAAUCACAAAUUAAACACAAAACCAGAAAUGAUUUAUUACUUUCAAUAGCAAGGUAAUUCUCUCUCAAUAGAAACCAAUAGAAGUGUAAUUCUUAGAAAAUAAAAUUUAUUUUUUGAAAAUAUAUUCUCACUACUUUCUAGCAGAAUAACAAUAUGUGAAACUUAUGUCUUGUGUUAAUAGCUCUACCAGUACUCUCUAUUUAUAGGGAGAGAUACGAGAAUCCUGGUUGAAUUAGUAAAACACGAAUAAUAUUUAUUUCAUAGAAAACAAUAUUCCACCCUAAGUAGAUCAAGUUUGUAUGACGCAUGGAUCAAAGCUCAAUCUAGGAGGAAAAAAAUAAAGGAAUUUUCUUUGUAAAGAAAAUUUGAGAUUGUACUAUUUUCAAAGUUAUAAAUAAAAUUAUACGCCAAAUUUUUAAGUCAAUUUCAACUCCAAUUUUGUAUGCACAAAUUUCUAGUACACUUGGUGGGACAUUCUUUGACUUUUAUCUAUUCUCUCAAAAAGUUAAAGUUCAAAGUUACAUUAAACUCAAAGAAGAUAAUCAUUAGUAAACCACCUCACAAGCCUGCUCAAACUAAUCCUACAACUCAUUCCACUUCAUCAUCAAACACCAAUGUUCUUGCUUAUCCUUAUGGAAUUAAACAGUCUCAUUUUCUGCAUUUUGGGUACACACCUGGUUUUAUUUGAUGCUAAAACAGUCCCCGAGCACUCCAAAGCCUAUAAUUGAACAAAUAAUACUAAUUUAAUCUUACAUAACAUGAUCCCAAAUUGAACUUGUAUCGAGGUUUUAACCCAUAAGUGACUAAACCUUACCUUCAACCGAGUGAACAGUAAUUCCCACACAAACUAAGACUCCGAUUGAAGAUUACGAGCCAUUGAAUCCUCCCCUAAUUGGCAUAAACAAAACACUUCAAAAGAAAGUCAACAAAUGGAGACAAAUCACUUAUCUAAAACUUACCGAACGAUCACAGACAAACGUGAAGCGACACGAGGCAGAGUGGGAAAAGAAAAAUCAAGAGGAUGAAGGGUGAAAGAGAGCAGAAAUUCGGUAGCAAUGAAGAGAAAAACGGCAAGAAAGUGGAGGGAUUUUGGGGAAAGUAAAAAAAAAGAUGAAUAGAAUAUUUGAUAACUACCCCAAUCCCUUAUUUCUCUCUAUCAAACUCCCCACUAAAUCCACUACUCAAAUUUUUAGUCCAUCUCAAACUCUCCUGGACGCACGAGCAAAAAAUAAUGCCCAUGCCAAAAUUUAAACAAAAGACCUCCUUCACACCAACACUCCACUUAUCCACCAGACCAAUAGGCUCAUUCUUUUAAUUAUUUUCCAACUUUUACUUAAAAGCCUACUGACCAAAGAUAGGGCUUAUUCAUAAAAAUACCAAAUUUUGCCCAAGACCUGGCUUGAACUUGGGACCUCCCAAACACACCCAGAACACAUAACCACUAAAGCAGACAUAAAUUUUGUGUCACACAUUCACAAUACCCAAAAUUAAAAUUUUAGGGCGUUACAAAAACACAUUAAAUAAUAUCGCAUAAAAUAAUCACAGUUAGAUAACAGUUCAGAAUGUCGAUUUUACAAUUUAACCACCAAUAGUAUCACAGUAUUCACAGUUGUAAUUUCAGAAUAUCAAAUUUCCACAUGAUUCACAAUAUUCACACAUAUAUAAAUAUAUCAUAAUAGAAUUCCAGAUUUGUAUGCACAUGAUUUAGAAGAUGCCAUACAAUUUUGGUUUUUAACAGAAUAAAUCCUACCCCACGUUACAUACCAUAAUGGGAGUUCCCCUAAACUCCCUUCUCCAACACACUAGGUUAUGGAUAAACCACUAUUGGUUCACAAAUAAUAACUGUCAUUUGGCUGUGGACACACAGCAAGUCCCCACAAUUGGAUUCUAGAUUUGGUUGUGGAUUCACAGCAAAAAAAUCCUACAAAUGAAGCCUGCUUUUGCCUGUAGAUUAUACAACAUAUACCCGCAGUUGGAAUCUGUCUUUGGCUGUGGAUGCAGUGUAACACCGCAAACUCGACCUGGACAUUAUGGCUGAAUCUUGAUGAUUUACUUUAACUCGCUAGAAAACCCACGAAUUUACUUUAAAAUCAUGUGGUUAAACUAGUGUUCACUUUGAUAAAUUGUUUUCCAGUUUUAGAGAAAUUUCUUGUUAAAACUGUUACUUUAUUACAAUAAAACAUUAAAGUAAUUGUAUCAUUUUGUAGUGGAAUCUACUAAGCUAUAAGGUUUUGAAAAUCGUGAUUUAGUUUGCAACAAAUCAUUUUGCAAAUAGAAAUUUAAUACUACUUAAUUUGGAAAAUCACGCUAAAACGAAAGCAAAGUCCAAAAUAAUUUACGGUUUGAAAUUCUAAAAAGCCCAAAUUAGACAUAAAGUCUAUUUAAACCAAUUUAUUGAAAGUGUAACACCCUAAACCCGGCCUAUAUGUUAUGGCCAAAUCUAGAUGUGUUACGAAAAAAAGUUUAUAAAAUGACUUCCUUGUUAUUGGCAAACCAUCGUAACCAUUAUUACUUAGUAUAUCUGAUUUGUUUGGAAAACUUAUUGAUAUACUUAUUUGAUUUAAAAUCGUUGCUCGCUUAUGCCUUUUUAUUAAACCAAAUAUUUUGCAGCGGAGUUUCUUUACAACAUCAUAUUUUGGAAAAUCAAAUUGUUUCUUGAAAAUCGUUAUUUUAGAAAAGUUUUCAUUUUCAGAAAAAUUAUUUUAUCAGUUGUUAUGCUGAGAAAACAAAAUAAAAUCCAAAACCAAAAAUAAUCGCAAAAAGUCUAGAGAGUCCCAAAAUGACAAUACUCUUAAAACUAGACAAGCUUAAACUAAUUUUAAAAGAAUGAAAUUUUACAGAAAUGUGGACACCACUGAGCUUCCGUCGCACCGACCCACCUAAAUCUGAGGGUUACUUGAACAGAACAAACAAACAGAGAGUGAGUUUUGAAACUUAGUGUCUAACGCAUAUAUAAACAAAAAUUCAGAAUCAAUCUCAUGCAGAACAGAUACAAGUGUAAACCUUUUAUAAAAUUAGAAUUGUACAGAUACAAAUAUGCAACAUCCUACCCUCAUCCUCUACACACCAACUCCGACCAUCCUAUCACACCACGUGGGGUAUAAAAUACCCAUCCAGCCCUACACACCGUAUAGUGUUUAUAUGACACUUUUUGGAAUAAUCGCAGCAGAGUUGCCAGUAUAUAUGCGAGAUAUCACCUCACAUAGAACACUUCCUCCUCAUAAUACAAAUCCCGCCUCAUAGCUAGAUACAGACAAAAUAUGAUGUAAAAUAAAUUAACAGAUACUAGAGUUAACAUAUCACGCGUGAGCGUAUAAUAGAUAUUACACAUGCUUAUGCAUAACAAAAUAGAUCAUACAUAUUGUAUUCCAUAAUACUCAUAUAAAUGUUAUUUACGUCAAUCUCAAUCUAACAGAGUAGCAGAUUUCAUGCUUUAACGCUUAUACCACACAUAUAGACCCUAUAGAAGGCCCACAGUCGAUCGAGACAACAUGUAUGUCGCUAGGGAAAAAAUUUGUAAUUUGGGCCCAUAUACAUGUAUGAGCCCACACACCCAAAAUGGCCUUGCCCAUGUGGCUCACCAACCUAGCACUCAGCCCAUACGGUCCAAAAUGGCCUAGGUCGUGUGUCACACACAGCCGCAUGUUGCACACAGCCUACCACAUAGCCAGUCACAAAACUGUUUGGAGUUGAAAAGCCCAAUUUUUGGCUUUCGUCAAUCAUCAUUUUCUUACGUUUUCAUUACACACCUGGUUUGAUUCUGACGCAAAAGCAACCCUAUGUCCACCGAAACCUAAAAAUAGCAUUCCAACGCCCAAUUUCAGUGAACAUUUACAAAACUCAAACAAAAACUAUCCAAAAACAUAGCCUCACAAUAGCAUCCAACGCACUCGCACACUUAUCGUCAACAAAUAGGAAACACCCAACACUCAAUUCGUUGGCGGAGCACCAAUUAUGAUAAUGCAAAAAUUUUAUGGAUUCUCAACACUAUCGAUCCGAAUGUAAGAUUGAUGCUUUCCAAUUAUGAUAAUGCGAAAAUUUUGUGGGAUGGUUUACAUGAAUUUUUUUUGUUGUCAACGAUCAACGUAUUCAAUAAUUAAAAUAAAAUAUUAGUCGUUUUUAGAAAACCAAGACUAUGAGUGUUGUAGUUUAUUUCAGUAAAUUAAAGGUUUUGUGGGAUGAACUAGAUAAUCAUGAACCAUUGAUUUGUUGCAAGUGUGGACAAUGUUUAUGUAACUUAGGGAAGGCGCAUGAACAAUGUCGUGAGCAUGAUUGACUUCAUCAAUUACUUCUUGCUCUCUAUUGUAAUUGUUAUGCUCAAACUAGGUUUACACUGUUUUACCAAGAUCCUUUGCCUUCCUUAAAUCAGGCAUUCCAACAAAUUACUUAGGAGGAACAUGUACGUGGAAUUACACUGAUUAAGGAAGAGAAGUCUGAUAUUUUAGGCUUUGCUAUGCGUACAGAGGGUCAUAACAAAGGCCGAGCUAAUUGUAUUGAUAAGUCAACCUUGUUGUGCACUCAUUGCCAUCGCAAAAGGCAUGAGAUGGCUACCCAUUUUGAAUUACAUAGCCACUUGGAUUGGCGGCUUAAGAAGUAUGGGAAGCCAGAGAAGAAAAGUGAUGAUCGUGGUGGUAAGACAAGUGCCACAUCUUCCACGUAAGUGUUUUAUUUCAAAGGAUCACAAUUAAACAUUAGAUUUCUCAUUUUUAAUUUUUUUAUUUUUUUAACAGCUACGUAAUUAACGAGUACCAAUUUUGGGUGUUGUAGGGGUUCUAUAACUUUCCCUAUAUGUAAUCGACUCUUGCACCCACUUUUUUUUCUCUAGAAUUCAAUGCAAACCUUAGAUUUAUCUUUUUAAAAGAAUUUUAAAAUCUCUUUAUAAAAGACGAUUUUUUUAGGUGACCAAUCACACUUAAGAAAAACAAAUCGGUGGCAACUCCUUUCUAAUAAAUGUAAAAAACUUUUUAAACAAAAUAAGGUUGAAAUAAUCUAGUUGUCGUUAUACUUUGAUAAAAUUUUAGAUUUAGUCCUUAUACUUAAAAGGUUAAAAAUUAAGUCUUGUUUUUAUUUAAAAAUCUUAGUCCUAUCGUUAAUAUUGUUUUUUUUUGUCAAAAUUUGUCAAGUUGACAUAUUAAUUAGGUUUCUCUUAUAUAUCGUGGUAUAUGACUAACACAAAAUAAACAAGUUGACAAAAUCUACAAAAAAUAUCAAAGAUGAUAAUAGUUUAAUUAAAAUUUUUAAAUUAAAAAAGUAAGGGAUUAAAUUUAUAACUUUUAAAGUACAAUGAAUGAAAUUAUUGAAAUACAAGAACUAACAACAUAUUUUAAAAUAUUACUAGUAAAUUAUAUAUCUACAACAAGAAUUGUAACCUCUUAUAUUAUAUUCUUGUAUCUAUUUUUGCAUCUUUCAUUAUAAUAUGAUUUAUUAAUUUUAAUAUUUUUAUAGAAUAAUAUGCUUUAAAUAGUUUUUUGUAUAAUUUAUAAAAAUUAUAAUAAACUUACAAAAUAAUUUAAUGAUAUUUAAUUAUUAACCAAAAAAAAUGAUAUCAUAUAUAUUAUGUAUAUAUUAAGAUUCCGAAUCAUUAAUUAUAUAUCUACGCAUUAUAAUAAAUUCAUCUUUCAAAAUUUUCCUUAUAAUUAAAGCAUAAAUUAUAUUUAUAAUAUUAUAAAUAUAUUUUAUCAUAAAUAUUCUUUCAAAUAUUUUUUAAUGUUUAAUAAUAAGUUAAUUUAUAAAAUAUUUUUUCAAUAAAUUAAUGUGAUGAGAUCGUUAGGUGCUUGGAUUUGGUGAAGGGGGAUGAAGAGAAAAGGGAUGGAAGUGAAUAAAAAUGUUGAGAAAUCGAAAGGGUUAGCGAGGGAAGCCGCCAUGAAAGGUGGUUCAAUGGAUAUGAACCAUCAAGCUUUUGUGGAUGAUGUUACUCAAGGUUGUUGCAAGUAAAUUAAAAAAUAUUUUUUUAAAUUAUUUUUUUGUUAAAAAACAUUUUUUAUUUUUUAUGUGGCAUGCCACAUUAUCAUAGUAUCAUGUGACAACUUCUGGUGAUUUCUGUCUGUAACAUUAGUCAAAUCAACAGUUAAAUCGUUCAACUCACAGUUUUUGUUAAAUGAAGAGGUCAAUUGGUUUUUUUGGAAUCAUUGAGUACUCAAUUGGUGCACUUUUAUCAUAAAGGCUAAAUUAAUUUUUUUAAUUUGUUAUUGUUGAGGGCUAUAACAAUAAAAAAAUUAAUGUAAAAUGAAAAAAAUGUUAGAGCUAAAUUUGUCAUUAUAACUAAAAUGUAAAACCAAAAUUUUUUGAAAAAUGAAAAAAAUGGAAAAUCACAAAUUCUAUCACUUAUGUUUGCUUAAAAUUAUAGUUUUGGUCACCAAUCUUUUGAAGUAAAUAUAUGGUCACCAAUAACUCACCUUAAAGUUAUACCCCUACGCAAGAAAGGAUUAAAUGACAUUGGAAUACCAUAAAACUUGUAUCUUUUUUUAUUCAUCUAAUACCAUUUUAACAUUUUCAUUUUAAAAAAUUGACAUAUCAUUUUGAAUUUGAUCUUUUUCAUGGUAUCUCAAAUUCAUUUAAUCUUUCCCUCUCUAAAAAAGCUAAUGUAACACAUUAAUGACAUCAUUUCAAACAAAGUUUUAGGUCAAAUUAUUCAUCUAGUCCUUGUAAUUGUUUUUAUAGGUGAAUUUCAUUAUUAUUCUUUUAUUUUCUUAGGCUUAAAUACACAUUUACCCCUAAUUUUAUCCCAUUCUCCUUAAUUGGUAUUUAUGGUUUAGAAAAUUUUAUAAAUAUAUUAUUUUUUAAGAAAUUAUAAGAAGAUUACAAAAAUUCCAAAAUAAUAUAAAAAAGCCAAGGAAAACCUAGAAAUUCAAAAAAAAAAAAAAAACGUCGACAUUGAAUUUGCUGUUUCACAUUCAAUUUUUGGAGAAGUAGAAUUUUCUAACUUAUUUUCCAUCAACUUGACUUCAAUUUUCAAUCACAAUCAAUUGCAUUCAAGAGCACCACAUCUGUUUGGAUGAAACAAACCUCUCAAUUUUAAGAUAAACGGGUCUUUAGGGUUAUAAAUUGAGGGCCUUUUCCACAAUUGCGGGUGAUUCGUUGAUAAUAACCUCAACAUUUCUGUAUCACAUUUCAAUUUUUAAUUUUUAGAGAGAUGAUUGGGUUACAAGACUGGUUUGAAGUGAAGAUAUUUCAAAAGAAGAUCGAAUACUCUACCAAUAGUCAUAAUUUAAAAUUCAGGUUAUGUUUCAUUUCAGCUAAGUUAAAUGUUAAGAUUGAGGUUAAACCUUUUAGAGGUUGCUCACAAAAGGAUCAAACCUUUAUAAAAUUGCCUAAAUGAAGGUUAAACCUUUUAAAAUAGACAAAUAAGGGCCUAACCUUUUAAAAGGUGUUCAAAUAAGGGUUUCUCAAACGUUGUAUAUCAGGUUAUGUGUUUUACUCUAAACACAUCGACAUUUACCUAUUUUUUCUAUAAAUUUGGUUGAAGUGCAUGAAAAAUCCUUAUUUGAGCACUUUUGUAAAGGUUAAUCUCUUAUUUGACCAUUUUGAAAGGUUUGAUCCUUAUAUAAGUAACCUCUAAAAGAUUGAGCACUAAUUUGACAAGUUUGAGAAAUAUCUAAAUUUGUUUUCAUGAAUCAAGAAAUUAAAAAAGAAAUGUUGAGAAAUAUUUUAGAGAUUCUUAGCUUUGACAAGUUCCCUCCACCAUCUCCCUGCCUCCAGUCCCACCUCUUCUCUUAUGCUCCUUCCAGCUUCUUGCCUUUUGUGUGUUGAAAAUUCAAAGGAACAAAAUAUCAACCUACAUCAUAAGGCACGAUCGCCAGAACUUUACUUUCUAGCCUGUCGAUCCGAUCCAAUCCAAUGAAAGAAGAACAAGGAGUCUUAAGAUCUGUCAACUUUAUUUCAUUUUCAUUUUCUUUGUCAUUUUCUAUGUUUCAUGUCGAAUACAAUGAAAGAAGAACAUAGAAAAAUGUGGCCUAUUUAUUUCCCAAUCAUCAUGAAAUUACUUGCCAUUGACUUAGAAUUUUCUCACCAAUUUUCAAGCAAUCUGACAUGAUUUCUCAAUCACAAUUAAUUGAAUUCAAGAUCUUUUUAGAUGACACAAACAUUUCAAUUUUAACACAAACCAAUAUUUCGGUUAUACUUCAGUGCUUGACAAGCACUUUCACAUUUGUGGGAUAAGAACUCUUAACAUUUUAGGAUCACAUUUAAUUCAAUUGCAUUUAAGACCUCAUGGUUUUAUUCUAUAAUUUCAGUCUUAUCAGCCUUUUCGGAAACAAUAAAACGUCGACAUUAAAUUUGUUGUUGAUGCAUUCAAUUUUUUGAGGGGUCUUUGGAGUUAUAUGUGACUUUAGCAUUGACUGACUUUUUUAUAAUUUAUCUUUUAUAAUAAGGUAAAUAUAUUAAUUUUAAUAACAUCGACAUGUUUUUUAGUAGGGUCGAGCAAAACCCAAUUAAAAUCGAUGAUAUUGGCUUAGUUGACUCGGUCAAGUCCAUUAGAUUGAUAAAAUCAUUUUUAAAAUCAGUUAUAAUGGAUAAAGGUAAUUAAUUAUCGAGUAAUGAAAUACAUAAUCAAAUCAAUUGAUUUUGUUAGAAACUAAAAGAAAAAGGGCUAAGCUGAAAAUUGAUUGCCCUUUAUUAAAAUUAACGAAUCUGUCUUUUACGUAUUAGAUAAUAUGAACAUCGCAUAUAUAAUAAGAAAAAUUACGUAUGAUUAUUUAUUAUCAUAAAAGGUUAGUUUAAAUUUAAAGUAAUCUAAUAUGUUUAUUGAACUUCAACUAUUAAAUAAAGUAUAAGCUAAAUAAGUAUAAAUAUUCUAGAAACCAUUUCUAACUGAUGAUAGGCUAAUUCGAUUAAUUUAUAAAAACUAGAUAGUAGGGUUAUAGUCCUCAAACUACACCUAAUUUAAUAACAUUUAUAUUUUUUUUAGCCUUAAACAUUUAUAGUUUUUGUUAAUUUGGUCCUUACUCUUUAAAAUUACAUAAAAAUUGCAAAAAAAUUAAAAAUUAAUUUUUAUCAUGAUUUUAAUAACAUUUAUAUUUUUUUUGUGGUUUGGUAACUUAUCAACUUGACUCUUACUUGUAACCAACUUUUCUAACCUUUUUCGUACCCUUAACCUAAGUCCCGUUACAAUUUCUAAAGACCUCUUGAUUGGUGUAUCAUCUCGAUUUGUUUUUAUAGUGGUGGAGAUUUGUUUUUUGUAGUGGCAUGAUUGCCAGAACUUUACUUUCUAUCCUGUCGAUCCGAUCCAAUGAAAGAAUAACAAAGAGUCUUAAGAUCUGUCAACUUUAUUUCAUUUUCAUUUUCUUUGUCAUUUUCUAUGUUUCUUGUCACAUACAAUGAAAGAAGAACAUAGAAAAAUGUUGCCUAUUUAUUUCCCAAUCAUCAUUCUAACAGGCCGAAUUAGCCCAGGCCCAAACAUUAAUAAAAUGUCCAGAUUACAAAAUAACCAACCAAAAAUUAAAAGCCCAAAAUAAUAAAAUAAAACCCAUUACAUUAACCCAAAACUCCAGCCCAAUUACAUUGAAGCCCAAAAAAAUAGUUUUUAGAAACCCCUAGGGUUUCUGGAACAAUCCGCGCCGCUCCUCCAUCCGCUUCUCCACGCACGCUGCACCUUUCCACGUGCGCCUCCAGCUGGCAGUGUACCUCCAAUGCAACAAACAAAGCAACAAGCAGCAAAAGAAAUGGAAAAACAACAAAAAAAAAAAGAAAGGAGCAACAAUGUAUAACAGAUUGAUAACAAAUAAUAGAAAAAAUAGCAGUAAAUAGGAAAAAAAAUUAAAAAAUAAUGAGGGUAAUUUCAUUUUUUUCUCUGUUUUGGCUAUAAAGAGAGCCGGUCAAAAUCUCUAAAGGGGGAUUUAGAAAUCAAUCAGAAAACAAGUAUUUUGUACCAACAAUUAGAGAAAAAAAAUACAAAAAUAGGGAUUGAAGGUUUUUUUUUCUUUCGUUUCGAUUUAUUUUAAAAUAGCAUAGAAAAUAAAAAGAAGGCUUACCUUGCGACGCCUUCAGAUCCUCUCGAAAAGGGGCUAAAAGGCCCUAUGUGGCACAGAUUUGACCACUGUUCACGGUGGAACCGCAGCGGAGGCGCAGAGGAUUGGCAUCAAUUUAGGCAGGGUUUGAAACCCUAGCAGAGAAAAAAUUAGGGUUGAUAGAUUUUUUUUAAAAAAAUGGCAAAAUGUUGUUUUAAAAAAUUUUGUUUUAAAAAAAAUUGUUGCUUUUAUAAAGGGUGUAAAACGGCGUCGUUUAGGGCAUGUUUCGAUGGCCCCAAAACGGCGCCUUAUAAGGCAACCCCCGACGACCCGACCUGCUCCAUGGGGGAUCCGCGUGGUUUUUGUUAAAUGGGUUAUGUCUAACCCUGGCCCUUCUACUUUUUAUACUUGUUUUAAUUUGAUCCUCUUUUUAUUUAUUUUUAUUUCUUUAAAUUAAGCCUGAUAAUUUUUUUCCAUUACAUUUUAAUCCUUAAUGAAACGGCGCGUUUUAGAGGAGAAGGGAAAAUUACCCUUCUAGUCCCUUCUUGUUAUUCGAGUGUUCAGAAGGGUCCUUUUUUGUUUAUUUUUUAUUUGCCCCAAAAUUUUGUUUUAAAGCUUAAUUUAGUCCUAUUUUGUUAUUUUAGCUAUUUUAUUAUUAGAUUAAUUAAUUUAAUAUUAUUAUUACUGCUAUUAUUUUACCCCUAUUAUUUAUAUAUUUAUUAUUAUAACUAUAUCAUUAAAUCAAUUAGUUUUUACAUUAUUAUUUCCAUUCUGUUUUUUAUUUACUUACUUAAAUACUUUAAAUGCAUUUAUUUUAUUUCUUAUUUUUUUAUGAAAUUUCAAAACUUUAGACUAUUUUUUUGUUACUAUAACCCUAAUUUCAUUCAUUUUAUAAUAGUUUUUUUUUAAAAUAUUUCUUAGAUUAAUUCCCUCGAUGUUAUUUUGUAUAUUUAUUUAUCUUUUUAAAUUUUCGAUAUUGUCUUAUUGUAUUAUUGUUGUUACUAUCAUUAUUCAUUAUUAUUGUUGAUUUUAUUCUUCUUUGAUUAAUGUUUAUGUUAGAGUAAUAGGUGUUAUGUGAUCAUUGUUAUUAUAUGUUAUAAUUUGUUGACACUCGUAUUGUAGUCAUUCGUCAGCUUAAUAUUUUGAGUAACAUUUUAAAUAUUACAUUAAUUUUGACCCAAAUGCAUAAUUUUUUAAUAAGUAAUAUUUCGUAUUGUGGAAUUUGAGAGAUCAUUCCCUAACUUACGGGGUCUCGAUUUUUUUGAUAAAUCUGAAUAUAAGAACUAUUUUAAAAAAAUACGUUUUAAAAUUAUCUCGGGAAUUUAAAAAGAAGCGUGUUCUAACUUACGGAAUAUGAUCUUUUUUUAAAAAUCGAGAUAAUCAAAUAUCUUUCAAAUAAAUAAACUUUUCGUGUUUAUUCUCGUUUUAGGAUUUAAGAUAUUGUGUCCUAACUCACGGGACACAAUUCUUUUUCUCGAUUAACGUGAAAUACGCCCUUUUUAAUUUUAUCUUUUUAAGUGAUUUUAACAAAAGGAUUGUAUUUUAAAUCUCUUCAAAAUUUUCAAUUUUUCGACAUUGAGACAUUAACUAAUCAAUUAGGUACCAAUUUUGGGCGUUACAAGGGUGUUAACCCUUCCUUGUACAUAACCGACUCCCGAACCUAUUUUUCUGAAUAUUAUAGGCCAAAAUUGUUUUAAUAAAUUAAACCCUUAAGAGGUGACUCGAUCACAGCUCAUAAAAAUUAUCGGUGGCGACCCUUGUUUUAAAAAAGGUGGUUUCAACAGCUUGGCGACUCCGCUGGGGACAAAAAUAAGAGUCAAGCCGCGAGUUGAUUAUUUCUUAUCUUUUUGUCAGAAAUUGUGAAUUCGAUUUAAAUUUAUGAUCUUUUCAUUGCAUUUUAUGGUCUGCAUCAUUUUUAUAUGCUUGCUUUACUACUUCGAGUCUUUUAAUCUUCGCAUAUUGUAUUGCAUAACCGUUCGGUUAUACCCUUUUAAGCGGGAGUGAGAAAUUAUUCUUUCGUGAGGUUUUCACCUUCGUAUAGGAUAGUGGAUUACUUUCAGGAUACAUCCAUACCUAUGUCUUCGUGAGAUUCUCAUCUCCGUAUAGUCAUAGGGAAAUGUAUUCCCCUGAACUGAACUCAGUCCGUAUGAGCCUAUAAUGGGUGAGGAUUGAGGAAUCUGCUGGUUCAGGUACCCUUUCUUUAGAACUAAACCGCAUGUAGUGAGCCCUAAGAGCAUACCCUAGGUAGAACCACUCCAAACCCCUAGUGGUCACCCAAAUAGGUGCUCUAUUUAUUUUUGCUUGCUUGUUUUUGCCUUGUACUAACCUAUUUGUUAUGGUUAUGAGUGCAUUGCAUUUUUAUCAUAAAAAAGAUGUGUUGAUUCACGUUCAGUUGCUAAAUAGAGAGCUUGUCAUGGAAAACGAAUUUCUUGAUAAAGUGGAAGACAAUGCGGUUGUCCGGAUAUGGUCCAAGAAAAUGUGAAGAAAGAAGGGUGAUAGUCUAAUGGAGGACUACACGACCUUGCUUUGUUGCCUGAUGAUUCAAGUUGACAAAGAUUAUUCGAGAGUCUUCAAUGUCCCGACCUUUUUAAAGAAGCUAACGAGCGUCACGAGGAUGAGCGAGUAAUGAGUUGCGGCCCGGAUCAAGCAAAAAAAAGAUAGAGGAGACACCCUUUUUGAAGAGUUCACGAGAUUUAUCUUAACAUCUAGACGAAGAAAAAGAUCAAUCUCUUUGCCUAGAGUAUGAGGGCAAAGCCGUAUAUAUCCGCUUUAUGUAAAUAAAUUUGUUUUCUAGUAAAGUUUUUCUAAUAGGAUUGAAUCAGAAUCAACGUCUCUUUUUGCAUUCAUUCCAUUCAUCUGCAUUGCAUUUCAUUGCAUCUAGAAUUUCACAAAAGGACCCUAAUUAAUCGAAAUUGUUAUAGCUACCUUGAAAAACUAACGAAAAUUUACCAAUUAAAUAUUCCUAUGGUACCCAUUGCAAAACUAAAGUAAUGGAUCAAAUAUUAGAAAGAUUAGAACAAAUGCUGAAGGAUAAACAUAACUGCUUUGGCUUAGGGUACAAGCCAGAUACAAGACAAAGAAGAAAUAGGAAAGGAGAACACGUUUGAGCGGGGAUGAGGUCAAAUGGGAGGGAUUAUUCAUCCCAGGCGAAGAAUGCCAAGAGAAGAAAAUAUUGAAAACAUGUUGGGAAACGUUCACAUCAAUGCCAUAUACGAAGAAGCAAUUGAAGGAGUGACCUUGUUAGAUAUCCGCCCUUAUGAACCUAAGAGUGUGCUAAACAAUUGGACUGCAGAAGAAAUUCUUGUAGUGUUUAGAGCUUACUCAUAGUAAUGUUCAGAACACACUUGUUGCUUUUAGCCUAGAAGUGAUAAGAAUCCCUCUGUGAAAUAGGCUCAUGUAUAAACAUCAUUAUUUUAAUGAAGUACAUCUUUGCAUUCAUUUUGAGCAAAUAUUCUUUUAUUCUUUUCAUACGAGUAAUUAUUUUGGAUUCUUUAAUUCUUUUGGGAUUUUCUUCCAAAAUCAUUCUUUUAUUACAUCCAUAAUCAUACUGUACAAAUAAUGUAAUAGCCUGAAUUUUCAGUGGUGUCGGAAUGGUGAUUCAAGAUCACUAAGUCUGACAAAUGAGUAGAAAAUAUUAUUAAUUUAGUAAGAAUAAGUAAAUGUGAAGUUAGGAAAAUUUUUGAAAUAGUGAAUAGUGUACUAGGAAUAAAUAUUAAAAUAAUUAAAAUAAAAAAUGAGGUAUCGAGACCUCGAAGAUUUUAAACCAAGCCAUAAGUACUUUUAGAAGUAUUUUUAGAGUGUCAUUGAGUUGGUAUUAAAGUUUCGUUAGAAAAUUUUAACGCUCGGAUAGUUAAUUAACCAAAAAGGACUAAAUUGAAAAUAGUGUAAAAUUUGUUAAAUUGUGAUUAAAUAGCUUAAGUGAUUAAAAAGGAGGGAUUUAAAAGGCAAUUAGGCCCAAAUUAUAUGGGCUGGACGGUUGGGUAAGAAAAAUCAGCAGAAUGUAAGGAGAAACAGGGGCAAAAUUGGAAACUUAACAAAUUAAACAUAUAAAACAAAGACAAAAGUGAAAAAUCUAGAGAUCUGCUCACAAUUUAUCAGCAAAAAUGCCAUAGGAGGUCUGAAAGAAGCUGGUUUUUCAUAUAUUUGAAUCAUGUAAGUUUAAUUCUUGAUUAUUUCUUCUAAUUUUUGUGAUUUUGAUACUUUUACAAUUAGGUCCAACUAAUUAUUUCAUUAGUUUUUGAUUUCAUGGCUGAUUUUGAAAGUUACCAUUGAUGAGUGUUGGAUUUUUAUGAUGAAUAAACAUGGAAUUAAAGCUUUAAUUUUGUUAUAUGAUGAUUUUAUUAAGUAAUUUUGAUAGAAAUUGAUUUUUGGGACCUAAUUGUGAAAAAGUUUGGAAUUAGGGUUUGGUGUUGCGGUUUUGAAUAUGAAAGUCUAUGUAGUAGUCUAAAAUAGUUGGAAAAGGUGUUAAUUGAGAAAAAUUAGAUCAAUUGAGGGGUUAAUUGAGUAGGACCAAAUUGUAAAAACUGUAAAGUUUGAGGUAAAAGUGUAAUUUCGAAAAUUUAAGGGCAUAAAUUGUGAAGUGAAUUAGAAUAGAAUUAUAUGCUGAUGAAUGAAUAAAUUUGUAUUUUAGAUCGAGAACCCGAAGCAAGCCGAGGAAAAGAAAAAGUAGUUGAUUAGUCCCUGAACUUUUACAAAUUCUGCAAAUCGACCCAGGUAAGUUCAUAUGGCUGAAAUUUAAUGAUUAAAUGUUAAUUUCAUGAAUUAUGUAAUGUAUGAUGAAAUGUAUUUAGUGUUGAAAUGAGAGUAAAAUAAAAAUGCGAAAAUCGAAUAAAUGAUCAAAUUAAGCGGAACGCCGGAUUUGAGUACUUCUGAUCAAGAGACAAAGUGAUAAGUGGUAGCUUUAGCUACACUUAUCUGAUCAAGUGAAAAAGUGAUAAGUGCUACACUUAUCUGAUCAAGAGACAAAGUGAUAAGUGGUAGCUUUAGCUCACUUAUCUGAUCAAGUGAAAAAGUGAUAAGUGCUAUACUUAUCUGAUCAAGUGACAAAGUGAUAAGUGGUAGCUUAGCUACACUUAUCUGAUCAGGGCCAAAUGAUAAGUGAUCAUACGUAAGACCAUAGUUAUACUAUGGCCAAGUGAAAGUGAAGUACUCAAUUUUCCGUAACCGUUCCUUAAUUUUGAUCAAGGAUGGUAAGUGACAAAUAGGCCCAAAGAAAUUAUGGUAAAAGAAUAAGUAGUAGUGAGUUUAUACCAAGGAACUCUCCAAAGAUUGUGGUUGACAAGUAAACUUAGUAAUGGUGUAUAUUGUAUAAGUGUACAAAUGUUUGGUAAGAUUUAUGUUUGUGCCUAUGAACUUACUAAGCUUUUCUAUAAGCUUACAUGUGUGUGUUUAUUGUUUUUCUAGAUUAACGUAUUUAUACAUUCGGAGGAUCGGAUCUACUUCGAGAAUCACACUAUCCAGAUAUACUCCGGUAGAUUUUGUUAAACAACUUUUUGGAUUUAUAUGGCAUGUACAUAGAAUUGAAGUAAAAAGUAAUAGAAUGAAUGACUGAGUAUGCAAAGUAAAUUUGAAUGUGAUGGUUGUGUUAGAUAUUGAAAAAUACAUGUUUUUAGUUUGAAAUGGUUGAUUGGCUGAACUUCGUUAGUAUUCAAGUGAAGUAGUUGAAAUACUGGAAUUGGUUGUGAUUUGAAAUUUGCAGGGAAGGUUAGAUAAAUAUAAAGGGGUUAUAUUGAUUUUUUUUAAAAAUUUCAAUGGAAUAAUUUUUGGACAGCAGCAUUGAUGUAACUUUUAAAAAUCACCAAAAAUAGUGGAAAUAGAAUUAGAAGUUGAAUGAGAUAUGAAAUUAAAUCUGAAUGAGUCUAAUUUCACAUGAAAGAAGUAGAAUAAGAAAAAGAGUUAUAUAUUUUUAGAUAUUUGAAUUUUAGUGAAACAGGGCAAGAAUGUUUUUGAAGUCCCCUGUUCUGACUUUAGAAAUUUAGUAAAAAUUGUACAAAAGGAAUUAUGAAUUAUAAUUUAUAUGUUUAAAUUCCGUAAUGAGUAUAUUUUAAGUAGAAAUAAUUGGAACCACCAUAUGAAGUCUUUGCAAUGAGAUAAUUGAAUUUUAGCGACAAGAGGUCAGGAUAGUCAAUUAGUGAAAUAGGGGAGACUUCAACUAAUAAACUGUAUUAAUUUGCUAAACCAAAAAUUCUGAAAAAUUUAUGGUGAAUAUACAUAUGAGUCUAGUUUGAGGGAAAAUUUACGGAUCUAAAUUUUUAGUUUCGUAUCUUGAGUUAUAAUUAUUUUAGUGACUACUGCGCAUGUGGACAGCUUUGUUGUGAAUGGUGAAAUUAAUUUUUAAAGUAAAUUUUUAUGCCCCGAACUUUUAAGUUCAGUCAAGUAACGCCUUAUGCUCGACUCCGGCAACCGUCUUGGGUAAGGGGUGUUAUAAAUAAUUAUUCUUAAAUUCAUACAUUCUUUGUAUAUUAUUUUGUACCUACAAUAGGUCCCUAGAUAUUAACAACAUGAGUGACGUUGCUACAGACUCAGAAUUUCCUUUUAAACAAGACAUGUGUUUAGAGGGAUCCCAUGGCUUUGAAGAUGACGUAGACUGUGGCUUAUCUCUGAAUUUGUUAAGGAUGGUAAAACAAGAGGAGAAGCAAAUCCUACCUCACAAGGAAUCAAUGGAAAUUGUGAGCUCAGAAGGGGGAAAAGAGGUGAAGAUUGAGACUAACAUUGCCACAAAGACAAAGCAUGACCUCGUUGAGUUACUCCAAGAAUUUAAAGAUGUCUUCGCAUGGUCAUACCAGGAUACUCCCGGGUUAAGUACUGGCAUUGUAGUACACUACCUUCUUAUAAAAGAAGAUUGCAAGCCAGUUUAGCAGAAACUCUGAAGGAUGAUGCCUGAUAUUGUGCUAAAAAUAAAAGAAGAAGUUAAAAAGCAAUUUGAUGUUGGGUUCUUACAAGUGGUUAAAUAUUCAGAAUGAGUAGCCAACAUCGUCUCAGUCUCUAAAAAAGAUGGGAAAGUACGAAUGUGCAUAGAUUACAGAGACAUGAACAAGGCCAGCCAAAAAGAAAAUUUCCCAUUGCCUCACAUUGACACUUUGGUGGAUAAUACAGUAGGCUACUCACUGUUUUCCUUCAUGGACGACUUCUCUGGAUACAACCAGAUAAAGAUGCAUCCCAAAAACAUGGGAAAGACUACAUUCGUGACCCUAUGGGGAAUGUUUUGCUAUAAAAUGAUGUCAUUCGGAUUAAAGAAUGUGGGAGCGACGUAUCAAAGGGAAUGGUAACCUUGUUUCAUGACAUGAUGUACAAGGAAAUCGAGGUUUAUGUUGGCGAUAUGAUUGCAAAAUCCAGAACAGAAGAGGAACAUGUGUAGGCCCUAAGAAAAUUAUUCUUAAGACUGAGAAAGUUCCAGCUCAAGCUUUCCAACGAAAUGCACAUUCAGAGCUAGGUUAGGAAAGCUGUUAGGCUUCACAGUUAGUGAAAAAGGAAUCGAGAUCAACCCAGAUAAAGUCAAGGCGAUACGAGAUUUACCUCUACCAUGCACUCAGAAGGAAGCUCGAGGUUUCCUAGGAAGACUGAAUUACAUUGCUCGAUACAUUUCACAACUAACCGAAAAAUGUGACACCAUAUUAAAAUAAAAAUAGAUUAAAUUGUAAGUAAAACAUAAUUUAAACAUAUGAAUACAUCAAAUUAAUAAUACUAAAUGAAUACAGUUAUUUAUGAUGAUGUUGUUGCCAAUUCCUAAUUUGGUGUCUAGUUAAUUUGUGACAUCAUAAAUUUAAGUGAUAAAUUUAAGGUUUUAUGUAUUGAUGUGGAUUCAAAUAUCACCAUAAUUUUUGUAAAUAAAAAACUAAUAAGAUAACUUAUAUUAAGUACGAAAGGGUAUUUUUAUAAUUUCUCUAAUCGAGUUGGUGCCCGGUUGACUCAUGACACUAACUCAAUCAGAAGCUUUAAUAAUAAUAUAGAUAUUCAUGUUAAAAAAACAAAAAAAAAGUACUUUAGUUCCAAAUAAUUAUAUAACAAGUAAAUUUAUAAUUGAUGAAUAAAUUUAUAAAUAAUAUAUUUAUAUGAUCUAAUAUAUUAUAUUUAUAUUAAUUAUAUAUCAUCUACAAACUUUGAAGAUCAAUUUAUUAAGUAAAAAUGAAAUUGUUAACACUAAAUCAAUUUUUAGAUUUUGUAUAGAUGAUUUAGUGAUGAUAAAAACAUUAUUAACACUAUUUUUUAAUUAACAAAAAAUUAGUGAUAUAUUUAAAUUAUAUUUAUCAUUUAUUAUUUUUAAUAAUAUUUUUUAAUUAUAUGAAGUAAAAUUAUAUUGUAUACUAAAUAUGGUACAUAUACUCUAAUUAUAACUUGAAAUUUUAUUAUAUAAAUUAAUAUAAAUUUGAAUAACAAAAUAAAAAAAAACUAAUUAGAAUAAUUUUAAAAAACAUUAUUUAAAAGUAGUUAAAAAUCACGUGCAACAGGUGAGAUCAAUGGUCUUUAGAGAAGAAAUGUUGAAGAUCAAAGUUGGAAUCUGGCCUAUAAGGCCUUUAAUUGCUUUAAUAUUAAGCAGUUCCAAACCAAGAAGAUUACCGAUUUCCUCAGGAAUUUGACCUGCACACAUGGUCGAAAAAUCAAUGUGUCAAACUACCUAUUUUGUUAGCAUAAGUCAAAGAGGUUUUCUUUUCUAUUCUACAUAAUUUGCAGAUGUUAGAUUUUAAUAUUUUUAAGCAUAUUUGUUUUCAUCAAAUUAACUAUUUUGAACUAUUUUGCCUUGAAUGAAAUAAAAUGCUCUUACUUUUGUUAUCUAUUACUAAUCAAACUCUUUUAUAAAAAAAAUACUUUAAACUAAAGAAACCAAGAAAAUUCAAUACCUUCUAGGUUAUUCAACCCCAAAUAUAAUUCUUUGAGUCGUGUCGGAUUUCCAAUACUUCUUGGAAUGAUCCCCAUCAAUUGAUUAUAGGAAAAUGACAAAAUUUUAAGGUUGUUGCAUUUGCUUAUACUUGACGGAAUGUUACCAUAUAAUUCAUUCCGACUCAAGUAAAGCCCUUCAAGCUUGGAAAGAUGUGACACAUAUCAUUAGGCAAGCUACCUGAUAGGCUAUUGUUGGAGAGAUCAAUGGCCUUCAGAGAAGAAAUGUUGAAGAUCGAAGUUGGAAUCUGACCUGUAAGGCCUUUAAUUGCUUUAAUAUUAAGCAGUUCCAAACCAAGAAGAUUACCGAUUUCCUCAAGAAUUUGACCUGCACACAUGGUCGAAAAAUCAAUGUGUCAAACUACCUAUUUUGUUAGCAUAAGUCAAAGAGGUUUUCUUUUCUGUUCUAUAGUAAUUUGGUGAUGUUAGAUUUUAAUAUAAUUCAGCACAUGUUUUUCAUCAAAUGAAAUAAAAAGUUUUUCCUUUUGUUAUCUAUUACAAAUCAAGCUCUUUUAUUAAAAAAAUACUUUAAAUUCAAGAAAUCAAGGAAAUUAAUUACCUUCUAAAUUAUUAAACCCCAAAUAUAAUUCCUGGAGUCGUGUUAGAUUUCCAAUACUUCUUGGAAUGAUCCCCAUAAAUUGAUUAUGGGGCAACAACAAAUUUUUAAGGAUGUUUCAUUUGCCUAUGCUUGACGGAAUGUUACCAGAUAACUCAUUGCUAUGCAAGUGAAGCCCUUCAAGCUCGGGAAGAUGUUGACACAUAUCAUUAGGCAAACUACCUAAUAGGCUAUUCCUGGAGAGAGCAAUAGUCUUGAGAGAAAAAUGUUGAAGAUCGAAGUCGGAAUCUGAUCUGUAAGGCCUUUAAUUGCUUGAAUAUUAAGCAUUUCCAAACUAAAAAGAUUACCGAUUUCUUCAGGAAUUUGACCUGCAGACAUAGUCGAAACAUCAAGGUGUUAAAUUUCCUAUUUUGUUAGUGUAAAUCAAAGAGGCUUUUUAUUUUUUUUCGUUAUGAAAUAAUAUGGAUAUGUUCGAUUCUAAUCAUAUUUAAGUAUAUAUUAGUUCUUGAAAGAAUGAGUUCUUAUUUUUGGUAUUUAUAUUGCAAAUAUAUAUUUUUUUAAAUUUAAAAGAAGGGAGGGGGCAAAUGUGUUUAAACUAAAGACAUCAAGGAAAAGGCAUACCAAGUAUAAUUGUUUAAGUUGUGUCAAAUUCCCAAUGCUUUUUGGAAUGAUCCCACUAAAUUGAUUAAUAGACAAUUCCAAAAUUUGAAGGUUGCAGCAUUUGUCUAUACUUGAUGGAAUAGAACUUGAUAAUUCAUUUCUACUCAAGUAAAGCUCUUUCAGCUUGGGAAGAUGGACACACAAAUCAUCGGGCAAGCCACCAGAAAGACUAUUAUCACAAAAAUGAAUCCUUUUCAAAGAAGAAAUGUUAAAGAUGGAAGAUGGAACCUGGCCAGAUAAUUGAUUGAAUCCCAAGUUCAAGAUCUCUAGAUUGGACAAGUUGACAAGUGUUUGAGGGAUCGUGCCUGUGAAGUUAUUAUUUCUCAUUUCCAACCUUUGAACUCUGUGCAAGUUCCCAAGCCAUGGUGGAAUUUCCCCAUUAAGACGGUUGUAGCUUAAUCGAAUGAUCCUCAAACGAUGCAAUUGGCCUAAUUCUUUAGCCAGAUGGCCGUAGAAAUUGUUGUUGCUCAAGUCGAUAGAAAAUAGAAAUGAAAGAUUUCCAAGGUGUGGAGGGAUAGUACCCCUAAGAUUCAUGUUUGUAAGAUUAAUCAAAGCUACAACUCUUUCAUGGAUGAUGCCACAAGAAACACCAACCCACUUACAGACAGAGGUAGAGUUCGUCCAAUUGUUUGCCAACACAUUUUGAGGAUCGACAAUGCGAUCUUUAAACUCAAAGAGUGCAAACUGAUCGGAGUUGAGAUUCCGGACUGUCAUAGCCAAGGAAACAAUAGAACAUUGUAUGAAUAAAAGUGAAAGAAGAUGAAAGCAAGUGUUGUAGUUCAUGAUGGCAAGACGAAAUAAGCCAGGAAAAGGGAAGUUGAAUUGAUGAAGAAAUAGCCAGCCAACAUGCUUAAAUAGGCUUCAACCCUUGCACACUUCUCAUACAUAAAGUUCGCUGCCAUUACAACAAGAAAACUCAUAUCUCCAUUCGUACCUAUCCAUACUUUAUUUGACUAACUUUUCCCUAACAAGUGUUCAGUAAGGAGAUAAAUCAGUUUGGAGCUAUUCACCGGCUUCUCCAAUCUUGGUUUCAAACUCCUAACCCAUCAAUUCACUUUAAUUGAAACGAUAUACACGAGUCUUUCGGCUUAUAUUUUUAAUUUAAUUUUUGUUACUUUUCAUAAUAUUUUUUGAGAAAUCCAAAUAUUCCAGUCUGAAAUUUCUUCAUUGCCACGUCUAUCUCCUGGGUAAGUCCGUGGUUAGGCAGCCCACUUUGGGAGCAGGAUUGUAAUUGUAAUUCUAUCCGACUCAUUUUACUAUUUAGAAAUAUAAAAGUAAUAUUAUAUUAUUUUUUAUAUUUUUAUAAAUUUAAUUUUAAUUAUAAUUUUUAAACAAUAAAACGAGUCAUUUGUAUUUGCCUAGUCUAAAUUGAAUCAGGAGUCAAAAAAAUUUUAAUCAUAAUUUACUAUUAUUUUAAUUAAUUAAAAUUUAACCUACUACAACUAGUAGUUGCAGAAAAAAUGUCAUUCCUUUAGAAAAACGAAAAUCCUUUAGAAAAAUGAGAACUUAUGAAGCAUUCAAUAAGAGUCAUUGGAAUAAAUGGUAACGAAAUCAUAAUUCAAUAUAAAGCUAAAAAAUGUACCAAUCUAUAUAAAUAAUGUAAGAUUUGUGAUACCUAAAUUAUUAUAUUUUCCAUAAAUAUAUGAAGAUAUUUUAUUAGGAAAUAAUUUUAUAUAUAAAAUUUUUUAUUUUCUUUUGAUAGAAAUUUAAUUAUGUUAUCUGUAGAAAAAAAUAUUUAUAGAAAUAUUAUUAGUAGAAAAUCAUAAAUUUGUGUGUGGCAAAAAAAAUUCACCACCAAGAAAGGGGCAAAUUAAACAACUUGAAACAAGUCAUUGGUUGUUUAAAAUAUUAGAUAAUAAUUUCAGUGAAGAAUCAUUAAAAUUAUGACAAAAUAACCCUAGAUAUUGUAGUAUUAAAUUGGAAAAUCUCAAUAAUAUUAUUAGAGUAAAACCUAUGAUCUAUCUAAACAAGAUAUAGAAGAUUUUGAUAUACAAAUUAAGGUUAGAAAUCAUGCGGAAAUAAAAAAGAAAAAAAAGCUAGUAUGGUCAUUAAUUAUAAAAGAUUAAAUCAAAAUAUUAUUUUUUUAUAGUUACUUGAAUUAAUCAGGCUAAACAAACAAAAUAUUUUAGUAAAUUUGACUGCAAAUCAGGAUUCUAGCAAAUCAUGAUAACAGAAAAGUCCAAACCUUUAACGGCUUUUAGUGCACCCAAUGGACAUUACCAAUGGAAAGUGAUGUCAUUUCAAUUAUGUGAUGCACCACAAAUCUUCCAAAGACGAAUGGAUUUUAUAUUUAAUAAAUAUAAAAAAAUUCUAUGUAGUCUACAUAGAUGAUAUUUUUUAUAUUUUUAGAUACACUAGAAUUACAUAAGAAACAUUUAAAUAUUAUUUCUUAAGAAUUCAUAAAAUAUAGAAUCAUAUUAAACCCUAAAAAUAUAGAGUUAGAAAAAAGAGAGAGAAUUUUUAUAAUAGUGGAAAUAAAAAAUUGUCCUCAAAAGAUUGAAGAAAAAAAGAACUUCCAACAAUUUCUAAUAUAUUCCUCCCAAAUUUUCAGUUUCAAUUUUAUUACAGAAUUUCUUUGCCGACAAUAAGAAAUUAAGAGCGCUCUUUAAGUUGAAUAUAGUCCGUCAGAUAUGGCUAUCUAUAACAUGGAACCUUUGGUUUUCAAGCUGAAUAGGAGAAUUGAUUCACUUGAUAAGUAUGAAAAAUUGAAACUGCUAAAUUUAAGUGCACUAACUCUGGAUAUCAUCAUUAUUUUUCUGUACAUUAAAGUACCUGUUUGAUAUGCGAUUUCUGCCUCAAACUAUCAACAUCUUUAACAUCCUUUUGCUAUAGUUAGCAUGGGUACUUCCUUUUAGAUUAACAGUUAGGUUUGAACUGUGAAUUAGAUUUCUGUGGCUGCUGGGAUUGAAGAAGUUAGUAUGCGAAUGACAUUGGACAAAUUUGGCAAAGUCUUCUCCAUCAGUGAAGAAAACCCCUUGGCGUAUGAAAAAUGUUCACCAUCUUAGACAUUUGUUUUCUUAUUGUAAGAAUAUUUUUAACAUUGUAACUUUUAACAUUAUUGUAAGAAUAUUUUGAAUUAUACUUCAGUUAUCAAUUUAUAUCAUAUAUCUUUUGUUGAAUUUGAAGUAUAAUUUAUAUUUGCUGUUUUUGGUUAGAUUUCAUGCUAUAGGAAGGGUUGUAUAUGGAUAGAAAUUGAAUGUUACAAAUCUGCCAAAGUUAGUGGCGUUUUUUCAUAAGAGCUGCUAAAGAAUGCUAUUUUUGGCGGUGUUUGUAAUAAAAGAGCCGCUAAAGGUCAUGUUCUUUAGCGAUGUUUGUGGGUAAAGCGCCGCUAAAGAUCAUGUUCUGUAGCGGUGUUUGUGGAUAAAGCGCCGCUAAAGAACAUGACCUUUAGCAGCGUAUUUUCACAUAAACGCCGCAAAAUUUAGCGGCUUUGUCUAUAGCGACUUUUUUUGCAGCGCUUUAAGUUUUAGCGGCGCUUUUAGGCCUAAAAAAGGGCCGCUAAAAGCCUGUUUUGCUGUAGUGAGCAUAUUUACAUUUUCGUCCCAAUUUCAACUAACACCCCAUCUAUUUCCCACUUCCCUUUUUCGGGCAAUUUCAACUAACACCUUCAUAUCAAACAUAACUAUUUUUCAAUUUUUCUUCUUUAUUUCAUUAAUAAAAUUAUCAAUCUAUUUGUUUUUAAAUAUAUAAUUUCAUUAAUAUUUUUUAAAUUAUAAUAUAAGAGUUGUUGUUUAUUUAUAGUUUUAUUACAUUAUUUACUCUCUCUUUUCUAUCAAGUUUUUUAAAUUAUAAUAUAAGAUUUAUUUUAUCAAUUUGUGGCUUAUCCAGUAUUCAUCUAUUUUAAUAAUAACUUGAGUUCCAGUCAUUAUCAUACCAGAAAGAGUUCCAUUUAUUCUUUAUCGUAAAUUUUAUAAAAAAAUAUACAUUUUAUUAUAAUACUAUAUGUGUUACGAAUAAUAUUUUAUUGUGGAUGCCCAUAAUUUUCAAAGUUGUAACCUCUAAUGUAGUAACCUUAAUGAAAUUAUGAGGCUUUUAUAUUGUAAUCAAGCCUCUAUUUAUUCUUUGUAACUUAAACAGAAGCAUAUUUUCUAUUAUAUUGAUAUUUUUUAUAGAUAUAUAUAUAUAUAUAAGGAAUCAAAUAAAAAGUUAUUUACCUUUCUAUUAUAUUGAUAUUUUCUAUUUGAUUUGUUCUUUUCUUUCACUAUUCCAUAAUAUAUUAUCAGUACGAUUUUAACCAAGAGUAACAUGUUAUUAGAUUGUGUCAAAAUUUUGUUGAGAAUCAUUAGAUUGUUUCCUUUUUCUUCUAUUUAGCCCCAAAUUGCACCCCUACACAAAAUUCAACAAAAACAUGGAAAAAUUAGUGGUGCACUCUCAUAAAUUAACCAAUUUAAUUACAUAAAAUAUGUAACUUUAGCAUUUUAUCAAUCAUGUUCUUUAGCGGCAUUUGUGGGUAAAGCGCCGCUAAAGGUCAUAUUCUUUAGCAGCGUUUGUGAUAAAAGUGCCACUAAAUAUCAUGUUCUUUAGCGGCGUUUGUGGAUAAAGCGCCGCUAAAGAACAUGACGUUUAGCAGCAUUUUUUUACAUAAACGUUGUAAAAUUUAGCGGCGUUGUCUAUAGCGACGUUUUUUGCGGUGCUUUCAAAUAGUUUUAGCGGCGCUUGUAGGCCUAAAAAAAUGCCGCUAAAAGUCUGUUUUGCUGUAUGAGCAUAUUUACAUUUUCGUCCCAAUUUCAACUAACACCCCAUCUAUUUCCCACUUCCCUUUUUCGGCCAAUUUCAACUAACACCUUCAUUUCAAACGUAAUUGUUUUUCGAUUUUUCCUCUUUAUUUCAUUAAUAAAAUUAUCAAUCUAUUUGUAUUUUAAAUAUAUAAUUUUAUUAAUAUUUUUUAAUUAUAAUAUAAGAGUUUUUGUUUAUUUAUAGUUUUAUUAUAUUAUUUACUCUCUUUUUUCUAUCAAGCUUUUUAAAUUAUAAUAUAAGAUUUAUUUUAUCAAAUGGUGGCUUAUCGAGUAUUCAUCUAUUUUAAUAAUAACUUGAGUUCCAAUCAUUAUCAUACCAGAAAGAGUUCCAUUUAUUCUUUAUCGUAAAUUUUAUAAAAAAAUAUAUAUUUUAUUAUAAUACUAUAUGUGUUAGGAAUAAUAUUUUAUUGUGGAUGCCCAUAAUUUUCAAAGUUGUAACCUCUAAUGUAGUAACCUCAAUGAAAUUAUGAGGCUUUUAUAUUGUAAUCAAGCCUCUAUUUAUUCUUUGUAACUUAAACAGAAGCAUAUUUUCUAUUAUAUUGAUAUUUUUUUAUAGAGAUAUAUACAUAAGGAAUCAAAUAAAAAGUUAUUUACCUUUCUAUUAUAUUGAUAUUUUCUAUUUGAUUUGUUCUUUUCUUUCACUAUUCCAUAAUAUAUUAUCAGUACGAUUUUAAUCAAGAGUAACAUUUUAUUAGAUUGUGUCAAAAUUUUGUUGGACUUCAAGUAUUGGAAUUUAAUUGUUUAAGUUAAGAAUCAUUAGAAUCAAUGGCUAUUUGAGAUAUGCUUGAGGAUGAUCUCAUUCUCUUCAUCACAAAGGUGGAGGUUAGAAAAUCUUUAUGUUUAAACAUUUAUAGCUUUAAAGUUAUUUUAACCUCUUAUUGUGACCUUAUAAUAUUUUGUAAUUUUUUGUAUUAUGGUAUAUAAAAAAAAUCUAACCAUAGUGAUUGAUUAGUAAUAUGAAUUUGUUAUUUGUUAUGUUUAAUAUAUAUUUUAUUUAUACUUAUUCAUUUUAUUUUUAUAUGAGUAAAUGAAGUGUUUGAAGAUUCGAAAUUUUUAUCAUCCAAGUUGAAAAUAAGUGCAAAAGUGUACAUUAUUUAAAAUAAAUUACGCAUUCAUUAAUGUUAUAUGAUAAAAUCAUUACAUGUUCUAAAGAACUAAUAUUGCAUCAAACUGUAAAAAGCUCUUGAAGAGUUAAUAUUUUACCUCCUUGUGAUACAAAAUCAUAUACAAUAUGAUAUUAUUUUUCAAAUCGAGUAGAUAUAUGUUGAGGGAAAUCUUUAUGUGGUUUACAUUAAAACCAUGGAUAGAAAUGACAUGAGAUACUCGUGUAUUUUUAUUAUAAAUAUUCCUUGAAGGAAGACACUUCACUUGUAUGAUUGACAUAUGAGAUAGUGGCAAGAAGUUCAUAGUGUUGGUAUGGUCGUCUAGAUCAUCUCAAAUCAAUAAUGAUGCAAAAUAAUUUGAAGAGAAUUUAUAUGAUUUUAUUGAAGAAUGAGAAGAUAUUUUCAUUUUGAUAAUUGUCAUCAAUACUAGUUCUUUGGAAAAAAAAUAUUGAACUAACAUAAAGUUAGAGGUUGGUUGCAUUUUUUGAUGAUAUCCAAAUAAUAUAUGAGCUCAUGUAUCACAUGUAUGCAACCCAAAGUUUACAGUAUUAUUUCUUGAAAUAAUUUGAUUCUACACAAUCUCUAUAGUAUGCAAUUUGUGCUAACAACGUUGGUGCAUUAUAUCCUAAGCUUGAUUUUCGUAGUUUUAGCUGAGAUAAUAUUAAGUUGUCUAUGCCUAUAUAUGUUAUACUUAAUGGUUAGCAAAAUUGUGCCUCCAUUUAAUUGCUUAACCAUUAAUAUAAGAAUAACUUUAAAAUAAGCAUGUAAUUUUAUUUGCAUAGAGUCAACAUGUAAGAAACAUUUGCCCCAUGAGAAUUGGCUUUCAUUUAUAAGCCAAUAGGUUUCAUAUGACUAUUUGGAUGUAAAAUAUCUAUUUUAUAUUCCACCAUAAUGCACUAAGAUGGUCCAUCAAGUAUGAAGUUGAGAAAAUUUAGAAUUUUUAUUUGAUGGUAAAAGUUGAAAAGAGAUAUAUACUUAUAAUUUUGAAAAAAAUAGUCAUGUUGCAAAUUUUUCUCAAUAUUAGGGGGAGACAAGUUGGACAAAUAAGGAUAAUUAUGUCAUCACUUUUUGUGAUCCCUCACUAAUAUUAUGUGCACAAAGUUUGAAGGAAAAAAGUAUUUGCUAGACAUGUUUAGUGAUGACACUUAGAGAUUGUAUAUACUAGAUGAUACAUAUACCAGCUAAAAUGUUCCAAAUAAUUAUGAGUCCUAGAAGGACAUAGUGAUAAAAAUAAUUUUUGGGCACGCUAGAAGGAUAAAAAACUAGUUCAUUCUAUAAAUCAAAAAAUUCUUGAAAGAAAAGAGUAAGAAAUGAAGCUGGCCACACAUUAAAGGAAACGAGUACUCAUGAAGAGACCUAAGGCAUAACUUUUAAUAAAACCCCAAAAGAGGUUCAAUACAUGGAAUUAUGAAUAUAAUAAGAUAUCUCGAUUAGUUAUAUCAUAACUAAAGAUGAUGGGGUUGAUAAAAGGAAAUUGUUGUUAACAACGAUAAUCUAAGUAGAACAUUUCAAUAUUAUGGUAAAAUGAGUAUUUUGAAUGAAAAUAUACUUGAAAGUAUUUAGAUGGGAACAACUCAUCAAAAUAAAUAGACGUUUCUAUUAUAACUUAUGAAAUGUGUCUCGGACAUGAAGUCCAAACAUUCGACAGGUGUAAAGCCAAGUGGAGUAUAUGUUAGCAUAAUAGUGAAAAAAUACAAAUCAUAAUAUAUAAAAUUGACUUGUAAGACAAACUUUCCCAAGACACUUGAUUUUGAUUAUGAAAAAUGAUUAAUUUGUGAUCUUAUCAAUUGAACAUACUUUGUAUAAUCAACAAAUUAUUAAUUAACCUCAUUUAACCAAUUUCCUUCAACACAUUUCAAAUCAAAUUAAUGUGUUGAGCACGCCCUUAACCCUUUUUCUUGAUUCAUUGCAUAGUCUAUUUCCAAGUACCAUAAUCAUCAACAUUUCAAUAUAUAAAGUCAUAACAUAAUGAAUCAUAGUUAGAAUUUUUUUUACCCUAUUAACCAAGUAUGGAACAAAAAUAAAAACCUAAUUUGUCAAGCUCAUUCAAUCAGCUUAUAUAUUAUAAGAAGAGCCUAAGUAUAAAUCCUAUACAUGAUUUCAAAUUCAACUAUUUAUAUUUGAGAUUCAAUUUAAAAUUCAUACUGAAAUUAUCAAAUUAACUCGUAAGCUACUCACGCUAAACAUUAAGGUACUCGAAUUCAAGUGGCUAGAUAUCAUAAACACUUUUAGCUUGUAAAACUAUUUCUAAGGGUCAGCCCAGAAUCAUGGUUGAACCCAAAAUCUGGUAACAAAAAUUUAAUUGAGCCAUCAGCCUAAAACAAAUAAGGCUUAAAAGGUUGGCACCCGAACAAUCAAAGAUAAACACCACCAUAUGCCACUCCCUGAAUCCGAUACAUACAAUAACACCCUUCACCACUUUUAUUCUUCUCCUUUUUUUUAACCUCAAUUUGGAUGGUCGCAUUUCUCUUUUUAGUGCUUUAUAGGGUUUGGGCUUUCAGAAUCCUCAGAGAUGCAAUUCAUGGAUCCCUCUAAGAAAUGCAAGCUUGAUGAAAAUGGUAUUAUUUCAACGGCAUCAGAACCUGACCCAAUCACCAAACUAACCCCACAAGAUGGCCGCAAGCUAAUCGAGCAAUUUAUCGUCGAUCAACUCCUUGACGUCCUCCAAGAUGCUGUUUGUUGUCACCUUGAUGUUCUUUCCGCCGUACACUCUAUUGCCGAUCAAGAUCCAUCUCAAAGGAAGCUUUUCAUCCGUGGUUGGGUUGGGAUACUACAACCCAACCCAACCCACAUUAGCAUACUACCAUGCGGUAACUUCUAGUGAUUUCUGUCUGUAACAUUAGACAGGUUAACAGUUAAAUCGUUCAACUGAAAGAUUUCUUUGAAGGAAGAGGUCAAUUGAUUUUUUUUGGAAUCAUUGUGUACUCAGUUGCAUUUAAGACGGGUAUCAUUCAUAAAGUAUAUAUCUACAUCAAGAAUGGUAGCCUCUUAUAUUAUAUUCAUGUAUUUAUUUUGCAUCUUUAAUUAUAAUAGGAUUUUUUUUGUUUAUUUAUAGUUUUAAUUAUAAUAUUUUUUAAAUAUGCCAAAGUAAAUUAUGUACCAAUUUUAAACUUCUCCUAGGUAAUUUAACGUAAGGGCAUUUAUGUUAUUUUACCACUUAUGAUAAAACUAACCUAAUUUUAGAUCUAAGUGUUUACCAACCUUCUUUUAGUCAAAUUAUGCAAGCCUAAAAUUUUUAGCUUAAUUUGAGUUUGUUUACUAUGUCUAAUUCAAGUUUUAUUAUUAAGAACUAAAUUGUAACUUAAACAAAUUAGAAUACCAAUUUAAAGAGACAAAAAUUCAAAGCCCCAAAACCCACACGGGCAUGUGGGUAAGUGACACAGGCGUGUGGAAACUGGAGCUAUCACACACGGGUGAGUGGGACUGAAAAAUAUGAAAUAAAUUAAUCCAUUUAAAUUUCCAACAACCAUGCUAUACUACCAAACCAAAUAAUGUUAGAAGCUUUGAAUAGGGGCGAAUCUUAAAAAAAAAUAGAAGAAUUAGAAUUAAAUUAUAAAAUUUUGAGAAGUUGUCAUGUAUUAAUUUAUUAUUUUUUAAAGGGUCUUAAUAGAUUUUUUUUCCCCAUUUUGGUUUGGCCAAUACCCCUGUCUGCCUCUUUCAAUUUGCUUCAACCCUUAGCCCAAUAUUCGAUUUGUUGUGGAAGUUUGACGCAUAAAAAUUCCUUUUUUAGAGGUUUAAAUUAUAAAUUUUUAUUAACAAAAUAUAAAAGAAAAAAACAUGUGUAGACAAGCCAAGAAACCUUUGGGAUCAUACAGGUGAUUUUGAGAUGUUCAUGGUUAUUUUGGUGGAGAGGGUAAAAAAGAAACAAAUGAUUCAUUAUAUAUGAUAUAAUUAUGAAAUUCAAGCCAUAUAUUGUAUGUUUCAUCCAUACAAAUUUCUUGUAGCAUUAAAUGACUCGUAGGCUUGCUGAAUUUCUUUGAAAGGCCCAAAGGCAAUUUAACAUUCACAAAAUAAUCUCUAAAUAGUGUAAAGACAAAUCAAAUCCACAGUAGCAUUAGAGUUGAUUAAGCUAAGCAUUGGCAAAUAUUACUUUGAUUUUGCAUGCAAUAUUGGCAAAACCCCCUCUUACAUUAGAAAAACAACAUAAUCCAUGAAACAUUGAUAGCCCAAUACAAAUUUCAUCGAGAAAAAAGUCUCUUUGUUUUGUAGAACAUGAUAGUAAAGAUGUGGAGUUUCGUUCUUCUUAUUGGCCUCCUUUAGUUUUCCUUGAUCAACAACCACUAGCCAAAAACACAAUUAGAUUAGAUUAUGAAUGAUACUUUCAACUAUGACAAUAUUAAAUACAAACCACUCUAAAUAACUCUAAAUAAAUGGAAAGCAGCAAAUUACCAGACGAGGCAAGCUAGCUCAAUUAAGACCAUUGUGUUAUACUUGUCUCUGAAUUGAAAAAUUUAGAAGGAAAUAAAGAGAAAGACUUAGAAAAUACUUGAAAACAGAAAAAAAAAUUAUGUCAUUUAAAAUAAAAAAUUUCUAUUCAAGCCAUUUAAAAUUUGUAAGAUUUUUAAAAUUUUAAAAUGAUAAAGGUAAAAUUGUACUUUGGCACCCCAAAAAUGAUAAAACUUUGAUUUAAUUAUUUAAAAAUUAUAAAAAUAUAGGCUAUUAAAAUGGUGAAAUUAUAUUUUUACUAUAGUAAAAAUUACAAUUUAAUUUCACCCCUAAAAGGAUUUUCUGGCUUCGCACCUAAUAAAAUCUUUGGCAAAAGACUAAAAUAAAAUUAUACCAUGAAUGGAAAAAGAAACUAAUAAAAUCCAAUCUAACAAAGAAAAUAACUUGAUGUCCAAAAGCUACCAUAAACCGUAAUUCAUGGGAAGGCUUGUUGCUUAUUUUAUUGGUUUCCAUUUUGAAAGAAGUUUGAAUUUUGAAGAGAGCCUACUACGUGAAAGCAAAAGAAAAAAAAAUAGUUUAUAUGAUUAAAAUUCCAGAAUAGAUUAAAAAUGUUGAAUUAAAGAUAAAAUUAAGUGUGAAUUAAUAACCACAAGUGUACUCUUUACUCACCAUCUCUGUUAAAAAUGUUGGAUGUUGUUUAGCAACCUUUGUUUGAUUUUCUUCAGCUCAACCACAACAUCUUUCAUAUCUUUUCUUUCUUCUGGUAACUCAGCUGAACAAUUCAAAGCCAACUCCAUGAUAGAUGAAAUACAAUUUGCUUUAACAACAAUGUACUCAUCCUCUCUUCUUAAUAAAUCAACAUCUGCAAUUUCUAUCGCUCCUUUAGGCAAUGAUCUUUCCAUCCAAUGCCUUAUACUCUCUUCUUCAACAAAAACCUUAUCAGUUGGCUUUUUCUUUGUGAAAGUUUCUAUAAGGACGAUCCCAUAACUAUAGACGUCAGAUUUUAUAGAAACAAUUCCUGCUGAUCCAAAUUCUGCAUUUCAAGUAUAAUUAGAACAUCAUUCAUCCUCAAUUAUUUCUAAAACGCUUAUUCAAAUAUCUAUCCACAUACACGUGAAACAAAAAUAUAAAAUACAAAUUAGGAAAAUAAUCAUACAAAAAUAAAAAAAAGAAUUCACCUGGUGCCAUAUACCCAAUAGUUGCAAGAGUCAUGGUUUGCUUCAUUACUUCACCUUCUCCCAACAAUUUGGCAACGCCAAAAUCUCCAACAUGUGCAACCAUGUCUUCAUCUAGUAAAAUAUUGCUUGGUUUUAUGUCACAAUGAAUUAUAGGUGUUGGAUGUCCAUUGUGGAGGUGUUCUAUAGCUACCGCAACAUCUAUCAUUAUGUCGACCCUUUGUAUGAUACCAAGGAAACAAUUUUCAGAAUGUAACCAUUUCUCAAGGUUUCCAUUAGACAUGUAAUCAAGCACCAAGGCUUUGAAGUCAACACUUGAGCAGUAAGUAAUGACCUUCACAAUAUUACGAUGAACUAUAUUAAGCAUAGCAUCACAUUCAAUGUCAAAACUCCUAAAUGCUCCCUCUGUUUGCAAAUUGAAAACUUUUAUUGCAACUUCCAUUCCAUCUGAAAGCCUCCCUUUAUAUACAUAUCCAAAACUCCCUGAACCAAGCGUAUUGCUUUCCUCAAAUCCAUUAGUUGCUCGUGAAAGUUCAGCAUGUGAAAUUCUUCUCAGUGUCUUCAAAGACAACAAAUCAUCUUUAACUGGUAGAGCUGUACUCCUUUGGCAUCUUCUAUACAUAAUAGUUAAGACUAUUAGUACUAGGACAAUACCAAUUGUUGGUAAACCAUACCUAAAAGCAUGCAAUAUAAUCAUUUGGGAGUUUUUGUGGAUGUCAUUUUUGCAAGGUGGGACUAGCAAUCUAGGUGGACCACAAAGUGCACAAUUAUUCAUGAAUGAUGUGCUAGAAAAGUUUGAAAAACAUCCUUUGCUGGGAAUUUCCCCUUCAAGUCUAUUGAAAGACACAUUAAAAUACUUUAGAUAUAAAAGCUUUUCCAAAGAUUUGGGAAUGACUCCAGAGAGAUUGUUAUUGCAUAAAUCCAAGAAUUCCAAACUAAUCAACCCUUCAAAUGAUUCAGGGAUAUGACCAUAUAGUAUGUUAUUUGAUAAAUCUAAUGAAACCAAAGUUAUAAGACCCCCAAAUGUGGAUAAGAUAUCGCUCGUGAGAAGAUUCCUUGAUAAAUUUAGUCUCAGUAGACUCCUAAAAUUUCCAACAUCAAUAGCAUGUGAAUUGUGAAGACGGUUUGAUGAUAAAUCUAUUUCUAAGAUAUCUUUAAGACUCCACAAAGUUGAGGGUAUUGUAGAACUCAAUUUGUUGGAACCUAACCAAAGAUAUCUCAAAGCAGAAAUAUUACCUAAACAAGAGGGUAUGGAUCCAUGCAGCUUAUUCAACCCUAAAUACAUCUCGUAUAGUCUCUCCAAACCACAAAGGCUUUCUGGGAUAGGCCCUCCUAAUUUAUUAGAGGAAAGACCUAGAAUUUGGAGAUUUCUCAUUCCUCCUAUUGAUGCUGGAAUCAAUCCACUUAAUUUAUUAUACCCAAGAUCUAAAAGCAAUAGGUUGGUUAAGUUACCUAUUUCCAUAGGAAUAAUGCCUUGAAGCUCACACUCUGUGGCAUGAAAGUAUUGAAGGGAUUUUGAAAGGUUCCCGAAAUAAGUAGGAAGAACGCCACUCAAUGGAUUUCCUGAAACAUCUAUUAUGCUCAAAUUCCUACAAUUCGUCAAAGAAGAAAGAAAGCUCCACUCAUGAUCAGUAGCAGAUCCUGUGAUCAAAUUAUUGUCAUAGAUUUGGAGCCAUACAAGUUGUCUUAAGCUGCCAAGCGUUUUAGGGAUUGGGCCAGAGAAUGAGUUAUCUCCCAAGUCUAGUUCCUUAAGCAUGGAAGCAUUGGAGAUAGAGUUGGGAAUGUUUCCGCUAAGUUUAUUUCCCCACAGUAAAAGAAUCUGAAGCUUUGGAGCAUUGGUAAUGGGUGGUAAAUUACCUGUAAAAUAGCAUCUUUUAGAAAACAUUCACAAAAUAUAUAAUACAUUAAAAUAAAAACUUUAAAUCAAUUAAGAAUAAAAUUUUGGCAUGGAAAAAUGUGAUGAAAUCAAUUAGAAAGUUGAGACAUAAUAAGAAGUUUUGAGUAGUAAUUAGUCCUUGUGAUUUGUAUAGACAAAACAUAUAAUACACUGAUAAUUUUUUUAAAAUAUUGUAAAACCUGAAAUAAAAUAAAAAAUAAAAGUUUGGCACGAGAAUGUGGCAUCUAAUCAUUCUUAAAAAUAAGACUAACAUUAAAUAAUAAUUAGUUAUGAUUUGAGAAACAAAAAUGUUAAAGAUGUAAACUGGUAUGAUUUUUAUCUAUUGGGUUAAUUAUUUAUUUUUAUUAAAUUAUAUAUAGUGUAAAAUUUAAAGAUUAUUAUUUGCUCAAAAUUUUUGUAUUUUAGGAUUUUAGGAUCGCAUUUAAUUCAAUUGUAUUUAAGACCUCAUGAAUUUAUUCUAUAAUUUGAGUCUUUUCAACCUUUUGGGAAAUAAUAAAACAUCGACAUUAAACUUGUUGUUGAUGCAUUCAAUUUGAUUUUUUGAGGGGUCAUUGGAGUUAUAUGUGAAUUUAGCAUUGAUUGACUUUUUUAGAAUUAAUCUUUUAUACCAAUUUAAUAACAUCGACAUGUUUUUGGGUAGGGUCGAGCAAAACCCAAUUAAAACCGAUGAAAUUGGUUUAGUUAACUCGGUCAAGUCCAUUAGAUGGAUAAAAUCAAUUUUAAAAUCAGUUAUUAUGGAUUAAGGUAAUUAAUUAUCGAGUAAUGAAAUACAUAAUCAAAUCAAUUGAUUUUGUUAGAAACUAAAAGAAAGUGGGAUAAGCUGAAAACUGAUUGCCCUUUUUUAGAAUUAAGGAAUCAGCCUUUUACAUGUUAGAUAAUAUGAACACCCCAUAUAUAAUAAGAAAAAUUAUGUACGAUUAUUUAUUAUCAUAAAUGGUUAGUUUAAAUUUAAAGUAAUCUAAUAUGUGUGUUGAACUUCAACUAUUACAUAAAGUAUAAGCUAAAUAUGUAUAAAUAUUCUAGAAACCAUUUCUAACUGAUGAUAGGCUAAUUUGAAAUUAAGAUUAAUAUAUAAAAACUAGAUAGUAGGGUUAUAGUCCUCAAACUACACCUAAUUUAAUAAAAUCUAUAGUUUUUAUAGCCUUAAACAUUUAUAGAUUUUGUUAAUUUGGUCCUUACUCUUUAAAAUUACAUAAAAAUUGCAAAAAUAUUUUAGAAAUACAAUUUUUUCGUAUUUUUAAUAACAUUUAUAGUUUUUUUUUUGGUUUGGUAACUUAUCAACUCGACUCUUAAUUGUAACCAACUUUUCUGAUUUUUUCGUACCCUUAACCUAAGUCCCGUUACAACUUUCUAAAGACCUCUUGAUUGGUGUAUCAUCUCGAUUUGUUCUUAUAGUGGUGGGGAUUUGGUUUUCAAGCAAGCCUAUGCUAAUCACAUUUUUCGUUCAACUAUUGAGCACACAGUACUUGAACCUUAAACACUUUGAGUGCUUUGAGUGAAUCUUAGUUAGGGUAUUGAUUAUUGUUGAGUUUGAAUUUUAGGUAAUUAUUGAGAUGGAGGAGAUGCCUAUUUUUUUGUGCUUUACAAAUUUCUGCUUAGAUUGCUUUUAUUCUUUAGUUUCAUGCUAGUUUCAAUUUCCAGUGCAUGAUUAUCUAUAGAUUAUUCAUAAGGCAUUGUCGGUGAAAACAAUAAAUUGAGGGAGAUUAACUUGAAAUAAAUUGAGGGAUAUUAACUUGAAUAAAGGUUGAGAAUUUUGCUUAAGGACAAACAAAUGCUUAAGUGUGGGGAUAUUUGAUAAGUGCUAAAAUUGAUAUGUUUUAACAUCAUUCUUAAUGUGUUUUUGGUUGAUUAUUCGAUGUUAAUGAUGCUCCUAAUCCUUACAAUUCGUGUUUUUAUGCUUAAUAGAACAUUUGGGAGGAAAAUGAGCUAAAAAUGAACGAAAACCUGAAAAUGGGGGCAAACUAUAGGACAUGGGCUGACCUAUUCCUCAUGACCGUAUGACUCACACGAUCAUGUGGUAGGUUGUGUCGAUUUCGUAGAUUUGCACUCUGAACUGUAAAAAAAGAAAAUUUUAGAUUUUUUGAGCAUUUUAAUACGUAUAUAUGAAAAAAAUAAGAAGAUAGGAGAGAACCUUCCUAGAAUAUUUAAGAAAACAACUCCAAAGACACUAUUGAAGUCGACUCUGAAGCAAAUUUUCCUCAAGAUUGAAGAUUCCCAGUUGGUUUCUUAAGAGAUUAUCAUGAGUUUCUUUAUUUCUUCUGGUUAUACUGCCCUUUGGAUGUUUUUAUUUUUAAGCAUGAACUAAUUUUCUAAAUACCGAAUUAGAGAGAUGAACCCUAUGAUAGAUUGUGACACCCCAAACCCAACCGGAUAGACCCGCCCGAAUUCAAAGCAUUUCAUUAGCCACCUAAGUGACUCUCCAGCUAACGACCACCCAAGACACACCUCGACCUUAUAACACCUCAAUCUUAUCUAAUUACUAGUUAUUUAUUAAUGUAGAAGUAAAUUAAUAUGAGCCAAUUUUAAACUUUUUCUAGGUAAUUUAACCUAAAGGCAAUUUUGUCAUUUUACCACCUAAUGUAAAACUAACCCGAUUUUAGAUCUAAGUGUUUACUAACCUUCUUUUAGUCAAAUUAUACAAGCCUAAAAUUUUCAGCUUAAUUUGAGUCCGUUUACUAUGUCUAAUUCAAGUUUUAUUAAUAAGGACUCAAUUGUAACUUAAACAAAUUAAAAUACCAAUUUAAAGAGACAAAAAUUCAAAACUCCAAAACCCACACGGGCAUGUGGGUAAGUGACAAGGGCUUGUGGGAUUGAAAAAUAUGAAAUAAAUUAAUCCACUCAAUUUUCCAACAACCAUGCUAUACUACCAAACCAAAAAAACACUUGAAGUUUUGAAUAGGGGCGAAUCUAAAAAAAAUUAGAAGAAUUAGAAUUAAAUUAUAAAAUUUUGAGAAGUUAAAAUAUAAUUUUAUCAUGUAUUAAUUUAUUGUUUUUUAAAGGGUCCUAAUAUAAUUUUUUUCCCAUUUUGGUUGGGCCAAUACCCCUGCCUGCCUCUUUAAAUUUGCUCCAACACUAAACCCAAUAUUCGAUUUGGAUUAACAACAACAUAUAGGUUAGUAUUUGUGGGAGUUUGACGAAUAAAAAUUCCUUUUUUAGAUGUUUAAAUUAUAAAUUUUUGAAAGAUUAAAAUAAAUUUGUAUUUUUUUAUUAACAAAAUAUAAAAGAAAAAAAAAUAUGUUUAGACAAGCCAAGAGAACUUUGGGAUCAUACAGGUGAUUUUGAGAUGUUAAUGGUUAUUUUGGUGGACAGCGUAAAAAAGAAACAAAUGAUUCAUUAUAUAUAAUAUAAUUAUGAAUUUCAAGCCAUAUAUUGUAUGUUUCAUCCAUAAAAAUUUCAUGGGAGGUCCAAAGGUAAUUAAAUGACUUGUAGGCUUGCUGAAUUUCUUUGAAAGGCCCAAAGGCAAUUUAACAUUCACAAAAUAAUCUCUAAAUACUGUAAAGACAAAUCAAAUCCACAGUAGCAUUAGAGUUGAUUAAGCUAAGCAUUGGCAAAUAUUACUUUGAUUUUGCAUGCAAAAUUGGCAAAACCCCCUCUUACAUUAGAAAAACAACAUAAUCCAUGAAACAUUGAUGGCUCAAUACAAAUUUCAUCGAGAAAAAAGUCUCUUUGUUUUGGAGAACAUGAUAGUAAAGAUGUGGAGUUUCGUUCUUCUAAUUGGCCUCCUUUAGUUUUCCUUGAUCAACAACAAUUAGCCAAAAACACAGUUAGAUUAGAUUAUGAAUGAUACUUUCAACUAUGACAAUAUUAAAUACAAAACACUCUAAAUAAAUGGAAAGUAGCAAAUUAAGACCAUUGUGUUAUACUUGUCUCUGAAUUGAAAGAUUUAGAAGAAAAUAAAGAGAAAGAGUUAGAAAAUACUUGAAAACAGAUAAAACUUAUAUGUCAUUUAAAAUAAAAAAAAUUUCUAUUUAAGCCAUUUAAAAUUUUUAAGAUUUUUUAAAUUUUAAAAUGAUAAAGGUAAAACUAUAUUUUGGUACCCAAAAAUGAUAAAACUUUGAUUUAAUUCUUUAGAAAUUAUAAAAAUAUAGGCUAUUAAAAUGGUGAAAUUAUAUUUUUACUAUAUUAAAAAUUACAAUUUAAUUUCACUUGCUAAAAGGAUUUACUGGCUUCGCCCCUAAUAAAAUCUUUGGCAAAAGAUUAAAAUAAAAUUAUACCGUGAAUGGAAAAAGAAACUUAAGAAAACCCAAUCUCACAAAGAAAAUAACUUGUCCAAAAGCUACCAUAAACCGUAAUUCAUGCGAAGGCUUGUUGCUCAUUUUAUUGGUUUCCAUUUUGAUUUUGCAAAAGAAGUUUGAAUUUUGAAGAGAGCAAAAGAAAAAAAUAGUUUAUUAAUUUUUUACGAAUACCGACAUAUUAUAUACAUGAUUAAAAUUCCAGAAUAGAUUAAAAAUGUUGAAUUAAAGAUAAAAUUAAGUAUGAAUUAAGAACCACAAGUGUACUCAUUACUCACCAUCUCUGUUAAAAAUGUUGUUUAGCAACCUGUGUUUGAUUUUCUUCAGCUCAACCACAACAUCUUUCAUAUCUUUUCUUUCUUCUGGUAACUCAGCUGAACAAUUCAAAGCCAAUUCCAUGAUAGAUGAAAUACAAUUUGCUUUAACAACAAUGUACUCAUCCUCUCUUCUUAGUAAAUCAACAUCUGCAAUUUCUAUUGCUCCUUUAGGCAAUGAACUUUCCAUCCAAUGCCUUACAGUCUCUUCUUCAACAAAAACAUUAUCAGUUGGCUUUUUCUUUGUGAAAGUUUCUAUAAGGACGAUCCCAUAACUAUAGACGUCAGAUUUUAUAGAAACAAUUCCUGCUGAUCCAAAUUCUGCAUUUCAAGUAUCAUUAGAACAUCAUUCACCCUCAAUUAUUUCUAAAAUGCUUAUUCAAAUAUAUAUCCGCAUACACAAGAAACAAAAAUAUAAAAUGCAAAUUAGGAAAAUAAUCGUACAAAAACAAAAAAGAAUUCACCUGGUGCCAUAUACCCGAUAGUUGCAAGAGUCAUGGUUUGCUUCAUUACUUCACCUUCUCCCAACAAUUUGGCAACGCCAAAAUCUCCAACAUGUGCAACCAUGUCUUCAUCUAGUAAAAUAUUGCUUGGUUUUAUGUCACAAUGAAUUAUAGGUGUUGGAUGUCCAUUGUGGAGGUGUUCUAUAGCUACCGCAACAUCUAUCAUUAUGUCGACCCUUUGUAUGAUAUCAAGGAAACAAUUUUCAGAAUGUAACCAUUUCUCAAGGUUUCCAUUAGACAUGUAAUCAAGCACCAAGGCUUUGAAGUCAACACUUGAGCAGCAAGUAAUGACCUUCACAAUAUUACGAUGAACUAUAUUAAGCAUAACAUCACAUUCAAUGUCAAAACUCCUAAAUGCUCCCUCUGUUUGCAAAUUGAAAACUUUUAUUGCAACUUCCAUUCCAUCUGAAAGCCUCCCUUUAUAUACAUAUCCAAAACUCCCUGAACCAAGCAUAUUGCUUUCCUCAAAUCCAUUAGUUGCUCGUGAAAGUUCAGCAUGUGAAAUUCUUCUCGGUGUCUUCAAAGACAACAAAUCAUCUUUAACUGGUAGAGCUGUACUCCUUUGGCAUCUUCUAUACAUAAUAGUUAAGACUAUUAGUACUAGGACAAUACCAAUUGUUGGUAAACCAUACCUAAAAGCAUGUAAUAUAAUCAUUUGGGAGUUUUUGUGGAUGUCAUUUUUGCAAGGUGGGACUAGCAAUCUAGGUGGACCACAAAAUGCACAAUUAUUCAUGAAUGAUGUGCUAGAAAAGUUUGAAAAACAUCUUUUGCUGGGAAUUUCCCCUUCAAGUCUAUUGAAAGACACAUUAAAAUACUUUAGAUAUAAAAGCUUUUCCAAAGAUUUGGGAAUGACUCCAGAGAGAUUGUUAUUGCAUAAAUCCAAGAAUUCCAAACUAAUCAACCCAUCAAAUGAUUCAGGGAUAUGACCAUGUAGUAUAUUAUUUGAUAAAUCUAAUGAAACCAAAGUUUGAAGACCCCCAAAUGUGGAUAAGAUAUCGCCCAUGAGAAGAUUCCUUGAUAAAUUUAGUCUCAGUAGACUCCUAAAGUUUCCAACAUCAAUAGCAUGUGAAUUGUGAAGAUGGUUUGAUGAUAAAUCUAUUUCUAAGAUAUCUUUAAGAUUCCACAAAGUUGAGGGUAUUGUAGAACUCAAUUUGUUGGAAUCUAACCAAAGAUAUCUCAAAGCAGAAAUAUUACCCAAACAAGAGGGUAUGGGUCCAUGCAGCUUAUUCAACCCUAAAUACAUCUUGUAUAGUCUCUCCAAACCACAGAGGCUUUCUGGGAUAGGCCCUUCUAAUUUAUUAGAGGAAAGAUCUAGACCUUGCAGAUUCCGCAGUCCUCCUAUUGAUGCUGGAAUGAAUCCACUUAAUUUAUUAUGGUCAAGUUCUAAAACCAAUAAGUUGGUUAAGUUACCUAUUUCCAUAGGAAUAAUGCCUUGAAGCUCACAAUUAUAGGCAUGAAAGGAUUGAAGGGAUUUUGAAAGGUUCCCAAUAUAAGUAGGAAGAACGCCACUCAAUGGAUUUCCUGAAACACCUAUUUUUCUCAAAUUCCUACAAUUCGUCAAAGAAGAAAGAAAGCUCCACUCAUGAUCAGUAGCAGAUCCUGUGAUCAAAUUAUUGUCAGUGAUUUUGAGCACUUCAAGGUGUUUUAAGCUGCCAAGCAUUUUAGGGAUUGGGCCAGAGAAUGAGUUAUCUUCCAAGUCUAGUUUCUUAAGCAUGGAAGCAUUGGAGAUAGAGUAAGGAAUGUUUCCGCUAAGUUUAUUUCCCCACAGUAAAAGAAUCUGAAGCUUUGGAGCAUUGGUAAUGGGUGGUAAAUUACCUGUAAAAUAGCAUCUUUUAGAAAACAUAUUCAUUGAAUACCAAAUUCACAAAAUAUAUAAUACAUUAAAAUUAAAACUUUAAAACUUUAAAUCAAUUAAGAAUAAAAUUUUGGCAUGGAAAAUUGUGAUGAAAUCAAUUAGAAAGUUGAGACAUAAUAAGAAGUUUUGAGUAGUAAUUACUCAUGAUUUCCAUAGACAAAACAUAUAAUACACUGAUAAUUUUUUUAAAAAUAUUGUAAAACCUGAAAUAAAAUAAAAAAUAAAAGUUUGGCAUGAGAAUGUGGCAUCUAAUCAUUCUUAAAAAUAAGACUAACAUUGAAUAAUAAUUAGUUAUGAUUUGAGAAACAAAAAUGUUAAAGAUGUAAACUGGUAUGAUUUUUAUCUAUUGGGUUAAUUAUUUAUUUUUAUUAAAUUAUAUAUAGUGUAAAAUUUAAAGAUUAUUAUUUGCUCAAAAUUUUUGUAUUUUUCGUAUAUUUGAAAUUUAAUCUUUAUAUUUUUUAUUUUCUGUGAUUUAGUCUCUCUACUUUUUGAAUUGAAAAUUUUAAGUUUAUUUAUUAACACUGUUAAAAAGUUUUUGUGUUAGUAUGGCAUUUUGAAAAAUAAAAUAAACUUGAUAUCUAUGUUUUUAAUUAUUCCAAAUACUGUUUUACUAUUCCAAGAUAAAUUAUUUGUGUCUAGACCAAUAUCUUAAGAACUAUUGUUGCAUGUUUAAUUAUUCUAAAGAAUUGUUGAUUGAGUCUUAGUUGAAGUGCACUAUUCUCCUAUUUAUGAAUUGGGGAGUUGAUAAAGUACUAAAUUUUGAUAUAUUUUAAAAAAUUAAAAAUUUAUUAAAAUAUUUUUAUAAAAAUUAAUUGUACCAAAAUAUACAAUUUUAAUAUCAAAUUUUUAAUUUUUUUAAAAAUAUUAGCGAAUAUAUACUUUAUUUCAAGUUACACAAUUUUUACUAGUUUUUAACUUUUUUUUUAAAUUUUUAUCGUCUUUUAUAAUUUCAUAUAUUUUUUUAUAAUUUUUUACAAUAUUUACAAUUUCUAACAAUUUUUAAUAAUUUUAUUAUUUAUUAUAAAUUUAAAAAUUAACAAAUUUUUAUUUUUUUAAAACAAUUAUAUAUUUAUAAUGUAGUUAUUUUUUUAUAAUUUUUUUUGAAAUUUAAAGAUUUUUUUGGUUUUUUCUAGAUGAUGAUGCCAUCAUGAUGUCAUCAUAUGCCACAUGGCAAUUUAUAAUUAGUUGACUAUCUCAAUCUAUUUUUUUAACGUCCAAUGGACUAAAACAAGAACACCUGAUAAUGUUAGAGACUACACUAGGAAUGUUUGAUAAUAUUAGGUACUAAAGUGGGCAAAAAAAAUUAAGGACUAUAUUAAAAAUAUAUCUAUAAUAUAUAUAAAUGCAUGGAUUUUGAGAAACUUUUGAAAUGACAAAUAUAUAGUCUUUGUUUUUUUUUACUAUAUUAUUGAAUUUUUUAUUUUAAAUAUUUUUUUAUUACUUUUAAGAUUUAUCAUAUGUAUGGAUAAAAAUUUUGGUUUUACUAAAAUAUUUGGUUAAAUAAAUUCACUUUAUAAAAAAAUUUAGCAUCCUUAUAAAUAACAAUUUUGAUUCCAUUAAAAAAAUUAUUUAAAAAUAUAUAAUAAAAAUUUAAAAUUUAUAUUGAAUCACUUUAUACUUAAAUUAUUAUUAGAAACUUUAUCAUACACAUAUGUGUAUGAGAACCACGUUUUCAGAACUUAAAUUUGUGUUCUAAAAUAACUUAUGAUAAAUAAUUAAAUGUAUAAUUUGAAAUUAUAUUGAAAUAAAAAUAGAUUAAAUUGUAAGUAAAACAUAUAUAAUUUAAACAUAUGAAUACAUCAAAUUAAAAAUACUAAAUGAAUACAUUUAUUUAUGAUGAUGUUGUUGUCAAUUCAUAAGUUGGUGUCGAGUUAAUUUGUGACAUCAUAAUUUUAAGUGAUAAAUUUAAGGUUUUAUGUAUUGAUGUCGAUUCAAAUAUCACCAUAAUUUUUUUAAAUAAAAAACUAAAGCACCCUCAAAUAAUAUAACUUAUAUUAAAUAUGAAAGGGUAUUUUUGUAAUUUCUCUAACGAGUUGGUGCCCGGUUGACUCAUGACACCAACUCAAUCAAAAGCUUCAAUAAUAAUAUAGAUAUUCACGUUUAAAAAAAGUACUUUAGUUCGAAAUAAUUAUGUAACAAGUAAUUUUAUAAUUGAUGAAUAAUUUUAUAAAAAUAUAUUUAUAUGAUCUAAUAUAUUAUAUUUAUAUUAAUUAUAUAUCAUCUACAAACUUUGAAGAUCAAUUUAUUAAGUAUCAGGAAAAGAAAAAAUGAAAUUGAAUUAACACUAAAUCAAUUUUUAGAUUUUGUACAGAUGAUUUAAUGAUGAUAAAAACAUUAUUAGCACUAUUUUUGAAUUAACAAAAAAUUAGUGAUAUAUUUUAAUUAUAUUUUUUAUUUUUUAUUUUUAAUAAUAUUUUUUUAAUUAUAUGAAGUAAAAUUAUAUUGUAUACUAAAUAUGGUACAUAUACUUUAAUUAAAACUUGAAAAAGUAUUAUAUAAAUUAAUAUAUUUUAAUUAUAUUCAACCAUUUGAAUAACAAAAUUAAAAAAAAACUAAUUAGAAUUAUUUACUUUUUAAAGUUUAAUGGAAAAUAAAAAAUAAAAAAUAAAUCAAUUCAUAUAAAUCUUAUUGUUUAUUAUCAGAUUAAAAUGAUAAAAGUAUAUGACAUACAUAGAAGAAACAAAUUCAACACCAUGUUUUUGGAGUUUGGAAAAAAUUAAAGUGAAAAACCUACCUUCUAAACUGUUGUUAAAUAGAUCUAUUUCUUCGAGCGUAGUUGAAUUAAAAAUACUUGAUGGAAUCUGACCUGCACACAUAGUCGAAAAUUGAAGUGAAAUCAAACUCUUUUGUGAAAAAAAUAUUACCAGAUAAUUCAUUCCAACCCAGGUAAAGCCCUUCAAGCUUGGGAAGAUGUUGACACAUAUCAUUAGGCAAACUACCUGAUAGGCUAUUGUUGGAGAGAUUAAUGGUCUUCAAAGAAGAAAUGUUGAAGAUCGAAGUUGGAAUCUGACCUAUAAGGCCUUUAAUUGCUCUAAUACUAAGCCUUUCCAAACUAAGAAGAUUACCAAUUUCCUUAGGAAUUAGACCUGCAGACAGUCGAAAAUUCAAUGUUUUUCAGCAUAUGUUUUUCAUCAAAUGAAAUAAAAAGUUCUUCCUUUUGUUAUCUAUUACAAAUCAAACUCUUUUAUAAAAAAAAUACUUUAAAUUCAAGAAAUCAAGGAAAUUGAUUACCUUCUAGAUUAUUAAACCCCAAAUAUAAUUCUUGGAGUCGUGUUAGAUUUCCAAUACUUCUUGGAAUGAUCCCCAUAAAUUGAUUAUAGGACAACGACAAAAUAUUAAGGUUGUUGCAUUUGCCCAUGCCAAAUGGAAUGUUACUAGAAAACUCAUUGCUAUCCAAGUAAAGCCCUUCAAGCUUGGGAAGAUGUUGACACAUAUCAUUAGGCAAACUACCUGAUAGGUUAUUGUUGGAGAGAUCAAUGGUCUUCAAAGAAGAAAUGUUGAAGAUCGAAGUUGGAAUCUGACCUGUAAAGCCUUUAAUUGCUUUAAUAUUAAGCAUUUCCAAACUAAGAAGUUUAAAUCAAUUAAGAAUAAAAUUUUGGCAUGGAAAAAUGUGAUGAAAUCAAUUAAAAAGUUGAGACAUAAUAAGAAGUUUUGAGUCGUAAUUAGUCCUUCUGAUUUGUAUAGACAAAACAUAUAAUACACUAAUAAUAAUUAGUUUGGCAUGAGAAUGUGGCAUCUAAUCAAUCUUAAAAAUGAGAUGACACUGAAUAAUAAUUAGUUAUGAUUUGGGAAACAAAAAUGUUAAAGCCAUUGCUUUUAAUGUAAACUAGUAUGAUUUUUAUCUAUUGGGUUAAUUAUUUAUUUUUAUGAAAUUAUAGUGUAAAAUUUAAAGAUUAUUUUUAUCUAUUACAAAUCAAACUCUUUUAUGAAAAAAAUAUUUUAAAUUAAAGAAACAAAGAAAAUUCAAUAUCUUCUAAGUUAUUCCACUCCAAAUAUAAUCUUCAGUGAAGAAAUCUUGAAGAUGGAAGAUGGAACCUUACCAGAUAAUUGAUUGAAUCCCAAGCUCAAGGACUCUAGAUUAGACAUGUUAACAAGUGUUUCAGGGAUUGUGCCUAUAAAGUUAUUAUUUUUCAUUUUCAGCCUUCGAACUCCCUGUAAGUUCCCAAGCCAUGAUGGAAUUUCCCCAUUAAGACUGUUGUAUUUUAAUCGAAGGAUCCUCAAACGAUGCAAUUGGCCCAAUUCUUUAGGGAGAUGGCCAUAGAAAUGGUUUCUACUCAAGUCGAGAGAGAGUAGAAAUGAAAGAUUUCCAAGGUGUGGAGGGAUACUACCCCUAAGAUUCAUGCUUUUAAGUUUGGAAACAAAUUCAACACAAUGUUUUUGGAGUUUGGAAAAAAUUAAAGUGAAAAACAUACCUUCUAAUUUGUUGUCAGAUAGUCCUAUUAUUUCGAGCAUAGUUGAAUUAAAAAUACUUGAUGGAAUCUGACCUGCACAUAUAGUUGAAAAUUGAAGUGAAAAACAUACCUUCUAAACUGUUCAACUAAAAAAACUUUAAGCAUAUUUGUUUUUCCAUCAAAUUAACUAUUUUGCCUUGAAUGAAAUAAAAUGCUCUUACUUUUGUUAUUUAUUACUAAUCAAACUCUUUUCUAAAAAAAAACUUUAAAUUAAGAAACUAAGAAAAUUCGGUACCUUCUAGGUUAUUAAACCCUAAAUAUAACUUCUGGAGUCGUGUUAGAUUUCCAAUACUUCUUGGAAUGAUACCCAUAAAUUGAUUAUAGGACAACGACAAAUUUUUAAGGUUGUUGCAUUUGCCCAUGCCAAAUGGAAUGUUACCAGAUAAUUCAUUCCAACUCAGGUAAAGCCCUUCAAGCUUGGGAAGAUGUUGACACAUAUCAUUAGGCAAACUACCUAGGUUAUUGUUGGAGAGAUCAAUGGUCUUCAAAGAAGAAAUGUUGAAGAUCGAAGUUGGAAUCUGACCUGUAAGGCCUUUAAUUGCUUUAAUAUUAAGCAAUACCAAAUCAAGAAUAUUACCGAUUUCCAAACCAAGAAUUUAUAGAAGAAACAAAUUUAACACAAUGUUUUUUGAGUUUGGAAAAUGUUAAAGUGAAAAACAUACCUUCUAAUUUGUUGUCAGAUAGUCCUAUUAUUUCGAGCAUAGUUGAAUUAAAAAUACUUGAUGGAAUCUGACCUGCACAUAUAGUUGAAAAUUGAAGUGAAAAACAUACCUUCUAAACUGUUCAACUAAAAAAACUUUAAGCAUAUUUGUUUUUCCAUCAAAUUAACUAUUUUGCCUUGAAUGAAAUAAAAUGCUCUUACUUUUGUUAUUUAUUACUAAUCAAACUCUUUUCUAAAAAAAAACUUUAAAUUAAGAAACUAAGAAAAUUCGGUACCUUCUAGGUUAUUCAACCCCAAAUAUAAUUCUUUGAGUUGUGUCAGAUUUCCAAUACUUUUUGGAAUGAUCCCCAUCAAUUGAUUAUAGGACAAUGACAAAAUUUUAAGGUUGCUGCAUUUGCCCAUGCCAAAUGGAAUGUUACCAGAUAAUUCAUUCCGACUCAAGUAAAGCCCUUCAAGCUUGGGAAGAUGUUGACACAUAUCAUUAGGCAAACUACCUGGUAGGCUAUUGCUGGAGAGUUUAAUAAUCUUCAGAGAAGAAAUAUUGAAGAUGGAAGAUGGAACCUGACCAAAUAAUUGAUUGAAUCCCAAGUUCAAGAUCUCUAGAUUAGACAUGUUAACAAGUGUUUCAGGGAUUGUGCCUGUAAAGUUAUUAUUCUUCAUUUCCAGCCUUCGAACUCUCUGUAAGUUCCCAAGCCAUGAUGGAAUUUCCCCAUUCAGACGGUUGUAGCUUAAUUGAAGGAUCCUCAAACGAUGCAAUUGGCCAAAUUCUUUAGGGAGAUGGCCAUAGAAAUGGUUGCUACUCAAGUCGAGAGAGAGUAGAAAUGAAAGAUUUCCAAGGUGUGGAGGGAUAGUACCCCUAAGAUUCAUGCUUGUAAGAUUCAAAGCUAUAACUCUUUUAUGGAGGAUGCCACAAGAAACACCAAUCCAAUUGCAAACAGAGGUUGAGGCCGUCCAAUUGUUUGCCAAGACAUUUUGAGGACCGGCAAUGCGAUCCUUAAACUCGAGAAGUGCAAACUGAUCGGAGUUGAGAUUCCUGACUGUCAUACCCCAGCAAAGUCCGGAACAUGGUAUGAAUAAAGCUAAAAGAAGAUGAAAGCAAGUGUUGUAGUUCAUGAUAGCAAGACGGAAUAAGCCAAGAAAAUAAAAAAAAGUAGGACAAGGGAAGUUGAGUUGAUAAAAUAGUUUGGAUGAUGAAGAAAAGCCCAGAGAGCAUGCUUUAAUAUGUUUUGAAGAAAUUUCAAAAUAAAUUUCAAAAUAAAUUUCAAAAUAAAAAUUUAAAAAGGAAAGCAAAGUUUUGAAGAAAUUUCAAAAUAAAUUUCAAGUCUUCUUCUUUAAAAAAUACGUACAAAGAGCGAAUUUUCAAAAUUUUUCCUAAAUUUUCUUCACAUUACUCCACAUAAUCCAUUAAAAAAACUUAAAAAAUAUAUUUUAUUAAUUACUAUACAUUCUUUUAUUUUCAGAAUAAUAAAUUGUUUAAAAUUUGCUAUUAGUCCCUAUAAUUUAAAAGUUAAAAAAAAUUCAAUCCUCCUACUUUUCUAAUUUAAAAAUUUUAGUUCAAUCAAUUUUAAUUUUAAAAUCUCUGUAUAAAAGGUGUUUUUUUUGUGACCGAUCACACUUAACCAAUAUUUAAAAAUUAAUAAAAAAUAUUUUUUUUUGAAAUUUAAAGUGAUCUAAAAACAUAUUUUUAAGUGCUUUGGACCGUCUAUUGUUGAUUUCCUUAUUAUAUUAAGUGUUUGCAAUCACUCCUAAUAUAUUGUGCUUGAGUUGUGACAAAGCCGAUCAUCAAAUUGCCAUAAUGAUCUAUUGAUGCUGAAAUUGAAGUUUUUGUUAUAUUGAUAGAGCUUGUCCUUCAACGCGUACAACGUGUUUGUUAUUUUUCUCCCUUCAAAUUGUAUGAUCUUAUUCAUUAAAUGAAUUAAUGAAUUUCCCUUUUAAAAAGAUAUAUUUUUAAAAAUUAAAUACUUUAUAAAAUAUUUAAAAAUUUGUAAGCCUUAAAACAAUCAACAAAAUAUUUUUGAAAUUUUAUAAAUAUAUUUUAAAACUAUAGUAACGCUACAAAAUAUAUAUAUUUACUAAUUAUAUGCACCUUUUUUAUUUUUAUUUCCUAACAUAUCAUUAUUUUCAACACUAUCGUAAUCCUGUUUUGAUAAUUCCCUUUCCAUACAUCCUUUUUCUACAUAGAAUUUCAAAAGAAAAUGUGAAUUAAUGUAAACGUGAGAAGACUUAAUUACAUUUAUUAGUUUAUCAAUCAAAACUUAAUUAGAAUCCAUCAAUAUUUCACACAUCAAAAACCCAAACAUAAAAUUCACUUUUAAAUUAUUUGAAGAUACAUUUGUAUUAUAGGAAAUCGAUUAAAUUAGUCUUUUAUUAUUAAAUGUAUUAUUUUAAUCUUUGUAUUAGGUAUGAAUGAUAUCUCCUAAAUUGAAGCCAGAGCUAUUCUUGAAAGACUGAAAUUAGGAUUCAGAUGUGUUGAGAUGGAAAGUGACAACACAAUGUUGAUUGAAACUAUUUGUAACAGGUUGACUACAAUAAGUAGUGCUGCCGAAGUAAGACAGAUUCACGAUUGGUGUUCCAAAAAUUGGGAAGUCAAAUUUAGACAUAUUCAGCGGAAUGCCAAUAAAGUUGUUGAUUGCAUAGCUAAGGCAAAUGGAGGCGUAAUUGAGCAGCUGGUUAUCUUGGAAGAUCCUCUGCAUUAUGUGAGAUGGUAGCUUGAAGAAGAUAUUAGACAGUCACUAGUGACUGAUGAUAAUUUUCAUUUGGACUGAUGAGCGCUUAAUUUUCUAAGCUUAUGUUCAACAAAAAAAAUUUUAACUACGUUUAAAUUGUAAUAGAGUUAACAUUUAGUGUUUAAAAAAUAUCUUAAAAAUUAUUAUUUUUUCCAAUUGCAGUUCAAUUCCACAAAUAUCGACGAUGAAUCCGGACAUAAAAAUUAUAGAAAAAAAACACAUCUAUUAUCAAACCAACAAUCCAUGUCUAAACUUAAAUUAACAAAAUUUGCCACGCAACGCCCAGUACACUAUUAUAUAUAUACUAGAUUUAUUCUAGAUGCACAUGUUUUAUUAUAUUUAAAAUUUAAAAUAUAUGGUUGACUAAGUGUUAGUUGAGUUAGUAUUGCUAUUAUUGUCAGUGUAAGGAAAUGUGAGUUUAAUUGCGCUCAAAUGUGUUUUAUCCUCCAAUUCAAGGGUUAGGAAAAGGUUAUUGAUAAUUAAGUUAUACCAACUUUUAUGAUAUUAAAAAAAGGAUUUAUAAAUAAUAUAAGGAAAAGAAAGAAAGAGAAACAUAUUCAUAUUGAUGGGCUCUUUCAAUAUUAGACUUUUUUUUCUAUCACAAGUAAAAAUAUCAAAGGUGAUAAUAAUUAAAUUAUAAAAUUUAAAUUGAGAAAAUAGGGGAUUGAGUUUAUAAGUUUUAAAGUAUAAAGAAUGAAUAUAUAACUAACAACAUAUUUUAACCACAUAAUAAAAGUAGUUAUGGUAAAAUAAUGACCUGAAUAAUUUUAAACGUCUCAUCCUUGCAAAAAUGAAAUAAUAGAAAAGAAAUAAGUGUUGGGUGUAGUGGCAAUGUACAUCAUACUUCUAAGGGGAGAUUAGGGUUUUAGACAAGGGAAGAAUUUUAAACUUGCUCUUUUCUCUAGAACUCAACGCAAACCUCAAAUUUAUCUUUUUAAAAGAAUUUAAAAAUAUGUAUAUAAAAGGUGAUUUUUUUACCGAUCACACUUAACAAAAUUUUAAAAAAAAAUGAAAUUUAAAGUGAUCUAAAAACAUAUUUUUAAGUGCUUUAGACCAUCCUGUGCUGAUUUCUUUAGUAAUUUGAUUUGUUCAAUAUAGAUUUUGGUAACUUAAAACAAAAUUAAUAAAAAAUUAUUUUUUUAGAUAUCUUUUUAAUGUUUAAUAAUAAGUUAAUUUAUAAAAUAUACUUUCAUUGGACACAGGGCCUCCAAGGCGGUGAACCACUAAUCAAAUUAAUUUUGAGAUACUUAAAUUUGUUUUCAUCAAUUAAGAAAUUAAAAAAAUUGUUGAGACCUCAUGAUUAUGUUUUAUAAUUUCAGGCUUAUCAACUAUUUUGAAAAACAACAAAACGUCUUACACCAAAAACUAAAAAAUAAAAACGUCGACAUUAAAUUUGUUGGCAUGCAAUCAAUUUUAAGAUGGUUUUUGGAGUUAUAUAUCACCUUAGCAUUGACUUACUUUUCUACAGUUUGUCUUCUCCAACAAGUUAAAUAUUUCAAUUUUAACAACAUUGACAGGUCUUUGGGGUAGGGUCGAGCAAAAUUCAAUAAAAACAGAUGAUAUAAGUUGAGUUGGCUCGGCCAAGUCGAGUCGAUUUGUUCAAAUUAUUUAAAUUAGUAAAUUUUAGGGUGCAAUUAGAAUUUUUUGUUUUGAGAUGCUAAUUAGAUUAAAAAAUUUCAGUUGCUAAAACAAAAAAAUUGUAUUUAAAAAGGCAUAAAUUAAAUAAUUAAGUUUUUCGAGUUUCCAUUUAAUCAAAGGUUAAAAGGACUAAAUUGAAGCUUUUUAUUUUUAAGAAAGGCUGAAUGACAAAUUGCCCAAAGCCCAUGGCCCUAGCUAUACAACUAACUUUUCUAUGAUUAGUCCUUGGUUUGCUUUGGGUGAAAUCUUCCAACUAGCCUCAUCCUUGGUUUUACUUUCCAACAAUUAGUGUAUCGCGGGUUUUGUUUUCUUUAAAAAAUAUUUGUGGAUAUUAGGAGAUAAUGAAAAUUAUUUUACUAUGAAAUUUUAAUAAAACUGGAAAAUAAGUAAUUUAUUUUAAGAGAUCACAAUUAAACGUUAGAUUUCCCCUUUUUAAAUUAUAAAUUUUUUUUUGACAAUUGCAUAAUAUUUUGAGCGUUGUAGGAAUGCCAUAAUAUAACCUUCCCUACGCAUAAUCGACUCUUGAGCAUGAUGGAUCCUAGACCUUCUCCUCUAUUCUCGUACCACAAAUUGCUUCAAGUGUGGGUUCGAACAAUCACAAAUUAAACGCAAAACCAAAAAUGAUUUAUUACUUUCAAUAGCAAAGUAAUUCUCUCUCAAUAGAAACCAAUAGAAUUGUAAUUCCUAGAAAAUAAAAUUUAUUUUUUGAAAAUAUAUUCUCACUACUUUCUAGCAGAAUAACAAUAUGUGAAACUUAUGUCUUGUGUUAAUAGCUCUACCAGUACUAUCUAUUUAUAGGGAGAGACACGAGAAUCCUGGUUGAAUUAGUAAAACACGAAUAAUAUUUAUUUCAUAGAAAACAAUAUUCCACCCUAAGUAGAUCAAGUUUGUAUGACGCAUGGAUCAAAGCUCAAUCUAGGAGAAAAAAAACAAAGGAAUUUUCUUUGUAAAGAAAAUUUGAGAUUGUACUAUUUUCAAAGUUAUAAAUAAAAUUAUACGCCAAAUUUUCAAGUCAAUUUUCAACUCCAAUUUUGUAUGCACAAAUUUCUAAUACACUUGGUGGGACAUUCUUUGACUUUUAUCUAUUCUCUCAAAAAGUUAAAGUUCAAAGUUACAUUAAACUCAAAGAAGAUAUUCAUUAGUAAACCACCUCACAAGCCUGCUCAAGCUAAUCCUACAACUCGUUCCACUUCAUCAUCAAACACCAAUAUUCUUGCUUAUCCUUAUGGAAUUAAACAGUCUCAUUUUCUGCAUUUUGGGUACACACUUAGUUUUGUUUGAUGCUAAAACAGUCCCCGAGCACUCCAAAACCUAUAAUUGAACAAAUAAUACUAAUUUAAUCUUACAUAACAUGAUCCCAAAUUGAAAUUGUAUCGAGGUUUUAACCCAUAAGUGACUAAACCUUACCUUCAACCGAUGAACAGUAAUUCCCACACAAACUAAGACUCCAAUUGGAGAUUACGAGCCAUUGAAUCCUCCCCUAAUUGGCAUAAACAAAACACUUCAAAAGAAAGUUAACAAAUGGAGACAAAUCACUUAUCUAAAACUUACCGAACGAUCACAGAAAAACGUGGAGUGACACGAGGCAGAGUGGGAAAAGAAAAAUCAAGAGGAUGAAGGGUGAAAGAGAGCAAAAAUUCGGUAGCAAUGAAGAGAAAAACAGCAAGAAAGUGGAGGGAUUUUAGGGAAAGUAAAAAAAAAGAUGAAUAGAAUAUUUGAUAACUACCCAAUCCCUUAUUUCUCUCUAUCAAACUCCCCACUAAAUCCACUACUCGAAUUUUUAGUCCAUCUCAAACUCUCCUGGACGCACGAGCAAAAAAUAAUGACCAUGCCAAAAUUUAAACAAAAGACCUCCUUCACACCAACACUCCACUUAUCCACCAGACCAAUAGGCUCAUUCUUUUAAUUAUUUUCCAACUUUUACUUAAAAGCCUACUGACCAAAGAUAGGGCUUAUUCAUAAAAAUACCAAAUUUUGCCCAAGACCUGGCUUGAACUUGGGACCUCUCAAACACACCCAGAACACAUAACCACUAAAGCAGACAGAAAUUUUGUGUCACACAUUCACAAUACCCAAAAUUAAAAUUUUAGGGCGUUACAAAAACACAUUAAACAAUAUCGCAUAAAACAAUCACAGUCAGAUAACAAUUCAGAAUGUCGAUUUUACAAUUUAACCACCAAUAGUAUCAUAGUAUUCACAGUUGUAAUUUCAGAAUAUCAAAUUUCCACAUCAUUCACAAUAUUCACACAUAUAUAAAUAUAUCAUAAUAGAAUUCUAGAUUUGUAUGCACAUGAUUUAGAAGAUGCCAUACAAUUUUGGGUUUUAACAGAAUAAAUCCUACCCCACAUUACAUACCAUAAUGGGAGUUCCCCUAAACUCCCUUCUCCAACACACUAGGUUGUGGAUAAACCACUAUUGGUUCACAAAUAAUAACUGUCAUUUGGCUGUGGACACAUAGCAAGUCCCCGCAAUUGGAUUCUAGAUUUGGUUGUGGAUUCACAGCAAAAAAAUCCUACAAAUGAAGCCUGCUUUUGCCUGUAGAUUAUACAACAUAUACCCGCAGUUGGAAUCUGUCUUUGGCUGUGGAUGCAGUGUAACACCUCAAACUCGACCUAGACGUUAUGGCUAAAUCUUAAUGAUUUACUUUAACUCGCUAGAAAGCCCACGAAUUUACUUUAAAAUCAUGUGGUUAAACUAGUGUUCACUUUGAUAAAUCGUUUUCCAGUUUUAGAGAAAAUUCUUGUUAAAACUGUUACUUUAUUACAAUAAAACAUUGAAGUAAUUGUAUCAUUUUGUAGUGGAAUCUACUAAGCUAUAAGGUUUUGAAAAUCGUGAUUUAGUUUGAAACAAAUCAUUUUGCAAAUAGAAAUUUAAUACUACUUAAUUUGGAAAAGCACGCUAAAACGAAAGCAAAGUCCAAAAUAAUUUACGGUUUGAAAUUCUAAAAAGCCCAAAUUAGUCAUAAAGUCUAUUUAAACCAAUUUAUCGAAAGUGUAACACCCUAAACCCGGCCUGUAUGUUAUGGCCAAAUCUAGAUGUGUUACGAAAAAAAGUUUAUAAAACGACUUCCUUGUUAUUGGCAAAUCAUCGUAGCCAUUAUUACUUAGUAUAUCUGAUUUGUUUGGAAAACUUAUUGAUAUACUUAUUUGAUUUAAAAUCGUUGCUCACUUACGCCUUUUUAUUAAACCAAAUAUUUUGCAGCGGAGUUUCUUUAAAACAUCAUAUUUUGGAAAAUCAAAUUGUUUCUUGAAAAUCGUUAUUUUAGAAAAGUUGUCAUUUUCAGAAAAAUUAUUUUAUCAGUUGUUAUGCUGAGAAAACAAAAUAAAAUCCAAAACCAAAAAUAGUCCCAAAAAGUCUAGAGAGUCCCAAAAUGACAAUACUCUUAAAACUAGACAAGUUUAAACUAAUUUUAAAAGAAUGAAAUUUUACAGAAAUGUGGACACCACUGAGCUUCCGUCGCACCGACCCACCUAAAUCUGAGGGUUACUUGAACAGAAUAAACAAACAGAGAGUGAGUUUUGAAACUUAGUGUCUAACGCGUAUAUAAACAAAAAUUCAGAAUCAAUCUCAUGCAGAACAGAUACAAGUGUAAACCUUUUAUAAAAUUAGAAUUAUACAGAUACAAAUAUGCAACAUCCUACCCUCAUCCUCUACACACCAACUCCGACCAUUCUAUCACACCACGUGGGGUAUAAAAUACCCACCCAGCCCUACACACCGUAUAGUAUUUAUAUGACACUUUUUGGAAUAAUCGCAGCAGAGUUGCCAGUAUAUAGGCGAGAUAUCACCUCACACAGAACACUUCCUCCUCAUAAUACAAAUCCCGCCCCAUAGCCAGAUACAGACAAAAUAUCAUGUAAAAUAAAUUAACAGAUACUAGAGUUAACAUAUCACGCAUGAGCGUAUAAUAGAUAUUACACAUGCUUAUGCAUAACAAAAUAGAUCAUACAUAUUGUAUUCCAUAAUACUCAUAUAAAUGUUAUUUACGUCAAUCUCAAUCUAAUAGAGUAGCUGAUUUCAUGCUUUAACUCUUAUACCACACAUACAGACCCUAUAGAAGGCCCACAGUUGAUCGAGACAACAUGUAUGUCCCUAGGGAAAAAAUUUGUAAUUUGGGCCCAUAUGCAUGUAUGAGCCCACACACCCAAAAUGGCCUUGCCCAUGUGGCUCACCUACCUAGCACUCAGCCCAUACGGUCCAAAAUGGCCUAGGUCGUGUGUCACACACAGCCGCAUGUUGCACACAGCCUACCACAUAGCGAGUCACAAAACCGUUUGGAGUUGACAAGCCUAAUUUUUGGCUUUCGUCAAUCGUCAUUUUCUUACGUUUUCAUUACACACUUGGUUUGAUUCUGACCCAAAAGCAACCCUAAGUCCACCGAAACCUAAAAAUAGCAUUCCAAUGCCCAAUUUCAGUGAACAUUUACAAAACUUAAACAAAAACUAUCCAAAAACAUAGCCUCACAAUAGCAUCCAAUGCACUCGCACACUUACCGUCAACGAAUAGGAAACACCCAACACUCAAUUCGUUGGCGGAGCACCAAUUAUGAUAAUGCAAAAAUUUUAUGGAUUCUCAACACUAUCGAUCCAAAUGUAAGAUUGAUGCUUUCCAAUUAUGAUAAUGCAAAAAUUUUAUGGGAUGGUUUACAUGAAUUUUUGUUGUUGUCAACGAUCAAUGUAUUCAAUAAUUAAAAGAAAAUAUUAGUCGUUGUUAGAAAACCAAUACUAUGAGUGUUGUAGUUUAUUUCAGUAAAUUAAAGGUUUUGUGGGAUGAACUAGACAAUCAUGAACAAUUGAUUUAUUGCAAGUGUGGACAAUGUUUAUGUAACUUAGGGAAGACGGAUGAACAAUGUCGUGAGCAUGAUCGACUUCAUCAAUUACUUCUUGCUCUCUAUUCUAAUUGUUAUGCUCAAACUAGGUUUACAUUGUUUUACCAAGAUCCUUUGCCUUCCUUAAAUCAGGCAUUCCAACAAAUUACUUAGGAGGAACAUGUACGUGGAAUUACACUGAUUAAGGAAGAGAAGUCUGAUAUUUUAGGCUUUGCUUUGCAUACAGAAGGUCAUAACAAAGGCCGAGCUAAUUGUAUUGAUAAGUCAACCUUGUUGUGCACUCAUUGCUAUCGCAAAAGGCAUGAGAUGGCUACCUAUUUUGAAUUACAUAGCCACUUGGAUUGGCGGCUUAAGAAGUAUGGGAAGCCAGAGAAGAAAAGUGAUGAUCGUGGUGGUAAGACAAGUGCACAUCUUCCACGUAAGUAUUUUAUUUCAAAGGAUCACAAUUAAACAUUAGAUUUCUCAUUUUUAAAUUUUUUUUAUUUUUUUAACAACUACGUAAUUAACGAGUACCAAUUUUGGGUGUUGUAGGGGUUCUAUAACUUUCCCUAUAUGUAAUCGACUCUUGCACCCUCUUUUUUUCUCUAGAAUUCAAUGCAAACCUUAAAUUUAUCUUUUUAAAAGAAUUUUAAAAUCUCUUUAUAAAAGACGAUUUUUUUAGGUGACCAAUCACAGUUAAGAAAAACAAAUCGGUGGCAACUCCUUUCUAAUAAAUGUAAAAAACUUUUUAAACAAAAUAAGGUUGAAAUAAUCUAGUUGUCGUUAUACUUUGAUAAAAUUUUAGAUUUAGUCCUUAUACUUAAAAGGUUAAAAAUUAAGUCUUGUUUUUAUUUAAAAAUCUUAGUCCUAUCGUUAAUAUUGUUUUUUUUUUGUCAAAAUUUGUCAAGUUGACAUAUUAAUUAGGUUUCUCUUAUAUAUCGUGGUAUAUGACUAACACAAAAUAAACAAGUUGACAAAUUCUACAAAAAAUAUCAAAGAUGAUAAUAGUUUAAUUAAAAUUUUUAAAUUAAAAAAGUAAGGGAUUAAAUUUAUAACUUUUAAAGUAUAAUGAAUGAAAUUAUUGAAAUACAAGAACUAACAACAUAUUUUAAAAAUAUUACUAGUAAAUUAUAUAUCUACAACAAGAAUUGUAACCUCUUAUAUUAUAUUCUUGUAUUUAUUUUUGCAUCUUUCAUAAUAUGAUUUAUUAAUUUUAAUAUUUUUAUAGAAUAAUAUGCUUUAAAUAGUUUUUUGUAUCAUUUAUAAAAAUUAUAAUAAACUUACAAAAUAAUUUAAUGAUAUUUAAUUAUUAAUCGAAAAAAAUGAUAUCAUAUAUAUUAUGUAUAUAUUAAGAUUCCAAAUCAUUAAUUAUAUAUCUACGCAUUAUAAUAAAUUCAUCUUUCAAAAUUUUCCUUAUAAUUAAAGCAUAAAUUAUAUUUAUAAUAAUAUAAAUAUAUUCUAUCAUAAAUAUUCUUUCAAAUAUUUUUUAAUGUUUAAUAAUAAGUUAAUUUAUAAAAUAUUCUUUCAGUAAAUUAACGUGAUGAGAUCGUUAGGUGCUUGGAUUUGGUGAAGGGGGAUGAAGAGAAAAGGGAUGGAAGUGAAUAAAAAUGUUGAGAAAUGGAAAGGGUUAGCGAGGGAAGCCGCCAUGAAAGGUGGUUCAAUGGAUAUGAACCUUCAAGCUUUUGUGGAUGAUGUUACUCAAGGUUGUUGCAAGUAAAUUUAAAAAUGUUUUUAAAUUAUUUUUUUGUUAAAAAAACAUUUUUUACUUUUUUAUGUGGCAUGCCACAUUAUCAUACUAUCAUGUGACAAUUUCUGGUGAUUUCUGUCCGCAACAUUAGUCAAAUCAACUGUUAAAUCGUUCAACUCACAGUUUUUGUUAAAUGAAGAGGUUAAUUGAUUUUUUUUUGGAAUCAUUGAGUACUCAAUUGGUGCACUUUUUUCAUAAAGGCUAAAUUAAUUUUUUAAUUUGUUAUUGUUGAAGGCUAUAGCAAUAAAAAAAAUUGAGGUAAAAAAAUAUUAGAGCUAAAUUUGUCAUUAUGCCUAAAAUGUAAAACCAAAUUUUUUUGAAAAUGAAAAAAAAUGGAAAAUCGCAAAUUCCGUCGCAUAUUUUUGCUUAAAAUUAUAGUUUUGGUCACCAAUCUUUUGAAGUAAAUAUAGGUCACCAAUAUUAUCAAUUUGUUACUUUGUAAUAACUCACCUUAAGUUAUACCCCGACGCACGAAAGGAUUAAAUGACAUUGGGAUACCAUCAAACUUGUAUCUUAAAUACACAUUUACCCCUAAUUUUAUCACAUUCUUCUUAAUUGGUAUUUAUGGUUUAGAAAAUUUUACAAAUAUAUUAUUUUUUAAGAAAUUAUAAGAAGAUUACAAAAAUUCCAAAAUAAUAUAAAAAAGCUAAGGAAAACCUAGAAAUUCAAAAAAAAAAACGUGGACAUUGAAUUUGCUGUUUCACAUUAAAUUUUUGGAGAAGUAGAAUUUUCUAACUUAUUUUCCAUCAACUUCACUUCAAUUUUCAAUCACAAUCUAUUGCAUUCAAGAGCACCACAUCUUUUGGGAUGAAACAAACCUCUCAAUUUUAAGAUAAACGGAAUCUAUUGCAUUCAAGAGCACCACGUCUUUUUGGAUGAAACAAAGCUCUCAAUUUUAGGAUAAACGGGUCUUUAGGGUUAUAAAUUGAGGUCCUUUUCCACAAUUGCGGGUGAUUCGUUGAUAAUAACCUCAACAUUUCUGUAUCACAUUUAAUUCAAUUCCACAUUCAAUUUUUAGUUUUUAGAGAGAUGAUUGGGUUACAACAAUGGUUUGAAGUGAAGAUAUUUCAAAACAAGAUGAAUACUCUACCAAUAGUCAUAAUUUAAAAUGCAGGUUAUGUUUCAUUUCAGCUAAGUUAAAUGUUAAGAUUGAGGUUAAACCUUUUAGAGGUUGCUCGCAAAAGGAUCAAACCUUUAUAAAAUUGUUUAAAUGAAGGUCAAACCUCUUAAAAUAGACAAAUAAGGGCCUAACCUUUUAAAAGGUGUUCAAAUAAGGGUUUCUCAAAUUUUGUAUAUCAGGUUAUGUAUUUUACUCUAAACACAUCGACAUUUACCUAUUUUUUCUAUAAAUUGGGUUGAAGUGCAUGAAAAAACCUUAUUUAAGCACUUCUGUAAAGGUUAAACUCUUAUUUGACUAUUUUGAAAGGUUUGAUCCUUAUAUAAGCAACCUCUAAAAGAUUGAGUACUAAUUUGACAAGAUUGAGAAAUACCUAAAUUUGUUUUCAUGAAUCAAGAAAAUAAAAAAGAAAUGUUGAGAAAUAUUUUAGAGAUUCUUAGCUUUGACAAGUUCCCUCCAUCAUCUUCCUGCCUCCAGUCCCACCUCUUCUCUUAUGCUCCUCCCAGCUUCUUGCUUUUUGUGUGUUGAAAUUUCAAAGGAACAAAAUAUCAACCUACAUCAUAAGGCACGAUUGCCAGAACUUUACUUUCUAGCCUGUCGAUCCGAUCCAAUGAAAGAAGAACAAAGAGUCUCAAGAUCUGUCAACUUUAUUUCAUUUUCAUUUUCUUUGUCAUUUUCUAUGUUUCAUGUCGAAUACAAUGAAAGAACAUAGAAAAAUGUUGCCUAUUUAUUUCCCAAUCAUCAUGAAAUUACUUGCCAUAGACUUAGAAUUUUCUCACCAAUUUUCAAGCAAUCUGACAUGAUUUCUCAAUCACAAUUAAUUGAAUUCAAGAUCUUUUUAGAUGACACAAACAUUUCAAUUUUAACACAAACCAAUAUUUAGGUUGUACUUCAGUGCUUGACAAGCACUUUCACAUUUGUGGGAUAAGAACUCUUAACAUUUUAGGAUCACAUUUAAUUCAAUUGCAUUUAAGACCUCACGAUUUUAUUCUAUAAUUUCAGUCUUAUCAGCCUUUUCGGAAACAAUAAAACGUCGACAUUAAAUUUGUUGUUGAUGCAUUCAAUUUUUUGAGGGGUCUUUGGAGUUAUAUGUGACUUUAGCAUUGACUGACUUUUUUAUAAUUAAUCUUUUAUAAUAUAUCAAUUUUAAUAACAUCGACAUGUUUUUUAGUAGGGUCUAGCAAAACCCAAUUAAAACCGAUGAUAUUGGCUUAGUUGACUCGGUCAAGUCCAUUAGAUUGAUAAAAUCAAUUUUAAAAUCAGUUAUAAUGGAUUAAGGUAAUUAAUUAUCGAGUAAUGAAAUACAUAAUCAAAUCAAUUGAUUUUGUUAGAAACUAAAAGAAAAUGAGAUAAGCUGAAAACUGAUUGCCCUUUAUUAAAAUUAACGAAUCCGCCCUUUACGUAUUAGAUAAUACGAACAUCACAUAUAUAAUAAGAAAAAUUACGUAUGAUUAUUUAUUAUCAUAAAAGGUUAGUUUAAAUUUAAAGUAAUCUAAUAUGUUUAUUGAACUUCAACUAUUAAAUAAAGUAUAAGCUAAAUAAGUAUAAAUAUUCUAGAAACCAUUUCUAACUGAUGAUAGGCUAAUUCGAUUAAUUUAUAAAAACUACAUAGUAGGGUUAUAGUCCUCAAACUACACCUAAUUUAAUAAUAUUUAUAGUUUUUUUUUUAGCCUUAAACAUUUAUAGUUUUUUGUUAAUUUGGUCCUUACUCUUUAAAAUUACAUAAAAAUUGCAAAAAAAAUUAAAAUUAAUUUUUUUUCAUAAUUUUAAUAACAUUUAUAGUUUUUUUUUUGUGUGUGGUUUGGUAACUUAUCAACUCGACUCUCACUUGUAACCAACUUUUCUAACCUUUUUCGUACCCUUAACCUAAGUCCCGUUACAACUUUCUAAAGACCUCUUUAUCAGUGUAUCAUGUCGGUUUGUUUUAUAAUGGUGGAGAUUUGUUUUUUGUAGUGGCACGAUUGCCAGAACUUUACUUUCUAGCCUAUCGAUCCGAUCCAAUGAAAGAAGAACAAAGAGUCUUAAGAUCUGUCAACUUUAUUUCAUUUUCAUUUUCUUUGUCAUUUUCUAUGUUUCUUGUCAAAUACAAUGAAAAAAGAACAUAGAAAAAUGUUGCAUAUUUAUUUCCCAUUCAUCACUCUAACAGGCCCAAUUAGCCCAGGCCCAAACAUUAAUAAAAUGUCUAGAUUACAAAAUAAUCAACUAAAAAUUAAAAGCUCAAAAAAUAAAAUAAAACCCAUUAUAUUAACCCAAAACCCCAGCCCAAUUACAUUGAAACCCAAAAAAAAAAUAGUUUUCAGAAACCCCUAGGGUUUCAGAAGCCCCUCAAUGUUAUUUUGUAUAUCUAUUUAUCUUUUUAAAUUUUCGAUAUUGUCUUGUUUUGUUUUUGUAUUAUUGUUGUUACCAUCAUUAUUCAUUAUUAUUAUUGUUGAUUUUAUUGUUCUUUGAUUAAUGUUAAUGUUAGAGUAAUAGAUGUUAUGUGAUCAUUGUUAUUAUAUGUUAUAAUUUGUUUACACUCGUAUUGUAGUCAUUUGUCAGCUUAAUAUUUUGAGUAAUAUUUUAAAUAUUACAUUAAUUUCGACCCAAAUGCAUAAUUUUUUAAUAAGUAAUAUUUUAUAUUUUGAAAUUUGAGAGAUCAUUCCCUAACUUACGGGGUCUCAAUUUUUUCGAUAAAUCUGAAUAUACUAACUAUUUUCAAAAAAUAUGUUUUAAAAUUAUCUCGGGAAUUUAAAAAGGAGCGUGUUCUAACUUACUGAAUAUGAUCUUUUUUUUAAAAUCGAGAUAAUCAAAUAACUUUCAAAUAAAUAAAUUUUCAAUGUUUAUUCUCAUAUCAGGAUUUAAAAUAUUAUAUCCUAACUCACGGGAUACAAUUCUUUUUCUCGAUUAACAUGAAAUAUGCCCGUUUUAAUUUUAUUUUUUAAGUGAUUUUAACAAAAGGAUUGUAUUUUAAAUCUCUUCAAAAUUUUCAAUUUUUCGACAUUGAGACAUUAACUAAUCAAUUAGGUACCAAUUUUGGGCGUUACGAGGGUGCUAACCCUUCCUCAUACGUAACCGACUCCCGAACCUAUUUUUCUGAAUAUUGAAGGCCAAAAUUGUUUUAAUAAAUUAAACCCUUAAGACGUGACCCCAUCACACCUCAUAAAAAUUAUCGGUGGCGACUCUCGUUUGCGUUUUUGUUUUCGUUUUCAAAAUAAAAGUCGACCCCUUGUUUUAAAAAAGGUGGUUCGAUAGCUUGGCGACUCCGUUGGGGAAAAAAAUAAGAGAGUCAAGCCACGAGUUGAUUAUUUCUUAUUUUUUGUCAGAAAUUGUGAAUUCGAUUUAAAUUUACGAUCUUUUCAUUGCAUUUUAUGGUCUGCAUCAUUUUGAUAUGCUUGCUUUACUGGUUCGAGUCUUUUAAUCUCCGCAUAUUGCAUUGCAUAACCGUUCGGUUAUACCCUUUUAAGUGGGAGUGAGAAACUAUUCAUUUGUGAGAUUUUUACCUCCGUAUAGGAUAGUGGAUUACUUUCGGGAUACAUCCGUACCUAUGUCUUCGUGAGAUUUUCAUCUCCGUAUAGUUAUAGGGAAAUGUAUUCCCCUGAACUGAACUCAGUCCGUAUGAGCCUAUAAUAGGUAAGGAUUGAGGAAUCUGCUGGUUCAGGUACCCUUUCUUUAGAACUAAACUGCAUGUAGUGAGCCCUAAGAGCAUACCGUAGGUAGAACCACUCCAAACCCCUAGUGGUCACCCAAAUAGGUGCUCUAUUUAUUUUUGCUUGCUUAUUUUUGCAUUGUACUAACCUAUUUUUUUGUUAUGAUUGCAUUGCAUUUUCAUCAUAAAAAAGAUGUGUUGAUUCACGUUCAAUUGCUAAAUAGAGAGCUUGUCAUGGAAAACGGAUUUCUUGAUAAAGUGGAAGACAAUGUGGUUAUCCGGAUAUGGUCCAAGAAAAUUUGACGAAAGAAGGGUGAUAGUCUAAUGGAGGACUACACGACCUUGCUUUAUUGCCCGAGGAUUCAAGUUGACAAAGAUUAUUUGAGAGUCCUCAAUGUCCCGACCUUUUUCAAGAAGCUAACGAGUGUCACGAGGAUGAGUGAGUAAUGAGUUGCGGCCCGGAUCAAGCAAAAAAGAGAUAGAGGAGACACCCUUUUUGAAGAGUUCGCGAGAUUUAUAUUAAUAUCAAAAUGAAGAAAAAGAUCAAUGUCUUCGCCUGGAGUAUGAAAGCAAAGCUGUAUAUAUAUCCGCUUUAUGUAAAUAAAUUUGUUUUCUAGUAAAGUUUUUCUAAUAGAAUUGAAUCAGAAUCAAUGUCUUUUUUUGCAUUCAUUCCAUUCAUCUGCAUUGCAUUUCAUUGCAUCCAAAAUUUCACAAAAGGACCCUAAUUAAUUGAAAUUGUUAUAGUUACUCUGAAAACUAAUAAAAAUCUACCAAUUAAAUAUUCCUACGGUACCCGUCGCAAAACCAAAGUAAUGGAUCAAAUAUUAGAAAGAUUAGAACAAAUUCUGAAAGACAAGCAUAAUCGUUUUUGCUUAGGGUACAAGCCAGAUACAAGACAAAGAAGGAAGGAGUUAGAGAAGAAAUAGGAAAGAAUGACAGCAUAUUUGAGCGAGGAUGAGGUCAAAUGGGAGCCUAUGAACUUUCCCUACAUAUCCAAAACUUUUGUAUCGGGAGGGAUUAUUCAUCCCGAGCGAAGAAUGCCAAGAGAAGAAAAUAUUGAAGAAAUGUUGGGAAACGUUCACAUCAAUGCCAUAUACGAAGAAGUAGUUGAAGGAUGGACCUUGUUAGAUAUCCGACCUUAUGAACCUGGGAGUGUGCUAAACAAUUGGACUACAGAAGAAAUUCCUGUAGUGUUUAGACCUUACUCAGAGUAAUAUUCAAAACACACUUGUUGCUUUUAGCCUAGAAGUGAUAAGAAUCCCUCUGUGAAAUAGGCUCAUGUAUAAACAUCAUUAUUUUAAUAAAGUAAAUCUUUGCAUUCAUUUUGAGCAAAUAUUCUUUUAUUCUUUCCAUACGAGUAAUUAUUUUAGAUUUUUCAUUAUUUUAGGAUUUUCUUCCAAAAAUCAUUCUUUUAUUACAUUCAUAAUCAUACUGUACAAAUAAUUAUUCUUAAAUUCAUUCAUUCUUUGUAUAUUCUUUUGUACCUAUAAUAGGUCCCUAGAUAUCAACGACAUGAGUGACGCUGCUACAGACUUAGAAUUUCCUUUUAAACAAGACAUGUGUUUAGAGGGAUCCCAUGACUUUGAAGAUGACGUAGACUGUGGCUUAUCUCCGGACUUGUUAAGGAUGGUAAAACAAGAGGAGAAGCAAAUCCUACUUCACAAUGAAUCAAUGGAAAUUGUGAGCUUAGAAGGGGAAAAUAGGUGAAGAUUGGGACUGACAUUGCCACAAAUACGAAGUAAGACCUCAUUGAGUUACUCUAAGAAUUCAAAGAUAUUUUUGCAUGGUCAUACUAGGAUACGCUCGGGUUAAGUACUGACAUUGUAGUACACUGCCUUCCUAUAAAAGAAGAUUGCUAGCCAGUUCAGCAGAAACUCCAGAGGAUGAGGCCUGAUAUUGUGCUAAAAAUAAAAGAAGUCAAAAAGUAAUUUGAUGUUGGGUUCUUACAAGUGGUCAAAUAUUCAGAAUGGGUAGCCAACAUCGUCUCAGUUCCUAAAAAAAAUGGGAAAGUACGAAUGUGCAUGGAUUACAGAGACUUGAACAAGGCCAGUCGAAAAGACAAUUCCCUAUUGCCUCACGUUGACACUUUGGUGGAUAAUACAGUAGGCUACUCACUUUUUUCCUUCAUGGAUGGCUUCUCUGGAUACAAUCAGAUAAAGAUGCAUCCAAAAACAUGGGAAAGAUUACAUUCGUGACCCUGUAGGAAACGUUUUACUAUAAAGUGAUGACAUUCAGAUUAAAGAAUAUGGGAGCGACGUAUCAAAGGGUGAUGGUAACCUUGUUUCAUGACAUGAUUUACAAGGAAAUCGAGGUUUAUAUUGACGAUAUGAUUGCAAAAUCUAGAACAGAAGAGGAACAUGUGCAGGUCCUGAGAAAAUUAUUCUUAAGACUGAGAAAGUUCUAGCUCAAGCUUUCCAACGAAAUGCACUUUCGGAGCUAGGUCAGGAAAGCUAUUAGGCUUCAUAGUCAGUGAAAAAGGAAUCGAGAUCAACCCAGACAAAGUCAAGGUAAUAAGAGAUUUACCUCCACUAUGCACUCAGAAGAAAGUUCGAGGUUUCCUAGGAAGACUAAAUUACAUUGCUCGGUUUAUUUCACAACUAACCGAAAAAUGUGACCCCAUAUUUCAUCUUUUAAAGAAACAUAAUCCAGAUGUAUAGGAUGAAGAAUGUCAGGAAGUUUUUGAUAGGAUAAAGCAGUACCUAUCAAAUACUCUAGUGCUGUUACCACCUAGCCCAGAUAGGCCACUGAUAUUGUAUUUAACAGUGUUUGAUAAUUUUAUGGGAUGCAUGCUAGGCCAACAUGAUGAGACAGGAAGGAAAGAAAGGGUUAUAUACUAUCUCAGUAAGAAAUUCACUGAUUAUGAAAUAAGAUACUCGUCUAUUGAGAAAUUAUGUUGUGCCUUGAUCUGGAUAACUCGGAGGCUAAGGCGGUACAUGUUGUACCAUACGACUUGACUAAUUUCAAAGUUAGACCCUUUAAAGUAUAUGAUGGAGUCAACUACUUUGAAUGGGAGGAUGGCCAGAUGGCAGAUUUUACUUUUUGAAUUUGACAUACUUUAUGUGAGCCAGAAGGCUAUAAAAUGGAGUGCAAUAGCGGAUUUUCUAGCUAGCAGAGCCUUGGAGGAUUAUGAGCCUUUAAAUUUUGAUUUUUUGAACGAGGACUUAAUGUAUGUGGCAACCACUAAAGAAAAUGCUCAAGUGGAUCGCAUUUGGAAGCUAAAAUUUGACGGAGCCUCAAAUGCUAUGGGUAAUAAAAUUGAGGCAGUCUUAGUAUCCCCGAGCAGAGAUCAUUAUCCUAUUGCUGGCAAAUUGGAUUUUGAUUGUACAAACAAUAUAGCAGAAAAUGAAGCGUGUAUUAUGGGCAUCCGUAUAGCCAAAGAAUGUAAAAUCAAAGUGCUAAAGGUAUAUGGGGAUUCUGCAUUGGUGAUAUAUCAGCUCAAAGGAGGAUGAGAGAUAAGAGACCUCAAAUUGAUUAAUUAUCGAAAGUUUAUUCUCGAAUUGAUUGAUGAGUUUGAUGAUAUUACUUUCUCCUAUCUCCCACUAGAUGAAAACCAGAUGGCUGACACGUUGGCUACUCUAGCUUUCAUGAUCAAAGUAAACAAACUAGAAGACAUGAAGCCUAUCCAGAUGAGCAUUUAUGAGACUUUGGCUCAUUGCUACAGUAUCGAGGAAGAGGAAAAGGAUGAUCAUCCUUGGUACCAAGAUAUACUGCAAUAUGUAAAGAAUCACGAGUACCCUGAUCAGGCAACGAAGAAUGAUAAGAGGACAUUGAGAAGACUAGCCACUAACUAUGUCUUACAUGGAGAGAUUUUAUACAAAAAGGGAAAGGAUCGGGUACUACUAAGAUGCUGGAUGCUAUAAAAGCUUAGAAAAUCUUGGAGGAAGUCCAUGAAGGUAUCUGCAAAAUGCAUGCCAACGGUUUCACAAUAGUAAGACAGAUUAUGAGAUUCGGGUACUACUGGUCGACCAUGGAAGGAGAUUGCAUCAAUUAUGCCAAGAAGUGCCAUAAAUGUCAAAUUUAUAGAGACAAAAUACACGCACGUUCUUCACCUCUCAACGUUAUGACUUCUCUAUGGCCUUUCUCUAUGUGGGAUAUGGAUGUCAUCGGGCCAAUAUUGCCAAAGGCUUCUAAUAGGUAUCGUUUCAUCUUCAUGGUCAUUGGUUACUUCACUAAAUAGAUGGAAGCUGAUUCAUAUGCUAAUGUCACGAAGUCAGGAGUCAGCAAGUUCUUGAAAAGGGAGAUCAUAUGUUGAUAUAUAAUGCCUGAAAGAAUCAUAUCUGACAAUACAUUGAAUUCGAAAAAUAGCAAAAUAGCGGAGGUCUGCAAUCAAUUCAAGAUCAAACACCAUAAUUCGUCACCAUAUCGCCCAAAAAUGAACGGAGCAGUGGAGGCGGCCAACUAAAAUACCAAGAAAAUUGUGGGGAAAAUGUCUGAGACUUACAAAGAUUGGCAUGAAAAAUUACCAUUUGCCCUCUUUGUUUAUCGAACAUCAAUCAGGACUUUCGUCGGGGCAACGCCUUUCUCUCUAGUUUAUAAGAUGGAGGCAGUUUUACCCAUUAAAGUUGAAAUCCCUUCUCUCUGGGUAUUGGCUGAGCUAAAGUUGGAUGAAGCUGAAUAGAUCCAACCUCGAUAUGAUCAGUUGAACCUAAUAGAAAGAAAAAGGCUAAAAGUUAUUCACCACGGUCAGAUGUACCAAAAACGAAUGAUGCGAGCCUACAACAAAAAAGUUCAUCCCAAAGAAUUCUAUGAGGGGGACCUAGUGUUGAAAAAGAUUUUUCCUCUACAAAAGAAUUUUAGAGGAAAAUGGAUGCCAAAUUAGGAAAGACCUUAUGUUGUAAUAAAGGCCUUUUCUGGAGGAGCAUUGAUUUUGAGUGAGAUGGAUGGUAAAAAUUUUCCUAAUCUUGUAAACUCAGAUUCAUUCAAGAAAUACUUCACCUAAAGAAGGAGAAGGGACCAAUGUGAAAACCUGCAAAGGGCACUUUGAGUCUUAAAAAAAAGAGACCAAGGUGAAAACCGCAAAUGGUGUCUUAAGUCCUAAAAAAAAGAGGCCAAGGUGAAAACUAGCAAAGGGCGCCUUGAGACCAAAGGGGAUUUGAGUUGAAAACCCGAAAAGAGCGACUCAAAUAUUGAUUAAAAUGGGGCAUGCAGUGAUCUUGCUAUACUUGAAUUAAUAGGAAAGGGGUAUACGACAUCUUGGGGCAUCGACAAAGUACUAUAGAUCUCCUAAACACAUUUCAAACUCAAAAUGGUCUUUAGGAAGUUUGUACAGAGAAAUUCAAGCUGCGAUGUCUAGGGCACCUAGUCUUCAUACUAUUUAUAUUAAAUUUGCUAUUCUUGGAAUACUUUAUUCUUUUCAAGAUACGUGUUCCCAAUCAAUUCCCUUUUUAUUCUUCUUUAUCCUUGAUAAUUUAUUCAUUUCGAGCUAUGCUCCAAAUCAAUUCUAUUCUUAUCCAUUGUUAUUAUCUUUUGCAAGCAUGUUGUAUUGGAAUAAUGAUUAAUAGACUAAUAAUACUUUUACAAAUAAAGUGCUGUAUAUUACUCUAAAAGUUUCUAAAUAAUACAAGAACCUAAAACAGGACUAUUGUUUAGAACGCACCGGGUUUAAAGGUUAGAAAUAUCUGAGAAGGAAGAGUCCAAAUUAAGACUAUCCCUUCGAAUUUUGUUGUCAAAAUAUUGAUUGAACAAAACGACAAGAUAUCGUAUUGGUGAACAAACGAGCAAUGAUCACCAGGUAAUAAAAAGAGGUUAUUUUGGAAAAAAAAUUACAUUGGUACGACACCUUAGGAAUGGUGUAAGAGACCAAAGAGGUUCACAUCUUGUAUUCUUGAAUUGCAAUAGGAGAGGAUUGAGAAAGAGCUAGAUAUUAUACUCCUGAAUUAUAAUGGAAGGGAAAUGGUACAAAUUUUAUGUACCAAAAGUACAGUGGAUUGAACCUUGAAGAUUACAGUAGGGGAAAUCUGAUUAAGUAAAAUAUGAAGUGUUUCUUUGGAGAUACCAGUCGAACAAGAUGGCAUUAUGACGUGUCGGUGAUAGAGCCUUAAUGAAUAAUGAGCAAUAACAACUCAAGCAUUAAGGGAUCAUUUUCAUAACAUUCUGUAUUCAUUCAUACACAUCUAGUUAGGAGAUUUUGAUUCAUUCCGAUCAUAACAUCCAAAUCACUAGACAUAAAUAGGCCCAUGAAAUGGAUUCUACAGGUCAUGUUCCCCAUAGAACAGAUGGGUGAAACCACAAAUCCUAUACCGCUGAAGUUGCAGUGGGAUGGAUUGAAGUCAUUAUGGCGAGUCUUAUCUCCCUGAAGUUGCAAUGGAGCAUAUUAAAGCUAGUAAUCUUAUCUCCCUGAAGUUGCAGUAGAGCGGAUUGAAGUUACAAGUCUUAUCCCCCUAAAGUUACAGUGGAGCAGACUGAAGAUAGUGAAUCUUAUUUCCCUGAAGCUGCAGUGGAACAAAUUGAAGCUAUAAAUUGUAGAUUUUAUCUCUCUAAAGUUGCAAUAGAGAAGAUCAUAUCAAACUUUAUCUCCCUGAAGUUGUAGUGGAACAGGUUGAAAAUACCAAUCUUAUCUCCCUGAAGUUACAGUGGAGUAGACUGAAGAUAGCGAAUCUUAUUUCUCUGAAGUUGCAGUGGAACGGAUUGAAGCUAUAAAUUACAGAUCUUAUCUCUCAGAAGUUGCAGUAAAGCAGAUCAUAGAAAACCUUAUCUCCCUGAACUUGCAGUGGAGUAGGUUGAAGUUAUAAGUCUUAUCUCCCUAAAGUUGCAGUGGAGCAGACUGAAGAUAGCGAAUCUUAUUNNNNNNNNNNNNNNNNNNNNNNNNNNNNNNNNNNNNNNNNNNNNNNNNNNNNNNNNNNNNNNNNNNNNNNNNNNNNNNNNNNNNNNNNNNNNNNNNNNNNNNNNNNNNNNNNNNNNNNNNNNNNNNNNNNNNNNNNNNNNNNNNNNNNNNNNNNNNNNNNNNNNNNNNNNNNNNNNNNNNNNNNNNNNNNNNNNNNNNNNNNNNNNNNNNNNNNNNNNNNNNNNNNNNNNNNNNNNNNNNNNNNNNNNNNNNNNNNNNNNNNNNNNNNNNNNNNNNNNNNNNNNNNNNNNNNNNNNNNNNNNNNNNNNNNNNNNNNNNNNNNNNNNNNNNNNNNNNNNNNNNNNNNNNNNNNNNNNNNNNNNNNNNNNNNNNNNNNNNNNNNNNNNNNNNNNNNNNNNNNNNNNNNNNNNNNNNNNNNNNNNNNNNNNNNNNNNNNNNNNNNNNNNNNNNNNNNNNNNNNNNNNNNNNNNNNNNNNNNNNNNNNNNNNNNNNNNNNNNNNUCAAAGGAACAAAAUAUCACCUACAUCAUAAGGCACGAUCGCCAGAACUUUACUUUCUAGCCUGUCGAUCCGAUCCAAUCCAAUGAAAGAACACAAGGAGUCUUAAGAUCUGUCAACUUUAUUUCAUUUUCAUUUCUUUGUCAUUUUCUAUGUUUCAUGUCGAAUACAAUAAAGAGAACAUAGAAAAAUGUGGCCUAUUUAUUUCCCAAUCAUCAUGAAAUUACUUGCCAUUGACUUAGAUUUUCUCACCAAUUUCAAGCAAUCUGACAUGAUUUCUCAUCACAAUUAAUUGAAUUCAAGAUCUUUUUAGAUGACACAAACAUUUCAUUUUAACACAAACCAAUAUUUCGGUUAUACUUCAGUGCUUGACAAGCACUUUCACAUUUGUGGAUAAGAACUCUUAACAUUUUAGGAUCACAUUUAAUUCAAUUGCAUUUAAGACCUCAUGGUUUUAUUCUAUAAUUUCAGUCUUAUCAGCCUUUUCGGAAACAAUAAAACGUCGACAUUAAAUUUGUUGUUGAUGCAUUCAAUUUUUUGGGUCUUUGGAGUUAUGUGACUUUAGCAUUGACUGACUUUUUUAUAAUUUAAUAAUAAGGUAAAUAUAUUAAUUUUAAUAACAUCGACAUGUUUUUUAGUAGGGUCGAGCAAAACCCAAUUAAAAUCGAUGAUAUUGGCUUAGUUGACUCGGUCAAGUCCAUUAGAUUGAUAAAAUCAUUUUUAAAAUCAGUUAUAAUGGAUAAAGGUAAUUAAUUAUCGAGUAAUGAAAUACAUAAUCAAAUCAAUUGAUUUUGUUAGAAACUAAAAGAAAAAGGGCUAAGCUGAAAAUUGAUUGCCCUUUAUUAAAAUUAACGAAUCUGUCUUUUACGUAUUAGAUAAUAUGAACAUCGCAUAUAUAAUAAGAAAAUUACGUAUGAUUAUUUAUUAUCAUAAAAGGUUAGUUUAAAUUUAAAGUAAUCUAAUAUGUUUAUUGAACUUCAACUAUUAAAUAAAGUAUAAGCUAAAUAAGUAUAAAUAUUCUAGAAACCAUUUCUAACUGAUGAUAGGCUAAUUCGAUUAAUUUAUAAAAACUAGAUAGUAGGGUUAUAGUCCUCAAACUACACCUAAUUUAAUAACAUUUAUAUUUUUUUUAGCCUUAAACAUUUAUAGUUUUGUUAAUUUGGUCCUUACUCUUUAAAAUUACAUAAAAAAUUGCAAAAAAAUUAAAAAUUAAUUUUUAUCAUGAUUUAAUAACAUUUAUAUUUUUUUUUGUGGUUUGGUAACUUAUCAACUUGACUCUUACUUGUAACCAACUUUUCUAACCUUUUUCGUACCCUUAACCUAAGUCCCGUUACAAUUUCUAAAGACCUCUUGAUUGGUGUAUCAUCUCGAUUUGUUUUUAUAGUGGUGGAGAUUUGUUUUUUGUAGUGGGCAUGAUUGCCAGAACUUUACUUUCUAUCCUGUCGAUCCGAUCCAAUGAAAGAAUAACAAAGAGGUCUUAAGAUCUGUCAACUUUAUUUCAUUUUCAUUUUCUUUGUCAUUUUCUAUGUUUCUUGUCACAUACAAUGAAAGAAGAACAUAGAAAAAUGUUGCCUAUUUAUUUCCCAAUCAUCAUUCUAACAGGCCGAAUUAGCCCAGGCCCAAACAUUAAUAAAUGUCCAGAUUACAAAAUAACCAACCAAAAAUUAAAAGCCCAAAUAAUAAAAUAAAACCCAUUACAUUAACCCAAAACUCCAGCCCAAUUACAUUGAAGCCAAAAAAAUAGUUUUUAGAAACCCCUAGGGUUUCUGGAACAAUCCGCGCCGCUCCUCCAUCCGCUUCUCCACGCACGCUGCACCUUUCCACGUGCGCCUCCAGCUGGCAGUGUACCUCCAAUGCAACAAACAAAGCAACAAGCAGCAAAAGAAAUGGAAAAACAACAAAAAAAAAAGAAGGAGCAACAAUGUAUAACAGAUUGAUAACAAAUAAUAGAAAAAAUAGCAGUAAAUAGGAAAAAAAAUUAAAAAAUAAUGAGGGUAAUUUCAUUUUUUUCUCUGUUUUGGCUAUAAAGAGAGCCGGUCAAAAUCUCUAAAGGGGGAUUUAGAAUCAAUCAGAAAACAAGUAUUUUGUACCAACAAUUAGAGAAAAAAAAUACAAAAAUAGGGAUUGAAGGUUUUUUUUUUCUUUCGUUUCGAUUUAUUUAAAAUAGCAUAGAAAAUAAAAAGAAGGCUUACCUUGCGACGCCUUCAGAUCCUCUCGAAAAGGGGCUAAAAGGCCCUAUGUGGCACAGAUUUGACCACUGUUCACGGUGGAACCGCAGCGGAGGCGCAGAGGAUUGGCAUCAAUUUAGGCAGGGUUUGAAACCCUAGCAGAGAAAAAAUUAGGGUUGAUAGAUUUUUUUUAAAAAAAUGGCAAAAUGUUGUUUUUAAAAAAUUUUGUUUUAAAAAAAUUGUUGCUUUUAUAAAGGGUGUAAAACGGCGUCGUUUAGGGCAUGUUUCGAUGGCCCCAAAACGGCGCCUUAUAAGGCAACCCCCGACGACCCGACCUGCUCCAUGGGGGAUCCGCGUGGUUUUUGUUAAAUGGGUUAUGUCUAACCCUGGCCCUUCUACUUUUUAUACUUGUUUUAAUUUGAUCCUCUUUUUAUUUAUUUUUAUUUCUUUAAAUUAAGCCUGAUAAUUUUUUUCCAUUACAUUUUAAUCCUUAAUGAAACGGCGCGUUUUAGAGGAGAAGGGAAAAUUACCCUUCUAGUCCCUUCUUGUUAUUCGAGUGUUCAGAAGGGUCCUUUUUUGUUUAUUUUUUAUUUGCCCCAAAAUUUUGUUUUAAAGCUUAAUUUAGUCCUAUUUUGUUAUUUUAGCUAUUUUAUUAUUAGAUUAAUUAAUUUAAUAUUAUUAUUACUGCUAUUAUUUUACCCCUAUUAGUUAUAUAUUUAUUAUUAUAACUAUAUCAUUAAAUCAAUUAGUUUUUACAUUAUUAUUUCCAUUCUGUUUUUUAUUUACUUACUUAAAUACUUUAAAUGCAUUUAUUUUAUUUCUUAUUUUUUUAUGAAAUUUCAAAACUUUAGACUAUUUUUUUGUUACUAUAACCCUAAUUUCAUUCAUUUUAUAAUAGUUUUUUUUUAAAAUAUUUCUUAGAUUAAUUCCCUCGAUGUUAUUUUGUAUAUUUAUUUAUCUUUUUAAAUUUUCGAUAUUGUCUUAUUGUAUUAUUGUUGUUACUAUCAUUAUUCAUUAUUAUUGUUGAUUUUAUUCUUCUUUGAUUAAUGUUUAUGUUAGAGUAAUAGGUGUUAUGUGAUCAUUGUUAUUAUAUGUUAUAAUUUGUUGACACUCGUAUUGUAGUCAUUCGUCAGCUUAAUAUUUGAGUAACAUUUUAAAUAUUACAUUAAUUUUGACCCAAAUGCAUAAUUUUUUAAUAAGUAAUAUUUCGUAUUGUGGAAUUUGAGAGAUCAUUCCCUAACUUACGGGGUCUCGAUUUUUUUGAUAAAUCUGAAUAUAAGAACUAUUUUAAAAAAAUACGUUUUAAAAUUAUCUCGGGAAUUUAAAAAGAAGCGUGUUCUAACUUACGGAAUAUGAUCUUUUUUAAAAAUCGAGAUAAUCAAAUAUCUUUCAAAUAAAUAAACUUUUCGUGUUUAUUCUCGUUUUAGGAUUUAAGAUAUUGUGUCCUAACUCACGGGACACAAUUCUUUUUCUCGAUUAACGUGAAAUACGCCCUUUUUAAUUUUAUCUUUUUAAGUGAUUUUAACAAAAGGAUUGUAUUUUAAAUCUCUUCAAAAUUUUCAAUUUUUCGACAUUGAGACAUUAACUAAUCAAUUAGGUACCAAUUUUGGGCGUUACAAGGGUGUUAACCCUUCCUUGUACAUAACCGACUCCCGAACCUAUUUUUCUGAAUAUUAUAGGCCAAAAUUGUUUUAAUAAAUUAAACCCUUAAGAGGUGACUCGAUCACAGCUCAUAAAAAUUAUCGGUGGCGACCCUUGUUUUAAAAAAGGUGGUUUCAACAGCUUGGCGACUCCGCUGGGGACAAAAAUAAGAGUCAAGCCGCGAGUUGAUUAUUUCUUAUCUUUUUGUCAGAAAUUGUGAAUUCGAUUUAAAUUUAUGAUCUUUUCAUUGCAUUUUAUGGUCUGCAUCAUUUUUAUAUGCUUGCUUUACUACUUCGAGUCUUUUAAUCUUCGCAUAUUGUAUUGCAUAACCGUUCGGUUAUACCCUUUUAAGCGGGAGUGAGAAAUUAUUCUUUCGUGAGGUUUUCACCUUCGUAUAGGAUAGUGGAUUACUUUCAGGAUACAUCCAUACCUAUGUCUUCGUGAGAUUCUCAUCUCCGUAUAGUCAUAGGGAAAUGUAUUCCCCUGAACUGAACUCAGUCCGUAUGAGCCUAUAAUGGGUGAGGAUUGAGGAAUCUGCUGGUUCAGGUACCCUUUCUUUAGAACUAAACCGCAUGUAGUGAGCCCUAAGAGCAUACCCUAGGUAGAACCACUCCAAACCCCUAGUGGUCACCCAAAUAGGUGCUCUAUUUAUUUUUGCUUGCUUGUUUUUGCCUUGUACUAACCUAUUUGUUAUGGUUAUGAGUGCAUUGCAUUUUUAUCAUAAAAAAGAUGUGUUGAUUCACGUUCAGUUGCUAAAUAGAGAGCUUGUCAUGGAAAACGAAUUUCUUGAUAAAGUGGAAGACAAUGCGGUUGUCCGGAUAUGGUCCAAGAAAAUGUGAAGAAAGAAGGGUGAUAGUCUAAUGGAGGACUACACGACCUUGCUUCGUUGCCUGAUGAUUCAAGUUGACAAAGAUUAUUCGAGAGUCUUCAAUGUCCCGACCUUUUUAAAGAAGCUAACGAGCGUCACGAGGAUGAGCGAGUAAUGAGUUGCGGCCCGGAUCAAGCAAAAAAAAGAUAGAGGAGACACCCUUUUUGAAGAGUUCACGAGAUUUAUCUUAACAUCUAGACGAAGAAAAAGAUCAAUCUCUUUGCCUAGAGUAUGAGGGCAAAGCCGUAUAUAUAUCCGCUUUAUGUAAAUAAAUUUGUUUUCUAGUAAAGUUUUUCUAAUAGAAUUGAAUCAGAAUCAACGUCUCUUUUUGCAUUCAUUCCAUUCAUCUGCAUUGCAUUUCAUUGCAUCUAGAAUUUCACAAAAGGACCCUAAUUAAUCGAAAUUGUUAUAGCUACCUUGAAAAACUAACGAAAAUUUACCAAUUAAAUAUUCCUAUGGUACCCAUUGCAAAACUAAAGUAAUGGAUCAAAUAUUAGAAAGAUUAGAACAAAUGCUGAAGGAUAAACAUAACUGCUUUGGCUUAGGGUACAAGCCAGAUACAAGACAAAGAAGAAAUAGGAAAGGAGAACACGUUUGAGCGGGGAUGAGGUCAAAUGGGAGGGAUUAUUCAUCCCAGGCGAAGAAUGCCAAGAGAAGAAAAUAUUGAAAACAUGUUGGGAAACGUUCACAUCAAUGCCAUAUACGAAGAAGCAAUUGAAGGAGUGACCUUGUUAGAUAUCCGCCCUUAUGAACCUAAGAGUGUGCUAAACAAUUGGACUGCAGAAGAAAUUCUUGUAGUGUUUAGAGCUUACUCAUAGUAAUGUUCAGAACACACUUGUUGCUUUUAGCCUAGAAGUGAUAAGAAUCCCUCUGUGAAAUAGGCUCAUGUAUAAAAAUCAUUAUUUUAAUGAAGUACAUCUUUGCAUUCAUUUUGAGCAAAUAUUCUUUUAUUCUUUUCAUACGAGUAAUUAUUUUGGAUUCUUUAAUUCUUUUGGGAUUUUCUUCCAAAAUCAUUCUUUUAUUACAUCCAUAAUCAUACUGUACAAAUAAUGUAAUAGCCUGAAUUUUCAGUGGUGUCGGAAUGGUGAUUCAAGAUCACUAAGUCUGACAAAUGAGUAGAAAAUAUUAUUAAUUUAGUAAGAAUAAGUAAAUGUGAAGUUAGGAAAAUUUUUGAAAUAGUGAAUAGUGUACUAGGAAUAAAUAUUAAAAUAAUUAAAAUAAAAAAUGAGGUAUCGAGACCUCGAAGAUUUUAAACCAAGCCAUAAGUACUUUUAGAAGUAUUUUUAGAGUGUCAUUGAGUUGGUAUUAAAGUUUCGUUAGAAAAUUUUAACGCUCGGAUAGUUAAUUAACCAAAAAGGACUAAAUUGAAAAUAGUGUAAAAUUUGUUAAAUUGUGAUUAAAUAGCUUAAGUGAUUAAAAAGGAGGGAUUUAAAAGGCAAUUAGGCCCAAAUUAUAUGGGCUGGACGGUUGGGUAAGAAAAAUCAGCAGAAUGUAAGGAGAAAACAGGGGCAAAAUUGGAAACUUAACAAAUUAAACAUAUAAAACAAAGACAAAAGUGAAAAAUCUAGAGAUCUGUUCACAAUUUAUCAGCAAAAAUGCCAUAGGAGGUCUGAAAGAAGCUGGUUUUUCAUAUAUUUGAAUCAUGUAAGUUUAAUUCUUGAUUAUUUCUUCUAAUUUUUGUGAUUUUGAUACUUUUACAAUUAGGUCCAACUAAUUAUUUCAUUAGUUUUUGAUUUCAUGGCUGAUUUUGAAAGUUACCAUUGAUGAGUGUUGGAUUUUUAUGAUGAAUAAACAUGGAAUUAAAGCUUUAAUUUUGUUAUAUGAUGAUUUUAUUAAGUAAUUUUGAUAGAAAUUGAUUUUUGGGACCUAAUUGUGAAAAAGUUUGGAAUUAGGGUUUGGUGUUGCGGUUUUGAAUAUGAAAGGCUAUGUAGUAGUCUAAAAUAGUUGGAAAAGGUGUUAAUUGAGAAAAAUUAGAUCAAUUGAGGGGUUAAUUGAGUAGGACCAAAUUGUAAAAACUGUAAAGUUUGAGGUAAAAGUGUAAUUUCGAAAAUUUAAGGGCAUAAAUUGUGAAGUGAAUUAGAAUAGAAUUAUAUGCUGAUGAAUGAAUAAAUUUGUAUUUUAGAUCGAGAACCCGAAGCAAGCCGAGGAAAAGAAAAAGUAGUUGAUUAGUCCCUGAACUUUUACAAAUUCUGCAAAUCGACCCAGGUAAGUUCAUAUGGCUGAAAUUUAAUGAUUAAAUGUUAAUUUCAUGAAUUAUGUAAUGUAUGAUGAAAUGUAUUUAGUGUUGAAAUGAGAGUAAAAUAAAAAUGCGAAAAUCGAAUAAAUGAUCAAAUUAAGCGGAACGCCGGAUUUGAGUACUUCUGAUCAAGAGACAAAGUGAUAAGUGGUAGCUUUAGCUACACUUAUCUGAUCAAGUGAAAAAGUGAUAAGUGCUACACUUAUCUGAUCAAGAGACAAAGUGAUAAGUGGUAGCUUUAGCUCACUUAUCUGAUCAAGUGAAAAAGUGAUAAGUGCUAUACUUAUCUGAUCAAGUGACAAAGUGAUAAGUGGUAGCUUAGCUACACUUAUCUGAUCAGGGCCAAAUGAUAAGUGAUCAUACGUAAGACCAUAGUUAUACUAUGGCCAAGUGAAAGUGAAGUACUCAAUUUUCCGUAACCGUUCCUUAAUUUUGAUCAAGGAUGGUAAGUGACAAAUAGGCCCAAAGAAAUUAUGGUAAAAGAAUAAGUAGUAGUGAGUUUAUACCAAGGAACUCUCCAAAGAUUGUGGUUGACAAGUAAACUUAGUAAUGGUGUAUAUUGUAUAAGUGUACAAAUGUUUGGUAAGAUUUAUGUUUGUGCCUAUGAACUUACUAAGCUUUUCUAUAAGCUUACAUGUGUGUGUUUAUUGUUUUUCUAGAUUAACGUAUUUAUACAUUCGGAGGAUCGGAUCUACUUCGAGAAUCACACUAUCCAGAUAUACUCCGGUAGAUUUUGUUAAACAACUUUUUGGAUUUAUAUGGCAUGUACAGAGAAUUGAAGUAAAAAGUAAUAGAAUGAAUGACUGAGUAUGCAAAGUAAAUUUGAAUGUGAUGGUUGUGUUAGAUAUUGAAAAAUACAUGUUUUUAGUUUGAAAUGGUUGAUUGGCUGAACUUCGUUAGUAUUCAAGUGAAGUAGUUGAAAUACUGGAAUUGGUUGUGAUUUGAAAUUUGCAGGGAAGGUUAGAUAAAUAUAAAGGGGUUAUAUUGAUUUUUUUUUUAAAUUUCAAUGGAAUAAUUUUUGGACAGCAGCAUUGAUGUAACUUUUAAAAAUCACCAAAAAUAGUGGAAAUAGAAUUAGAAGUUGAAUGAGAUAUGAAAUUAAAUCUGAAUGAGUCUAAUUUCACAUGAAAGAAGUAGAAUAAGAAAAAGAGUUAUAUAUUUUUAGAUAUUUGAAUUUUAGUGAAACAGGGCAAGAAUGUUUUUGAAGUCCCCUGUUCUGACUUUAGAAAUUUAGUAAAAAUUGUACAAAAGGAAUUAUGAAUUAUAAUUUAUAUGUUUAAAUUCCGUAAUGAGUAUAUUUUAAGUAGAAAUAAUUGGAACCACCAUAUGAAGUCUUUGCAAUGAGAUAAUUGAAUUUUAGUGACAAGAGGUCAGGAUAGUCAAUUAGUGAAAUAGGGGAGACUUCAACUAAUAAACUGUAUUAAUUUGCUAAACCAAAAAUUCUGAAAAAUUUAUGGUGAAUAUACAUAUGAGUCUAGUUUGAGGGAAAAUUUACGGAUCUAAAUUUUUAGUUUCGUAUCUUGAGUUAUAAUUAUUUUAGUGACUACUGCGCAUGUGGACAGCUUUGUUGUGAAUGGUGAAAUUAAUUUUUAAAGUAAAUUUUUAUGCCCCGAACUUUUAAGUUCAGUCAAGUAACGCCUUAUGCUCGACUCCGGCAACCGUCUUGGGUAAGGGGUGUUAUAAAUAAUUAUUCUUAAAUUCAUACAUUCUUUGUAUAUUAUUUUGUACCUACAAUAGGUCCCUAGAUAUUAACAACAUGAGUGACGUUGCUACAGACUCAGAAUUUCCUUUUAAACAAGACAUGUGUUUAGAGGGAUCCCAUGGCUUUGAAGAUGACGUAGACUGUGGCUUAUCUCUGAAUUUGUUAAGGAUGGUAAAACAAGAGGAGAAGCAAAUCCUACCUCACAAGGAAUCAAUGGAAAUUGUGAGCUUAGAAGGGGGAAAAGAGGUGAAGAUUGAGACUAACAUUGCCACAAAGACAAAGCAUGACCUCGUUGAGUUACUCCAAGAAUUUAAAGAUGUCUUCGCAUGGUCAUACCAGGAUACUCCCGGGUUAAGUACUGGCAUUGUAGUACACUACCUUCUUAUAAAAGAAGAUUGCAAGCCAGUUUAGCAGAAACUCUGAAGGAUGAGGCCUGAUAUUGUGCUAAAAAUAAAAGAAGAAGUUAAAAAGCAAUUUGAUGUUGGGUUCUUACAAGUGGUUAAAUAUUCAGAAUGAGUAGCCAACAUCGUCUCAGUCUCUAAAAAAGAUGGGAAAGUACGAAUGUGCAUAGAUUACAGAGACAUGAACAAGGCCAGCCAAAAAGAAAAUUUCCCAUUGCCUCACAUUGACACUUUGGUGGAUAAUACAGUAGGCUACUCACUGUUUUCCUUCAUGGACGACUUCUCUGGAUACAACCAGAUAAAGAUGCAUCCCAAAAACAUGGGAAAGACUACAUUCGUGACCCUAUGGGGAAUGUUUUGCUAUAAAAUGAUGUCAUUCGGAUUAAAGAAUGUGGGAGCGACGUAUCAAAGGGAAUGGUAACCUUGUUUCAUGACAUGAUGUACAAGUAAAUCGAGGUUUAUGUUGACGAUAUGAUUGCAAAAUCCAGAACAGAAGAGGAACAUGUGUAGGCCCUAAGAAAAUUAUUCUUAAGACUGAGAAAGUUCCAGCUCAAGCUUUCCAACGAAAUGCACAUUCAGAGCUAGGUUAGGAAAGCUGUUAGGCUUCACAGUUAGUGAAAAAGGAAUCGAGAUCAACCCAGAUAAAGUCAAUGCGAUACGAGAUUUACCUCUACCAUGCACUCAGAAGGAAGCUCGAGGUUUCCUAGGAAGACUGAAUUACAUUGCUCGAUACAUUUCACAACUAACCGAAAAAUGUGACACCAUAUUAAAAUAAAAAUAGAUUAAAUUGUAAGUAAAACAUAAUUUAAACAUAUGAAUACAUCAAAUUAAUAAUACUAAAUGAAUACAGUUAUUUAUGAUGAUGUUGUUGCCAAUUCCUAAUUUGGUGUCUAGUUAAUUUGUGACAUCAUAAAUUUAAGUGAUAAAUUUAAGGUUUUAUGUAUUGAUGUGGAUUCAAAUAUCACCAUAAUUUUUGUAAAUAAAAAACUAAUAAGAUAACUUAUAUUAAGUACGAAAGGGUAUUUUUAUAAUUUCUCUAAUCGAGUUGGUGCCCGGUUGACUCAUGACACUAACUCAAUCAGAAGCUUUAAUAAUAAUAUAGAUAUUCAUGUUAAAAAAACAAAAAAAAAGUACUUUAGUUCCAAAUAAUUAUAUAACAAGUAAAUUUAUAAUUGAUGAAUAAAUUUAUAAAUAAUAUAUUUAUAUGAUCUAAUAUAUUAUAUUUAUAUUAAUUAUAUAUCAUCUACAAACUUUGAAGAUCAAUUUAUUAAGUAAAAAUGAAAUUGUUAACACUAAAUCAAUUUUUAGAUUUUGUAUAGAUGAUUUAGUGAUGAUAAAAACAUUAUUAACACUAUUUUUUAAUUAACAAAAAAUUAGUGAUAUAUUUAAAUUAUAUUUAUCAUUUAUUAUUUUUAAUAAUAUUUUUUAAUUAUAUGAAGUAAAAUUAUAUUGUAUACUAAAUAUGGUACAUAUACUCUAAUUAUAACUUGAAAUUUUAUUAUAUAAAUUAAUAUAAAUUUGAAUAACAAAAUAAAAAAAAACUAAUUAGAAUAAUUUUAAAAAACAUUAUUUAAAAGUAGUUAAAAAUCACGUGCAACAGGUGAGAUCAAUGGUCUUUAGAGAAGAAAUGUUGAAGAUCAAAGUUGGAAUCUGGCCUAUAAGGCCUUUAAUUGCUUUAAUAUUAAGCAGUUCCAAACCAAGAAGAUUACCGAUUUCCUCAGGAAUUUGACCUGCACACAUGGUCGAAAAAUCAAUGUGUCAAACUACCUAUUUUGUUAGCAUAAGUCAAAGAGGUUUUCUUUUCUAUUCUACAUAAUUUGCAGAUGUUAGAUUUUAAUAUUUUUAAGCAUAUUUGUUUUCAUCAAAUUAACUAUUUUGAACUAUUUUGCCUUGAAUGAAAUAAAAUGCUCUUACUUUUGUUAUCUAUUACUAAUCAAACUCUUUUAUAAAAAAAAUACUUUAAACUAAAGAAACCAAGAAAAUUCAAUACCUUCUAGGUUAUUCAACCCCAAAUAUAAUUCUUUGAGUCGUGUCGGAUUUCCAAUACUUCUUGGAAUGAUCCCCAUCAAUUGAUUAUAGGAAAAUGACAAAAUUUUAAGGUUGUUGCAUUUGCUUAUACUUGACGGAAUGUUACCAUAUAAUUCAUUCCGACUCAAGUAAAGCCCUUCAAGCUUGGAAAGAUGUGACACAUAUCAUUAGGCAAGCUACCUGAUAGGCUAUUGUUGGAGAGAUCAAUGGCCUUCAGAGAAGAAAUGUUGAAGAUCGAAGUUGGAAUCUGACCUGUAAGGCCUUUAAUUGCUUUAAUAUUAAGCAGUUCCAAACCAAGAAGAUUACCGAUUUCCUCAAGAAUUUGACCUGCACACAUGGUCGAAAAAUCAAUGUGUCAAACUACCUAUUUUGUUAGCAUAAGUCAAAGAGGUUUUCUUUUCUGUUCUAUAGUAAUUUGGUGAUGUUAGAUUUUAAUAUAAUUCAGCACAUGUUUUUCAUCAAAUGAAAUAAAAAGUUUUUCCUUUUGUUAUCUAUUACAAAUCAAGCUCUUUUAUUAAAAAAAUACUUUAAAUUCAAGAAAUCAAGGAAAUUAAUUACCUUCUAAAUUAUUAAACCCCAAAUAUAAUUCCUGGAGUCGUGUUAGAUUUCCAAUACUUCUUGGAAUGAUCCCCAUAAAUUGAUUAUGGGGCAACAACAAAUUUUUAAGGAUGUUUCAUUUGCCUAUGCUUGACGGAAUGUUACCAGAUAACUCAUUGCUAUGCAAGUGAAGCCCUUCAAGCUCGGGAAGAUGUUGACACAUAUCAUUAGGCAAACUACCUAAUAGGCUAUUCCUGGAGAGAGCAAUAGUCUUGAGAGAAAAAUGUUGAAGAUCGAAGUCGGAAUCUGAUCUGUAAGGCCUUUAAUUGCUUGAAUAUUAAGCAUUUCCAAACUAAAAAGAUUACCGAUUUCUUCAGGAAUUUGACCUGCAGACAUAGUCGAAACAUCAAGGUGUUAAAUUUCCUAUUUUGUUAGUGUAAAUCAAAGAGGCUUUUUAUUUUUUUUCGUUAUGAAAUAAUAUGGAUAUGUUCGAUUCUAAUCAUAUUUAAGUAUAUAUUAGUUCUUGAAAGAAUGAGUUCUUAUUUUUGGUAUUUAUAUUGCAAAUAUAUAUUUUUUUAAAUUUAAAAGAAGGGAGGGGGCAAAUGUGUUUAAACUAAAGACAUCAAGGAAAAGGCAUACCAAGUAUAAUUGUUUAAGUUGUGUCAAAUUCCCAAUGCUUUUUGGAAUGAUCCCACUAAAUUGAUUAAUAGACAAUUCCAAAAUUUGAAGGUUGCAGCAUUUGUCUAUACUUGAUGGAAUAGAACUUGAUAAUUCAUUUCUACUCAAGUAAAGCUCUUUCAGCUUGGGAAGAUGGACACACAAAUCAUCGGGCAAGCCACCAGAAAGACUAUUAUCACAAAAAUGAAUCCUUUUCAAAGAAGAAAUGUUAAAGAUGGAAGAUGGAACCUGGCCAGAUAAUUGAUUGAAUCCCAAGUUCAAGAUCUCUAGAUUGGACAAGUUGACAAGUGUUUGAGGGAUCGUGCCUGUGAAGUUAUUAUUUCUCAUUUCCAACCUUUGAACUCUGUGCAAGUUCCCAAGCCAUGGUGGAAUUUCCCCAUUAAGACGGUUGUAGCUUAAUCGAAUGAUCCUCAAACGAUGCAAUUGGCCUAAUUCUUUAGCCAGAUGGCCGUAGAAAUUGUUGUUGCUCAAGUCGAUAGAAAAUAGAAAUGAAAGAUUUCCAAGGUGUGGAGGGAUAGUACCCCUAAGAUUCAUGUUUGUAAGAUUAAUCAAAGCUACAACUCUUUCAUGGAUGAUGCCACAAGAAACACCAACCCACUUACAGACAGAGGUAGAGUUCGUCCAAUUGUUUGCCAACACAUUUUGAGGAUCGACAAUGCGAUCUUUAAACUCAAAGAGUGCAAACUGAUCGGAGUUGAGAUUCCGGACUGUCAUAGCCAAGGAAACAAUAGAACAUUGUAUGAAUAAAAGUGAAAGAAGAUGAAAGCAAGUGUUGUAGUUCAUGAUGGCAAGACGAAAUAAGCCAGGAAAAGGGAAGUUGAAUUGAUGAAGAAAUAGCCAGCCAACAUGCUUAAAUAGGCUUCAACCCUUGCACACUUCUCAUACAUAAAGUUCGCUGCCAUUACAACAAGAAAACUCAUAUCUCCAUUCGUACCUAUCCAUACUUUAUUUGACUAACUUUUCCCUAACAAGUGUUCAGUAAGGAGAUAAAUCAGUUUGGAGCUAUUCACCGGCUUCUCCAAUCUUGGUUUCAAACUCCUAACCCAUCAAUUCACUUUAAUUGAAACGAUAUACACGAGUCUUUCGGCUUAUAUUUUUAAUUUAAUUUUUGUUACUUUUCAUAAUAUUUUUUGAGAAAUCCAAAUAUUCCAGUCUGAAAUUUCUUCAUUGCCACGUCUAUCUCCUGGGUAAGUCCGUGGUUAGGCAGCCCACUUUGGGAGCAGGAUUGUAAUUGUAAUUCUAUCCGACUCAUUUUACUAUUUAGAAAUAUAAAAGUAAUAUUAUAUUAUUUUUUAUAUUUUUAUAAAUUUAAUUUUAAUUAUAAUUUUUAAACAAUAAAACGAGUCAUUUGUAUUUGCCUAGUCUAAAUUGAAUCAGGAGUCAAAAAAAUUUUAAUCAUAAUUUACUAUUAUUUUAAUUAAUUAAAAUUUAACCUACUACAACUAGUAGUUGCAGAAAAAAUGUCAUUCCUUUAGAAAAACGAAAAUCCUUUAGAAAAAUGAGAACUUAUGAAGCAUUCAAUAAGAGUCAUUGGAAUAAAUGGUAACGAAAUCAUAAUUCAAUAUAAAGCUAAAAAAUGUACCAAUCUAUAUAAAUAAUGUAAGAUUUGUGAUACCUAAAUUAUUAUAUUUUCCAUAAAUAUAUGAAGAUAUUUUAUUAGGAAAUAAUUUUAUAUAUAAAAUUUUUUAUUUUCUUUUGAUAGAAAUUUAAUUAUGUUAUCUGUAGAAAAAAAUAUUUAUAGAAAUAUUAUUAGUAGAAAAUCAUAAAUUUGUGUGUGGCAAAAAAAAUUCACCACCAAGAAAGGGGCAAAUUAAACAACUUGAAACAAGUCAUUGGUUGUUUAAAAUAUUAGAUAAUAAUUUCAGUGAAGAAUCAUUAAAAUUAUGACAAAAUAACCCUAGAUAUUGUAGUAUUAAAUUGGAAAAUCUCAAUAAUAUUAUUAGAGUAAAACCUAUGAUCUAUCUAAACAAGAUAUAGAAGAUUUUGAUAUACAAAUUAAGGUUAGAAAUCAUGCGGAAAUAAAAAAGAAAAAAAAGCUAGUAUGGUCAUUAAUUAUAAAAGAUUAAAUCAAAAUAUUAUUUUUUUAUAGUUACUUGAAUUAAUCAGGCUAAACAAACAAAAUAUUUUAGUAAAUUUGACUGCAAAUCAGGAUUCUAGCAAAUCAUGAUAACAGAAAAGUCCAAACCUUUAACGGCUUUUAGUGCACCCAAUGGACAUUACCAAUGGAAAGUGAUGUCAUUUCAAUUAUGUGAUGCACCACAAAUCUUCCAAAGACGAAUGGAUUUUAUAUUUAAUAAAUAUAAAAAAAUUCUAUGUAGUCUACAUAGAUGAUAUUUUUUAUAUUUUUAGAUACACUAGAAUUACAUAAGAAACAUUUAAAUAUUAUUUCUUAAGAAUUCAUAAAAUAUAGAAUCAUAUUAAACCCUAAAAAUAUAGAGUUAGAAAAAAGAGAGAGAAUUUUUAUAAUAGUGGAAAUAAAAAAUUGUCCUCAAAAGAUUGAAGAAAAAAAGAACUUCCAACAAUUUCUAAUAUAUUCCUCCCAAAUUUUCAGUUUCAAUUUUAUUACAGAAUUUCUUUGCCGACAAUAAGAAAUUAAGAGCGCUCUUUAAGUUGAAUAUAGUCCGUCAGAUAUGGCUAUCUAUAACAUGGAACCUUUGGUUUUCAAGCUGAAUAGGAGAAUUGAUUCACUUGAUAAGUAUGAAAAAUUGAAACUGCUAAAUUUAAGUGCACUAACUCUGGAUAUCAUCAUUAUUUUUCUGUACAUUAAAGUACCUGUUUGAUAUGCGAUUUCUGCCUCAAACUAUCAACAUCUUUAACAUCCUUUUGCUAUAGUUAGCAUGGGUACUUCCUUUUAGAUUAACAGUUAGGUUUGAACUGUGAAUUAGAUUUCUGUGGCUGCUGGGAUUGAAGAAGUUAGUAUGCGAAUGACAUUGGACAAAUUUGGCAAAGUCUUCUCCAUCAGUGAAGAAAACCCCUUGGCGUAUGAAAAAUGUUCACCAUCUUAGACAUUUGUUUUCUUAUUGUAAGAAUAUUUUUAACAUUGUAACUUUUAACAUUAUUGUAAGAAUAUUUUGAAUUAUACUUCAGUUAUCAAUUUAUAUCAUAUAUCUUUUGUUGAAUUUGAAGUAUAAUUUAUAUUUGCUGUUUUUGGUUAGAUUUCAUGCUAUAGGAAGGGUUGUAUAUGGAUAGAAAUUGAAUGUUACAAAUCUGCCAAAGUUAGUGGCGUUUUUUCAUAAGAGCUGCUAAAGAAUGCUAUUUUUGGCGGUGUUUGUAAUAAAAGAGCCGCUAAAGGUCAUGUUCUUUAGCGAUGUUUGUGGGUAAAGCGCCGCUAAAGAUCAUGUUCUGUAGCUGUGUUUGUGGAUAAAGCGCCGCUAAAGAACAUGACCUUUAGCAGCGUAUUUUCACAUAAACGCCGCAAAAUUUAGCGGCUUUGUCUAUAGCGACUUUUUUUGCAGCGCUUUAAGUUUUAGCGGCGCUUUUAGGCCUAAAAAAGGGCCGCUAAAAGCCUGUUUUGCUGUAGUGAGCAUAUUUACAUUUUCGUCCCAAUUUCAACUAACACCCCAUCUAUUUCCCACUUCCCUUUUUCGGGCAAUUUCAACUAACACCUUCAUAUCAAACAUAACUAUUUUUCAAUUUUUCUUCUUUAUUUCAUUAAUAAAAUUAUCAAUCUAUUUGUUUUUAAAUAUAUAAUUUCAUUAAUAUUUUUUAAAUUAUAAUAUAAGAGUUGUUGUUUAUUUAUAGUUUUAUUACAUUAUUUACUCUCUCUUUUCUAUCAAGUUUUUUAAAUUAUAAUAUAAGAUUUAUUUUAUCAAUUUGUGGCUUAUCCAGUAUUCAUCUAUUUUAAUAAUAACUUGAGUUCCAGUCAUUAUCAUACCAGAAAGAGUUCCAUUUAUUCUUUAUCGUAAAUUUUAUAAAAAAAUAUACAUUUUAUUAUAAUACUAUAUGUGUUACGAAUAAUAUUUUAUUGUGGAUGCCCAUAAUUUUCAAAGUUGUAACCUCUAAUGUAGUAACCUUAAUGAAAUUAUGAGGCUUUUAUAUUGUAAUCAAGCCUCUAUUUAUUCUUUGUAACUUAAACAGAAGCAUAUUUUCUAUUAUAUUGAUAUUUUUUAUAGAUAUAUAUAUAUAUAUAAGGAAUCAAAUAAAAAGUUAUUUACCUUUCUAUUAUAUUGAUAUUUUCUAUUUGAUUUGUUCUUUUCUUUCACUAUUCCAUAAUAUAUUAUCAGUACGAUUUUAACCAAGAGUAACAUGUUAUUAGAUUGUGUCAAAAUUUUGUUGAGAAUCAUUAGAUUGUUUCCUUUUUCUUCUAUUUAGCCCCAAAUUGCACCCCUACACAAAAUUCAACAAAAACAUGGAAAAAUUAGUGGUGCACUCUCAUAAAUUAACCAAUUUAAUUACAUAAAAUAUGUAACUUUAGCAUUUUAUCAAUCAUGUUCUUUAGCGGCAUUUGUGGGUAAAGCGCCGCUAAAGGUCAUAUUCUUUAGCAGCGUUUGUGAUAAAAGUGCCACUAAAUAUCAUGUUCUUUAGCGGCGUUUGUGGAUAAAGCGCCGCUAAAGAACAUGACGUUUAGCAGCAUUUUUUUACAUAAACGUUGUAAAAUUUAGCGGCGUUGUCUAUAGCGACGUUUUUUGCGGUGCUUUCAAAUAGUUUUAGCGGCGCUUGUAGGCCUAAAAAAAUGCCGCUAAAAGUCUGUUUUGCUGUAUGAGCAUAUUUACAUUUUCGUCCCAAUUUCAACUAACACCCCAUCUAUUUCCCACUUCCCUUUUUCAGCCAAUUUCAACUAACACCUUCAUUUCAAACGUAAUUGUUUUUCGAUUUUUCCUCUUUAUUUCAUUAAUAAAAUUAUCAAUCUAUUUGUAUUUUAAAUAUAUAAUUUUAUUAAUAUUUUUUAAUUAUAAUAUAAGAGUUUUUGUUUAUUUAUAGUUUUAUUAUAUUAUUUACUCUCUUUUUUCUAUCAAGCUUUUUAAAUUAUAAUAUAAGAUUUAUUUUAUCAAAUGGUGGCUUAUCGAGUAUUCAUCUAUUUUAAUAAUAACUUGAGUUCCAAUCAUUAUCAUACCAGAAAGAGUUCCAUUUAUUCUUUAUCGUAAAUUUUAUAAAAAAAUAUAUAUUUUAUUAUAAUACUAUAUGUGUUAGGAAUAAUAUUUUAUUGUGGAUGCCCAUAAUUUUCAAAGUUGUAACCUCUAAUGUAGUAACCUCAAUGAAAUUAUGAGGCUUUUAUAUUGUAAUCAAGCCUCUAUUUAUUCUUUGUAACUUAAACAGAAGCAUAUUUUCUAUUAUAUUGAUAUUUUUUUAUAGAGAUAUAUACAUAAGGAAUCAAAUAAAAAGUUAUUUACCUUUCUAUUAUAUUGAUAUUUUCUAUUUGAUUUGUUCUUUUCUUUCACUAUUCCAUAAUAUAUUAUCAGUACGAUUUUAAUCAAGAGUAACAUUGUAUUAGAUUGUGUCAAAAUUUUGUUGGACUUCAAGUAUUGGAAUUUAAUUGUUUAAGUUAAGAAUCAUUAGAAUCAAUGGCUAUUUGAGAUAUGCUUGAGGAUGAUCUCAUUCUAUUCAUCACAAAGGUGGAGGUUAGAAAAUCUUUAUGUUUAAACAUUUAUAGCUUUAAAGUUAUUUUAACCUCUUAUUGUGACCUUAUAAUAUUUUGUAAUUUUUUGUAUUAUGGUAUAUAAAAAAAAUCUAACCAUAGUGAUUGAUUAGUAAUAUGAAUUUGUUAUUUGUUAUGUUUAAUAUAUAUUUUAUUUAUACUUAUUCAUUUUAUUUUUAUAUGAGUAAAUGAAGUGUUUGAAGAUUCGAAAUUUUUAUCAUCCAAGUUGAAAAUAAGUGCAAAAGUGUACAUUAUUUAAAAUAAAUUACGCAUUCAUUAAUGUUAUAUGAUAAAAUCAUUACAUGUUCUAAAGAACUAAUAUUGCAUCAAACUGUAAAAAGCUCUUGAAGAGUUAAUAUUUUACCUCCUUGUGAUACAAAAUCAUAUACAAUAUGAUAUUAUUUUUCAAAUCGAGUAGAUAUAUGUUGAGGGAAAUCUUUAUGUGGUUUACAUUAAAACCAUGGAUAGAAAUGACAUGAGAUACUCGUGUAUUUUUAUUAUAAAUAUUCCUUGAAGGAAGACACUUCACUUGUAUGAUUGACAUAUGAGAUAGUGGCAAGAAGUUCAUAGUGUUGGUAUGGUCGUCUAGAUCAUCUCAAAUCAAUAAUGAUGCAAAAUAAUUUGAAGAGAAUUUAUAUGAUUUUAUUGAAGAAUGAGAAGAUAUUUUCAUUUUGAUAAUUGUCAUCAAUACUAGUUCUUUGGAAAAAAAAUAUUGAACUAACAUAAAGUUAGAGGUUGGUUGCAUUUUUUGAUGAUAUCCAAAUAAUAUAUGAGCUCAUGUAUCACAUGUAUGCAACCCAAAGUUUACAGUAUUAUUUCUUGAAAUAAUUUGAUUCUACACAAUCUCUAUAGUAUGCAAUUUGUGCUAACAACGUUGGUGCAUUAUAUCCUAAGCUUGAUUUUCGUAGUUUUAGCUGAGAUAAUAUUAAGUUGUCUAUGCCUAUAUAUGUUAUACUUAAUGGUUAGCAAAAUUGUGCCUCCAUUUAAUUGCUUAACCAUUAAUAUAAGAAUAACUUUAAAAUAAGCAUGUAAUUUUAUUUGCAUAGAGUCAACAUGUAAGAAACAUUUGCCCCAUGAGAAUUGGCUUUCAUUUAUAAGCCAAUAGGUUUCAUAUGACUAUUUGGAUGUAAAAUAUCUAUUUUAUAUUCCACCAUAAUGCACUAAGAUGGUCCAUCAAGUAUGAAGUUGAGAAAAUUUAGAAUUUUUAUUUGAUGGUAAAAGUUGAAAAGAGAUAUAUACUUAUAAUUUUGAAAAAAAUAGUCAUGUUGCAAAUUUUUCUCAAUAUUAGGGGGAGACAAGUUGGACAAAUAAGGAUAAUUAUGUCAUCACUUUUUGUGAUCCCUCACUAAUAUUAUGUGCACAAAGUUUGAAGGAAAAAAGUAUUUGCUAGACAUGUUUAGUGAUGACACUUAGAGAUUGUAUAUACUAGAUGAUACAUAUACCAGCUAAAAUGUUCCAAAUAAUUAUGAGUCCUAGAAGGACAUAGUGAUAAAAAUAAUUUUUGGGCACGCUAGAAGGAUAAAAAACUAGUUCAUUCUAUAAAUCAAAAAAUUCUUGAAAGAAAAGAGUAAGAAAUGAAGCUGGCCACACAUUAAAGGAAACGAGUACUCAUGAAGAGACCUAAGGCAUAACUUUUAAUAAAACCCCAAAAGAGGUUCAAUACAUGGAAUUAUGAAUAUAAUAAGAUAUCUCGAUUAGUUAUAUCAUAACUAAAGAUGAUGGGGUUGAUAAAAGGAAAUUGUUGUUAACAACGAUAAUCUAAGUAGAACAUUUCAAUAUUAUGGUAAAAUGAGUAUUUUGAAUGAAAAUAUACUUGAAAGUAUUUAGAUGGGAACAACUCAUCAAAAUAAAUAGACGUUUCUAUUAUAACUUAUGAAAUGUGUCUCGGACAUGAAGUCCAAACAUUCGACAGGUGUAAAGCCAAGUGGAGUAUAUGUUAGCAUAAUAGUGAAAAAAUACAAAUCAUAAUAUAUAAAAUUGACUUGUAAGACAAACUUUCCCAAGACACUUGAUUUUGAUUAUGAAAAAUGAUUAAUUUGUGAUCUUAUCAAUUGAACAUACUUUGUAUAAUCAACAAAUUAUUAAUUAACCUCAUUUAACCAAUUUCCUUCAACACAUUUCAAAUCAAAUUAAUGUGUUGAGCACGCCCUUAACCCUUUUUCUUGAUUCAUUGCAUAGUCUAUUUCCAAGUACCAUAAUCAUCAACAUUUCAAUAUAUAAAGUCAUAACAUAAUGAAUCAUAGUUAGAAUUUUUUUUACCCUAUUAACCAAGUAUGGAACAAAAAUAAAAACCUAAUUUGUCAAGCUCAUUCAAUCAGCUUAUAUAUUAUAAGAAGAGCCUAAGUAUAAAUCCUAUACAUGAUUUCAAAUUCAACUAUUUAUAUUUGAGAUUCAAUUUAAAAUUCAUACUGAAAUUAUCAAAUUAACUCGUAAGCUACUCACGCUAAACAUUAAGGUACUCGAAUUCAAGUGGCUAGAUAUCAUAAACACUUUUAGCUUGUAAAACUAUUUCUAAGGGUCAGCCCAGAAUCAUGGUUGAACCCAAAAUCUGGUAACAAAAAUUUAAUUGAGCCAUCAGCCUAAAACAAAAAAGGCUUAAAAGGUUGGCACCCGAACAAUCAAAGAUAAACACCACCAUAUGCCACUCCCUGAAUCCGAUACAUACAAUAACACCCUUCACCACUUUUAUUCUUCUCCUUUUUUUUAACCUCAAUUUGGAUGGUCGCAUUUCUCUUUUUAGUGCUUUAUAGGGUUUGGGCUUUCAGAAUCCUCAGAGAUGCAAUUCAUGGAUCCCUCUAAGAAAUGCAAGCUUGAUGAAAAUGGUAUUAUUUCAACGGCAUCAGAACCUGACCCAAUCACCAAACUAACCCCACAAGAUGGCCGCAAGCUAAUCGAGCAAUUUAUCGUCGAUCAACUCCUUGACGUCCUCCAAGAUGCUGUUUGUUGUCACCUUGAUGUUCUUUCCGCCGUACACUCUAUUGCCGAUCAAGAUCCAUCUCAAAGGAAGCUUUUCAUCCGUGGUUGGGUUGGGAUACUACAACCCAACCCAACCCACAUUAGCAUACUACCAUGCGGUAACUUCUAGUGAUUUCUGUCUGUAACAUUAGACAGGUUAACAGUUAAAUCGUUCAACUGAAAGAUUUCUUUGAAGGAAGAGGUCAAUUGAUUUUUUUUGGAAUCAUUGUGUACUCAGUUGCAUUUAAGACGGGUAUCAUUCAUAAAGUAUAUAUCUACAUCAAGAAUGGUAGCCUCUUAUAUUAUAUUCAUGUAUUUAUUUUGCAUCUUUAAUUAUAAUAGGAUUUUUUUUGUUUAUUUAUAGUUUUAAUUAUAAUAUUUUUUAAAUAUGCCAAAGUAAAUUAUGUACCAAUUUUAAACUUCUCCUAGGUAAUUUAACGUAAGGGCAUUUAUGUUAUUUUACCACUUAUGAUAAAACUAACCUAAUUUUAGAUCUAAGUGUUUACCAACCUUCUUUUAGUCAAAUUAUGCAAGCCUAAAAUUUUUAGCUUAAUUUGAGUUUGUUUACUAUGUCUAAUUCAAGUUUUAUUAUUAAGAACUAAAUUGUAACUUAAACAAAUUAGAAUACCAAUUUAAAGAGACAAAAAUUCAAAGCCCCAAAACCCACACGGGCAUGUGGGUAAGUGACACAGGCGUGUGGAAACUGGAGCUAUCACACACGGGUGAGUGGGACUGAAAAAUAUGAAAUAAAUUAAUCCAUUUAAAUUUCCAACAACCAUGCUAUACUACCAAACCAAAUAAUGUUAGAAGCUUUGAAUAGGGGCGAAUCUUAAAAAAAAUAGAAGAAUUAGAAUUAAAUUAUAAAAUUUUGAGAAGUUGUCAUGUAUUAAUUUAUUAUUUUUUAAAGGGUCUUAAUAGAUUUUUUUUCCCCAUUUUGGUUUGGCCAAUACCCCUGUCUGCCUCUUUCAAUUUGCUUCAACCCUUAGCCCAAUAUUCGAUUUGUUGUGGAAGUUUGACGCAUAAAAAUUCCUUUUUUAGAGGUUUAAAUUAUAAAUUUUUAUUAACAAAAUAUAAAAGAAAAAAACAUGUGUAGACAAGCCAAGAAACCUUUGGGAUCAUACAGGUGAUUUUGAGAUGUUCAUGGUUAUUUUGGUGGAGAGGGUAAAAAAGAAACAAAUGAUUCAUUAUAUAUGAUAUAAUUAUGAAAUUCAAGCCAUAUAUUGUAUGUUUCAUCCAUACAAAUUUCUUGUAGCAUUAAAUGACUCGUAGGCUUGCUGAAUUUCUUUGAAAGGCCCAAAGGCAAUUUAACAUUCACAAAAUAAUCUCUAAAUAGUGUAAAGACAAAUCAAAUCCACAGUAGCAUUAGAGUUGAUUAAGCUAAGCAUUGGCAAAUAUUACUUUGAUUUUGCAUGCAAUAUUGGCAAAACCCCCUCUUACAUUAGAAAAACAACAUAAUCCAUGAAACAUUGAUAGCCCAAUACAAAUUUCAUCGAGAAAAAAGUCUCUUUGUUUUGUAGAACAUGAUAGUAAAGAUGUGGAGUUUCGUUCUUCUUAUUGGCCUCCUUUAGUUUUCCUUGAUCAACAACCACUAGCCAAAAACACAAUUAGAUUAGAUUAUGAAUGAUACUUUCAACUAUGACAAUAUUAAAUACAAACCACUCUAAAUAACUCUAAAUAAAUGGAAAGCAGCAAAUUACCAGACGAGGCAAGCUAGCUCAAUUAAGACCAUUGUGUUAUACUUGUCUCUGAAUUGAAAAAUUUAGAAGGAAAUAAAGAGAAAGACUUAGAAAAUACUUGAAAACAGAAAAAAAAAUUAUGUCAUUUAAAAUAAAAAAUUUCUAUUCAAGCCAUUUAAAAUUUGUAAGAUUUUUAAAAUUUUAAAAUGAUAAAGGUAAAAUUGUACUUUGGCACCCCAAAAAUGAUAAAACUUUGAUUUAAUUAUUUAAAAAUUAUAAAAAUAUAGGCUAUUAAAAUGGUGAAAUUAUAUUUUUACUAUAGUAAAAAUUACAAUUUAAUUUCACCCCUAAAAGGAUUUUCUGGCUUCGCACCUAAUAAAAUCUUUGGCAAAAGACUAAAAUAAAAUUAUACCAUGAAUGGAAAAAGAAACUAAUAAAAUCCAAUCUAACAAAGAAAAUAACUUGAUGUCCAAAAGCUACCAUAAACCGUAAUUCAUGGGAAGGCUUGUUGCUUAUUUUAUUGGUUUCCAUUUUGAAAGAAGUUUGAAUUUUGAAGAGAGCCUACUACGUGAAAGCAAAAGAAAAAAAAAUAGUUUAUAUGAUUAAAAUUCCAGAAUAGAUUAAAAAUGUUGAAUUAAAGAUAAAAUUAAGUGUGAAUUAAUAACCACAAGUGUACUCUUUACUCACCAUCUCUGUUAAAAAUGUUGGAUGUUGUUUAGCAACCUUUGUUUGAUUUUCUUCAGCUCAACCACAACAUCUUUCAUAUCUUUUCUUUCUUCUGGUAACUCAGCUGAACAAUUCAAAGCCAACUCCAUGAUAGAUGAAAUACAAUUUGCUUUAACAACAAUGUACUCAUCCUCUCUUCUUAAUAAAUCAACAUCUGCAAUUUCUAUCGCUCCUUUAGGCAAUGAUCUUUCCAUCCAAUGCCUUAUACUCUCUUCUUCAACAAAAACCUUAUCAGUUGGCUUUUUCUUUGUGAAAGUUUCUAUAAGGACGAUCCCAUAACUAUAGACGUCAGAUUUUAUAGAAACAAUUCCUGCUGAUCCAAAUUCUGCAUUUCAAGUAUAAUUAGAACAUCAUUCAUCCUCAAUUAUUUCUAAAACGCUUAUUCAAAUAUCUAUCCACAUACACGUGAAACAAGAAUAUAAAAUACAAAUUAGGAAAAUAAUCAUACAAAAAUAAAAAAAAGAAUUCACCUGGUGCCAUAUACCCAAUAGUUGCAAGAGUCAUGGUUUGCUUCAUUACUUCACCUUCUCCCAACAAUUUGGCAACGCCAAAAUCUCCAACAUGUGCAACCAUGUCUUCAUCUAGU